GGAAGCUUAAGUAGUUUUUUAUUCCUUAUAAAAUGAAGAUGCCUUUUUUUAAUUAAUUUUUUUUAGGUAAACUGGUUGUUCCUAAUGCUACAGAGGGGCAGUAACAGAAUAAUGAAUAAUGUGCAGCUCUCCCCUGUAUUGUGUGAGGCUCAUUCAUAGCUUGGUCAGGCGUGCUCUGCAGCAGAAGGCUACUGGCAGGAGCUAAGCUGAUGAGGUGUAUUGAUUCUUCCAGUGUUCACAGCCCUGGAGAGUGCGCACACAACUGCCUGCUCAGCAAGGGAGCCAAGACAAGCAUUUACUGCUUUUCCCAGAGACUUGUCAGCUGUGCAGAGUACCUGGACAGCAAUGUAGUGUAGCAACACUUCCUGUCCCUCUGUAGUCCUCUAGUCUUUUGUAUCUUUAUAUUUCAGGAAACAUCACUAAGGCUCCUGCAGAGGAGCAAAAAAAAAAAAAAAUCCCACACAGUCUCUCUGUCCUGAGAGGGGGGUUGGCUCUGCAAUUUUCUUCACUGCUUAACGCUCCAUAAGGUAACUAGUCUGUUUGUGGUUUUUCUGUGAUAUAUUUGCAUGUAGUGGGCUCAGAUACUCCAGUGGAAUCUAGGGCAGCUAUGCCAGGUACUUGCAAGGAAAAGUCUGCAUUUGUGAUAGAAUUUUAAGGUGGUUUUCAUUUUAAUGCUAUUCAGUGGGUUAGCCUUUGAUUGACUGAACUUGGCAAUGUUUAUGCUGCAUAGAAUUCUUUUACCUUCUGCUUCUCGUAUUGUCCUGAUUUUAACAAUAGUAUGUUUUCAGAACUUGUUUUUUUGUUUGUUUGCUGUUAACACUGUAUCGGUAGGUCCUCGGUAGAUCCUCUUUCUCUUAUAACAAGAUGGAAUUAGUGCUGGGUGGUCUAGUGGAUGGGUUUAGUGAUGCACACUCUUUUUGCUGGGGUAAUGGGAUGGGGUGUAUCCUCGGUUCCUUGAAGGUUUCAAAUGAAUGCAAUGGAUCUUGCUCCUUCCCCACACUACACCAGGUCCAGCAAUAUGAACAUACACUUGGCUGUAAAAGAGCCCCUGUCCCUAUGUUGCAGAAUGUCUGCAGAUCCUUGCUGCAUAGCAUUGUUAUGAGAUGUGAUAGUCCCUUUGUCUAUGAGUGUGAGGGUAGUGGGUCUUUAUCUGCAGGGGCAACCAUCUGACAGCAUUAAGGGGUUAAAUUCAGCAGCAGCAGCAGUAGUAGUAGCAGCAAGAAACAGGAUUUUAGCAGUACAGCUGCCAUAACCCACUCCUAGCUGGAUAAAUAUGAUGUUUGAUUGUUAGAGCUAUUUAAUACAUAAUAUAAUUAUUCUUCCUCUUUUUGUGCUGUUUUUUUUUAACCAUCUAAGAGCCAAUGGAAUAUCUAACAUCGUGUUGUUAUUUUAUAAAUGGUUUUGCCUAAUCACUGGUCCUUUAGGAGUUAAUAAAAUGCUAAAUGAAUUAAGCGGUUAUUGACUAUGAAUGAGAUUUUCCACUUUCUAAUCAAUACAAUUUCCAUUUUACUUGAUAUUCAAACCUUGGUACAAUUACAAUAUUACCGGUGGAUUCUAAGCUCUUUAUAGCUGGGUUUAUCUUUUGCCUUAUGCAAUUGCAUGCAUACAUUGUUGUGUAUUUUCUUUUUCUUUUUUGUCGCUGAUUUUGUAUUUAAAUAAUUGAUUGUGGUUAUGAUAAUUGUAAUGUGUUCAACGGAACUGGCAAAAUGUCCGCAAUAUGAAUUCUGAUUUUGUACAAGCUCAUGUAAAAUUUUCUGCUUUUUUAAUAUUUGCUUUAUUUUCUGCAGUGAUUUUGGUUGUUAGAAAUCUCUGAAGCAAUGAUGAUAUAAUACAUUUGUCUGCAUUACGUUGUGCUAGCAACAGCUAUAUAGAGCACAGCUUGCGGAGCUUAUUUGGGGUAGUUGCGAAAAAUUAAGGAAAAAUUGCACCCGUUAAGAAAAUAACUUUUGAUUUGAUAUUUUUCCAUGCCUCCUGGCUACAGCCCUCUGUAGAUCAUAAUAAGCUUUGUGACAUCCCUGAUGGUGGGGUGUUGCUAUCUGCACAGCCACCUGUGCUCCAUUGGUACUAUGUUAGUGUCUCCAGUGGAUGAGGAAAUCAUAGAACUAUAAUACUGCACUGGGAACAGUGACAAUAUUCUUGGCAAGAAGCACUGUGCUACAUAGUUGCAAGUGUUCCACAUUUAUCAUUUUAGCCUGGUUGGAUGAGAAUACAUGGGGUAAUAUUUCAAUUGCAGGUGAAGGUCUGCAUGUGCCUGACUCUGAAUCAGCCUCUCAUUAAUAUAUAUUGAGAAGUUGCAUUGCACCAACAGCUCCUGGAGGAAGGAAUUCAUCACCAUGAGUGGGGGAGCUUUUCCAACCCUCACUUAUGGCUAUCCAUCUUCUAGUUCUGACUGACUGAUUUAUACAUAUACGUUAAUAAUUUGAAAAAUACCUGGUGGCUACUGGACGUCACUGCCAUGAUAUACAUGAAGUGAAUUAACUUAAUUUAGGAGGGUAGUUGGAUAAUCAAUGCAUGUAGUCGGCAUAUUUAAUGUAUGAUCAUGUGCUAAAAAUAUUUCAAUAUAUAAUUCUGUACUACAGGAAUCAAAGAGAAAAUGAAUAAAUCUUCCUCGGCAAUACUUGGAAAACUAGUUAUGCAGCUAUUUUCUUCAAGUAUGAGUGGGUUACAUCUGAGCUGGGUAAUGAAGGUUUACCUUGUUUCAGUGCAUAAAACACUUAUCUGUGCAUAGCUAUUAAAAUAGCACAGUUGGUUAAAGUGGCUCCAUCACCCACUGCCACCACACAAUGAUAAAAUCUUUAUAAAAUAUUCACAUUGACUGUUUUGGGAUUUCACUCCAUUUCCAAGGCAGUCAUAAGAGAUAUUAAGACAAAGUAGGGACUAUUUCCAAGACCGAGUCAAGCCUUGUCAAAACAUUUCAAGCCUUCAGCUGUCACUAGUGAUUGCUGAGUGGAACAGGCACUGGAUAUUUAGGAUCUCGCAGGAUCCGCCAUAGACUAAAUUGUUGUACCAUCGCGCAUGCGCGAUGUUACACCGCUGACAUUGGCUUCUGGCGUGUUUUAGGAGCUGAAGAGGACUUGAGUAUGGUGGGACCUGCAAGGUACUGGUUCAAGUAAGUACAAGUCACCCUUCUCUGCACCCCAGGACCACUGGCGAUGUCACCAAUUGACCCCAGAUGAUGACAGAGCAGCUGUAACGCACCAUGUGUAAUACUUGCUCAAAUCUCAGUCUGGCACCAGGUCUGUAACAAGUGAGACACAAAACAAUGUGUUUUGUGUUUUCUUUUUUUUCCUCUCUUCAUUGUAGCAUAGUUUUGGUACUACUAAUUGCAAGCUCACAUGUGCCCUGCUGGCACAGCCCGUAAAAAAGAAAAUUCUCCAGUGGACAAUGAACUGCUCAUUGAACACCAUGACAUACAUAGAGUUGCAUUCUAGGUGGUUAUAUCCUGAUGGUUGUCAUCUUGCACUUCAGCUUGGCAUACAUGCCUGACACUUUUUGCUGGAAUGCCUACUGGACGUCACGGUAAUAUCACAAAUGCACCCCUGCAGUAUGUUAAUGCAUUAUUGAAAUGCUACCUCCAAUCCCUGUGUGCUUUUUGUAUUGAAACGGUAGACCUUUCAACAUGUUAAAUGGUCAGAGAGAUACUUUAAUUUUAAGGGUGUGACUGGGGUGUGUGGCCAUGGGCUGGGCUGUUCUGAAAAAUGUUAGGUGACUUACUAAUAACAAUUUACGCAACCAAAAUGUAAUUUAGAACAAGAACGAUGUAUCUUAUUUAUACAAACUGAUUUCUAAAAACAUUUAGUGUAGUUUAAUGACACAUCACUGUGAGUAUUAUUGCUGUGGUACCAUAUGAGCUCCUAAAAAAGAGGGACGGAGGAAUAUGGCCCCAAAAUAGGCACUGUCCCUCCUACAUAGGGACACUUGGAAGGUACUGCACUGACAGUGACUAAUGUUAGGGGUGCUGUGGCUUUCUGUGGAGGUAGUUUUUUGUUGUUGUUAUUUUUACAUAAGUGUGUAGACAUGGAGUAGAGCAUAAAUAUCACGGCAUGAGGAAUUUAGUACAAAAUAGUUGAGAAAAACCUGCUACUAUAUUAUUACUUUUUAUUUAUUAUUACUAAAAUACUGGUAGUGAUAACAUAGAAAAGAAUAUACUGAAGAGUGUAAUGCUGCAUUCUUAUGUCUUAUAAUACGCACAAUAAACAGUAUGAUCACGCCUGAAAUCCUGAGAAAAUCAUGUUUAUACUUUCCUAGGUCUUCCGAUAGGAGAGCCAAAUUAACAACUGAUAGACACAAACAGAAGCGUGAUAAAUAACUAAAUGCUUUUUAACAUUCUUUUUUCUACUGCAUGUUCCUUAUGGAUUUCGGAAUGAGCGGCAUGUAAAAUAUCUAAAACCAUUUCAGCUGGGGGUAUUCUACAACAAAUUGCAGUUGACGACCACUGUAAUUAGGGUCGGCUCUGAAUGAUGUGUUGGGCAGACAGAACAGUUAUUAUUCUGAUGCUGCCAUUUGAUAAAUAAGUUAAAGUCUUUAGUAGAUGAUGAUGAUAUAUAAACUUAAGGUUGCUUUUUCGUAUCUCUAAGAUAUGCAGGGUUAUUCACUACAAUGAGAAUUCAAAGUGAAUAUCACAUUUAAGGCCAAAGCAGCAACAUUGGAAGUGUAGAUGUCAGAGAAUUUUUCCACUUCAAUAAUUUUUACCUUGAAUUUGAAAUUCACUUUAAAUUCUCACUACGGUGAAUAACCCUGAUAAUUAUAUUCCUUUUUUCCUUUUUAAAUUUAGUCACACCAGUAAAACGAACUUCAUGGACUUCAGGGUAAGGCUUAGUGUAUUCAGACCCCUUCAUCUUUUCACUUUUUAAAAUAAAAAAUAUUAUAAAUGUUUCAGAUUUACUCAAGUCGAUGGGUAGUUUCUGCCAUUCAUUUCUGCAGAUCCUCUCAAGCUCCGCCAAGUUGGAUGAGGAUCUUUGGUGAAUAGCUAUUUUCAGGUUUCUUAAGAGAUGUUUGGUUGGAUUAACAUCCAGGCUCUGACUGGGCCAGUCAACAACAUUUGCAGAGUGAUCCCUAAGCAACUACUAAUAUUUAACAAACAAAUCUAAACGUUGCUGUGUUGUGGAAAUGGUGCUCUAAAUGGUGUUCUAUUAAAAAUGUUUGCCUUUUUACUGUAUAUAUAAAUUGCAGCAUCCGCCAUGCUAAGCAACUCUUGUGUUGUGUUGGCUGUUGUUAGGAUCAUUGUCCUUUUGGAAGAUAAACUUUCGGGCCAGACUAAAGUUCUGAGAGCCCUGGAUCAGGUUUAAUUAAUGAUAUCUUUUAUUUAUUUUUUUGCUGUGUUUAGCUUUCACUCAACACUAACCAAUCUUAGUUCCUGCUGCUGAAACACCCCCCUAAAGUAUUAUGCUACCAUCACCAUGCUUCAAUGCUGAGAUGAUAUUGUGCCUGUUUUCUUCUAGACAUGACUCUUUGAAGUAAGGCCAAACAGUUCAAUCUUCAUUUCAUAAGACCAGAGAAUCUUGUUUCUCAGUUGGAGAGUGCUUUUGGUGAUUGUUUGUAAAUUCCAAGCAGGCUUUAAUGUGUCUUGCAGUGAGGAGAGGCUACCGUCUUGCGAGUCUGCCAUAAGGGCCUGAUUAGUGAAGUCUUGCAGUGAUGGUUGUACUUCCGUAGGUUUCUCCCAUCUCACACAAUGUCUGGAUUUCUUGGUCACCUCUCUUACCUCAACCUUGCUCUCCAUGUGGCUCAGUUUGACUGGGAGACAAGCUCUAGGAGAAGUACUGGUUGUUCCAUAAGUUUUCCAUUUAAGAAUUAUGGAGACCACUUUGCUCUUGGCAACAUUAAAUGCAGCUGAAACUUCUUUUGUAGCCUUUCCCAGAUCUUUGCCUCAAUAUAAUCCUGUCUCACCACUGCAGGCACUUCCUUUGACCUCAAGGUUUACUUUUUGCUCAGAUAUGCAUUUACAGAUAUGAGACCUUAUAUAUAAACAGGUGUGUGUCUUUUCAGAUCAUGUCCAAUCAAUUCAAUUUACCACUCCAAUCAAAGAGUAGGGUCAUCCCAAAAAUGAUGCAGGAAAAUGACAUGCGUCUGAGCUUAAUUUUAGGUGUCAUAGAAAAGAGUCUGAAUACUUUGUGAUAAAAAUUUGAUAUUUUACAGUUUUUUAUUUUAAAAAAUCUGAUUUUUUUCCCCCAUUUUAUUUAUUAUGGGAUAUUUAGUGAACAUUUAUGUGAAAUCUGCCAUCCUAUCUAUCUAUCUAUCCGUUAUGUUAAUAAGCAGAUUGUGUUUUAGAAUCGGCAAGGUAAUUUUUAUAUAUAUAUAUAUAUAUAUAUAUAUAUAUAUAUACCCCCACUGAAAAAAAUGCAUAAUUAAAUGCAUGCAUUUUUUUCUUGGUGUAUAUUUACUAAACUACAUAAGCAGCGGAGUGUCUCUUUCAGAUCUUACAGUAACUAAUCAGAGCAUAAACAUAUUAUGUAAAGUAAAAGAUACAUAAUAGUGAUUAAUUAUGGGAAAAUAAUACUAAUCAGGUUCUGGAGACAUUUUUAAAAAUGGCAUUAUUUUCCUAUAAUACACAGUUCACUGAUAAUAUAUAAAUAUAUUGAACAAAACAGCAAGACAUCUUUGUGGUUAAAAGCACAAGUGGAUUACACCAUCUGUGCUUUAGGGCAGUCUAAUUUGGUAUACAGGUGGUCCUCGUUUUGCGACCUACCUGUUUUACAACAGCUUGCACUUAUGACCAGCUCUCUCGUGGGAUGGUAAGUGUGAGCCAUCGUGGGAAUUAGAGGAAUUCCCUGCUCUGCUGCGUUCGUCUAUGUUCGGGGAAAUUUCCCCGAACAUAGACAAGCGCACCAGAGCAGGGAAUCUCUUAACUCCUCACUUACCGACCAAUUCGUUCUACGACCUGGUCGUACGAACAGAGCCUGUUCAGUAAGUGAAGAGUACCCUGUAUAUUUUUAGAAGUUUUGUUUUACUGUUCUGGGCAUGUUUGAUUUAAGUUGCCUAUAGAAUACAAUUAUAUAUUUAUAAAUUUUAUACUGUGCAGCAGUGCGAUAUGCAAUUUCAGCAUCUUUUCAGAAAAUAAUUAGUGAAAUAUGCUAUACUUAGCUUGGUACUUUCAAGAUCCAUCCCUCUAGGCUGCUGCCAUAUCAGGUUUUCUGUGUAAUAUUUGAUGUAUUGUUUAGAAGUACACAAACUUAAUUAUAUAUUCAAGAAAUGGUGAAGCUGUAGCAGGUAAACGGCCCUUGAGGACGGCUUGCUAGCCCUGUUGUUAGUCUAUUUUUGAGUGAUAACCAACAGUGUAUUUCUGCGUGAAUUAUUUUAUGACCUAUCGAGGCUCUUGUUUAUGAUGUCCUAUAUUUCAUCAUGGUUUCUUGAUAAGAGCAAAUUUUUAAUGUUGCAAAUGUGAUGUUUCCACAGUGUUGAUCCAAGUAUGAUUUGCCAUUUUGGAAUAAAUGAUUUUCUUCUUCUUUGCAGCACAAUUAGACAUGGCUUGUUAUGAAGUUUUUAUUUUCUUUGACUUCUUUUGGAUUAACCACACAAGCAGAUGUGUGAAUAGUUGAACUUAUUGGACUUGAGUAUUUAUUUUCCUUCAGUCUAUAUUACUGUGUUACUAUGUUGCUAGAGCUUGCACAAGUUAAUAAAUAGGAGGAAAAAGAUAUGAAAAACAUUUAAGAAAUAUAAACAAAAAAUAAAUAGAUAAAUGUAAUAAUAAAUAUAAAAAUAAAAUGUAAUAAAAUAAAGUUGGAAAGUAAAAAAAUACCAAGGUGCUGCUCUCUGCAGAAAUUAUAUUCCGAUGAAAGAAUGAACGCAUUCACUGGAUUCCAAAAUAUACAACUGUGUUUAUAAGUUACAAAAAAAACAAACAUUUUGACCUCUCUUGAUAAAGGACGAGAGGUCUAAACGUUACAUAGUUACAUAGCUGAAAAGAGACUUGCCUCCAUCAAGUUCAGCCUUCCUCACAUUUGUAUUUUGCUGUUGAUCUUUUUUUGCAAGAUAGAAAAACGGUUGGAUAUAUUGGAAUCCAGUGAGUGCGUUCAUUCUUUCAUUGGUAUAUAUUAUUAUUAUUAUUAUUAUUACCAUUUAUAUAGCGCCAACAGAUUCCGUAGCACUUUACAAUAUUAUAUAUAAACACACACACACACAACCAUCCAUAAAAAGAGACAAAUUUUUAGUCAUUUAAUAUAUCCUAUUUACAAAAUGAAAAAGUUAUGACAAUAUUAACAGAAUUUAUUUACAUAAUUUAAUCAGAUGGGUAUCAUAUUGUUAAAUAAUAUCUAAGGAGAAGAAUAGGACAGACUUAUCCAAAUAGUCCUAAACUGCCGUUUAAAAUAUAAUUUAAGUUUUGAUCCAACCUUAAAAAAAAAGAAAAAUGUCAAUCACAAUCUUGUUUCUAUUUUUUUUUUUUUAAGGUUGGAUCAAAACUUAAAUUUAAAUUAUAUUUUAAACGGCAGUGCUAGGGUUAAGUAUUCCCUACACCUCCCACAUCCAAAUUGCCGCAUUUCUCAUUGGCUCAUUAUUUACCGAACAGACCAAUGAGAUCCGACCUCCUCUCUUAUUUAAACCGGACUUUAACAUGAGCUCAGUUCCCCUCUGAAGAGCUUGAGUGGCGAAACGCGCGUCUCCCAUUUAGUUUCCCUCCGUUGUGAGGGAAACCCACUCUAUUAGGACUAUUUGGAUAAGUCUGUCCUAUCCUUCUCCUUUUUAUCUCUCUAUUUUUUGCAUUUUUGGUGAAGCCGUUCACUAGGGGUUAUCCCCCACAUAGGAGAAAUUUACUUAUAUCCCUCCCUUUUUCUCUCUUUUUUUAAAUAAUAUCUACUUCGGACACUUUUUUUUCCCAUUCAUUCAAUUAUUUUCUUAAUAUAUUAUUAUUUUCUUAAUUAUAGGGAAUCAAGAUGUUAUCUGUUUUACCACAGCAGGUAAAACCACCCUAAUCUAAUUAGAACUAAUAUCACUAAACUUAAAUAUCACCAUUACUUAAAAAUGGAGAUAAUGUGGGAUUAAUUUGUAAAACAAGUGUGGACCAAGUGUAUCAAAAACCUGGAAAUAAGUAUAUUGUUUCUGUUGAUUGCUCCUCAUUUAGAAUUUUGCCUAAAAUAUCCUUUUAUACCUAACCUCUCCAGGUAUAUUAUAAAGCAGGGGUGCCCAAAAUGUAGAUCCGCAUAUGUUGUAGAACUACAACUCACAUGAUGCUUUGCAUUCCUAUAGAAUGCCUUUAGAAUGACAAAGCAUCAUGGAAACUGUAUUCUUAAACCGUCUGGGGAUCAACCUUUUGGGCACCCCAUGCUUUAUAAUAUUUACAGAGUCACUUUAAAACAUAUCUUUGAGCUGACUCCAGGGCACUUGAGUUUGUGCGUCUUAUUAGCGGGUGUACUUGGCGAUUUACUUGAGACAAGCAGAAAUUGCUCACCGUUUUUGACACAAACAUAUAGAUGAUAAUUUCCAGCUGUCCUGAUUUCAUAUUCCCUAUAGUGAUGCCGGCCAGCUGGCCAUAUUAAUGUUCAAAUAUUUUUAUAUUUUUUUGCCAUCUGCUUAAAAUGAAAUGACAUUUUGUGGGAAAAAGGGCAAUGCGCAUGUACAGAUGUACACGCUGGUGCCAGGUAACUAGUUCAAAGUCUCAACUUUUUGACCUAACAUAGUAACAAUUUACAAAGCUCACUUUAUACUUGGCUUUUAAUGCUUGUCAAAAGGGACACAAGUUUGUUGCUUCACUGUGGUGUCCUUAAAAUUGUGCCUACAUUUAACGGGAAGAGCAAAUCACAUUGGCACAGGUAAGUCCGUGAAAGUUACGCGUAUACAGAAGGGUUGACAGGGCCAGAUUCCUCAGCUCACAUAGUAGGACGCUGCCUGUAGGUGUCUGUCUGCAAGUGGCACCUACAUGGAAUACAAAUAUGUAUUUUUAUUUUAUAGUUUUUCAUUUGAUGUGUUGUAAUUGCAUUAUUUUGUAUUUGCAGAGAGAGGGACUUUCUGAUUCUUGUAAUACUUUUCUUGCGUACCUUAAUAAUCAUGGAAGCACAACAGAGAACAUGAUUUUGAGGAGUUUCCAACACUGUUCUAGUCACAGCUUUGCUAUACCAGAUUGAGUUUUGUAUUUUUUUUUUUGUCCAGUAAAUGGUUCACUGUUUAGUGAAUAAACCCAUUUGAGUAUUCAUAUUUAAAGACACUAUAUGAACCCAUACUACUUCAUCUCAUUGAAGUGGUCUGGGUGCAGUGUCCCUGUAUCUCUUAGUCCUGCAAUGUAAAUCAUUGCAGUUUUUGAGAAACUGCAAUAAUUACCUUGCAGGACUAAGACUGCCUCCAGUGGAUGACAAUCCGCUUCUGGGAUCCUAAGGGACUCUUAGUCCCUUAAAUAGCGCUGGAUAUCCUCACGCUCUGCAUGAGGACAACUAGCAUCAGUGAAAUCCCCAUGGGAAAACAUUGAUUCAAUGCUUGCGGCACUCGAUGCACAUGCAAACUAUGUUCCGUGGUCUGAUGAUGUCAGAGUUGGUGGAGCGCCAAGGUACGUCAACACUGGAAUAAGAUUUAUUUUUAUUUUUUUUCAACUUUUUAGCUGUCAGAUGUGAGGGGCUACCGGGGAGGGGGGGAGCGGGCACUCUAGUAUUAGGAAUACAUAUAUAUACAUUUGCUUAUAGGGAACUGGCACCUUGCUAGUUCUUGGGCAGAGGGUCUGCAGCUUCCCACCAACAAAUUAGGCACACAAUUUUAUGCCUUAACACCUUACAUAUACUGUAUUUACUUGAAUCUAAUGCGCAGCUUUAUUGGCAAACUAAAGUCUCCAAAAUUUGAAUGUGUUACGAUUUCAGUACUAACAAAAAGAAAAGCACAGUGCAAUAAAUAUGCACAUUAGUAUACUACCCUCUCUUGCUUACUUAGUUGUUCCUCGCUUUACGACCUACUUGGACAACGACCGCUCAGACAAACAAUGAACAUACAAUGUGAAUUCUCCCUGGGCGAAAUUCGCAUCGCUGCAACAUGGAUGCAAAACUUGGUUUCUGUGUACAGUAUCUUCAUGUACAAAUAUGCAUUACAUACGUUAGCAAAAACAUUUUUCGACUUCCAUGUUUCAGGAUUUGAUGGUUCAUUAGAUUCAAGUAAAUACGGUAUAUUUACGCAAAACCUAAAAAAUUCAGUAACUCAUCUUUAACAAUAAUCCAUUAAUUCAGGUUCAGCUAGACUAGUCUGCUGUUUUAAUUACGCAUUGCAUCCCCCUUUAAUUGUAGUUGCGUCCACUAGCUGGUUAAGUUUCUUUAUUUUUCCUAAACUGUCUUUUUUAUUUUUUAAUUAACAGAUAAUUCUUAUCACACGUGGGUUGGUAAAUUAAACUGGAAAAACGCCUUCAUGCCUUUAGUCAGGUUCGUUUAAUGUAGUAUGGCCCAUUUUUGCUAUCCAGGAGAUUUUUAUCAACGUGUUGGAAUGUAGCCUUAGAUAUUUGUUUUGUGUACAGAGCUGAGAUAAUAAAACAGAUGGGUGCACAGACUGUUUCCACACUUGAAUUUAUAUCAAUGUGACAUGCACCAUGCAUUAAUAAUCAGGAUCAUAUACUUCAAUUAGUCUUGCCUUUGCGAUGGCUAAAGGAUUGCGACAGCCACAAAAAUAAAUUAAAGCUGUUCAUGAUAUCAUGAAUAACCACAAAAUAGAAACAUUUGGAUAAACAUUUUUAUUUAUUUAUUUUUACAGAAAAACUGGAGAUUGCCAUUGAAAUACUUCUAUUCCUGAAAUUCAUGUUUUGUCACUAAUCCAAUUCUGAAAUAUGAAAACGUACUACUCAAUCUCAGUUUUACUCAUCCUUUUGUUAUAAAAAAUAUGUGGAGCUCAUAUAUAUUAGCUGUGAGUAAAUAUCAUGUUUAAUAGUGUAAAUUGUGCUCUAAAUUGAAUUGCUGGUUUCUGUAUUGAUGGCAUAGAUUGCAAGAUCACAAAUGUCAUUUCCGUGAGAGCUGUGCAUAUCUUCCCCGUGGUGGGAUGCUUUAAAGGGGAACUUCACUUCCCAGCAUUAAUAAUAUGAUGUUUAUUUCUCUCCUAUAUAUUUAAUAUAUGUAAUUGUGAGGUGUGAAAAAUAAAUUAUAAAAUUCACAAAUUUAUACUUUUCCCUUUAUGCACAUUAGCUCUCUGUCCAGCCAUUAUAGAGAACACGCAGAGACCAAAUGAAACAAGGGAGAUUGACCAAAGUGUAGACUGGUUUGUGCUUUUUUGGCUCUGUUUAGUAAUUUUUGGUUAUUUUGAUAUUUUUUGAUAUUUUUUUUUUUUUUACAUUUAUUUUUUAUUCAUUUAUUUUACACUCUAGCGGCUAGCCUGAUCAUUUUUAAUUUUGUGCUACUUUUUUGGAGACUCAAUAUAUUUUUCAAUCUUCACAUCGGGUUUUUCUAUAAUAAAAGUAGUCUGUUUUACCUUAAUUUGUUUUAUUUAUUUUUUUUAUGCCACUUUUGGUGCUUGCUUUGAAAAUAAGCAUCUCUGCAUUUAGGGCUAAAUAAUUGUAAAACAAAAUUAUUGGACUAGAUAUGUACAAAUGAUUUCAAUGUAGACAGUCUCAUUUAAAAGUAUCACAUUGAACAGUAUUUGUAGAUUACAUGCUACAUACAAUAAUUGAUCUGUAUUUAAUACUUAUAGGUACUAUAUCCCUAUGUAUACUAUGUACAUUUUAUGUUACUUAUUCCCUAUGUUGAAUACAUAUUUUCUUUUGUAAUGUUACAAAUAAAUAAAACUAAAUGUAGAAAUCCACACCUUUUUAACCUACAAUUGGGUGACUUAUCAAUGACUUUAUUCUUCUCUAGCAAUGGCCUAAGUCCAAGAAUGCAGCUUUAUUGGAAAGUACUACAGUGACUUUCUGAGUAAGGGGAGGGAGGCCGUUUAUACAACCACCUGAAUCAGGAGGGCUGAGUUAGACCUUUCCUAUCAAACUCUUCUCUUGUCAACAGAGUGAUAUCUGCAACUCAUGAUGUGGGAAAUUGGAAGCCUCAUCACAGCAGACUUAGCUGUCCUUACAGAGGGCAUGAAAACGAUUAAAACUAUUAUUUGCUUGAAUUCAAGCAACUGAGGAGAUUUUGGAUCUUUAAAUCAAACAUGUCCAAAAGGUACCUCAAAGUUUACAUUUUCACAAUAACACCAAAACGUUUUAAAUAGUGAUAAUUUAGACAACGGCAGAGAUGCAUUGUAAAGAUGAUGGGGAUUACUGUUCAUAUGUGAUUUUACUGGGUAACUACGACAUAUCUUGAUGACUUUUUUAAUGCCUAAAAUGGACUAUAAAUAUGACACAAAUAACAAUUAUGUUAUUUGAAUUUACUUUUUUUUUUCUCUACUUUACGGUAGUAACAUGAUUUUUUUUGGGAAUUGUUAAAUAUAUAAACACAUUUUGUCCUCUGUGUGUUUUUUCAUACAAGUAGCUCCUCAGCUGCCAGCCUCUCGUUUCUUUUUCAGGUUUAAACCAAUUUUUAUUUUGGAAGCCGGCUUAGUUCCGAGUGAAGCAGUUAUUCUCUUAGAAUCGUUACUUAAGUACUAUCAGAGUCUGUAUGUUGCAAAUCUGUAGCAAUGAAAGACUCUGCUCUGUACAGUAUUCCAAAAUUUUGUUUAUGCAACUGAAUCCUAGCCAGAGAUCAAUUGACAUAGGCUACUUUUAUUUUUUUAUUAUAACCGCAAGCUUUACAUGAAUAUCAAACAAUAUAUCACGUUUUGCUACUUUUUUCAGAGAUGUCUCCAAUGAUUGUUAUAAUGUAGCUAAAGCAUAUUUAAAGGACCACUAUAGUGCCAGGAAAACAUACUCGUUUUCCUGGCACUAUAGUGCCCUGAGGGUGCCCCCACCCUCAGGGACCCCCUCCCGCCCGGCUCUGGAAAGGGGAAAGGGUUAAAAACUUACCUUUUUCCAGCGCUGGGCGGGGAGCUCUCUGCUUCCUCUCCUCCUCUUCUCCUCCUCCUCCUGGACUGAAUGCGCACGCGCGGCAAGAGCUGCGCGCGCAUUCAGCCCGUCGCAUAGGAAAGCAUUUACAAUGCUUUCCUAUGGACGCUUGCGUGCUCUCACUGUGAAAAUCACAGUGAGAAGCACGCAAGCGCCUCUAGUGGUUGUCAAUGAGACAGCCACUAGAGGAUUAGGGGGAAGGCUUAACCCAUUCAUAAACAUAGCAGUUUCUCUGAAACUGCUAUGUUUAUAAAAAAAUGGGUUAACCCUAGAAGGACCUGGCACCCAGACCACUUCAUUAAGCUGAAGUGGUCUGGGUGCCUAGAGUGGUCCUUUAACCACUGCCAUGUUUCAGAAAGUUAAUGCUCAAUAGUUGUGGCGGGGCAAAAUGCUAAAAAGGUUAACUUACAGUCUGAAAGGGUUAAUUGGUUCAAAGUUUAGCUUCCAAUAACAUGUAUUUCCAAAUGGAAAGGAACCCUGUUAGGAUCAUGUUAGAAUUAUUGUCAUCACCUUUUUCUCUUCUUGGCACUAAAGUAGAUUCCUGGUGUGCAGGAGGCAUUAUUUUAUUAUAACUUACCCUCCCAUAGAGGACCUACCACAUAGGUGACAGAUUAAAUUGCACUACAGAAUAUUUAAUAGUGUGUAAUACAGAGAGCAGACACUGUAAAGGGAUUGGAUUAUUGACAGGUGAUAUGCCAUUAACAAUUUUGAAGUGUAAAAUCUAGUCUGAGACUACUUCUUUUUUUUUUUUUAUCUCGUCUUUUAUUGAGGUCAAAUACACCAGUACACCUGUUAUAACUCCUACUUGUAUUGUGAAUUUUUAAUACUGCGAAAUACAUAAUACAAAUAAGUAGGAGUUAUAACAGGUGUGCAGAAGAACCGCAGUGCUCAGGUCACAUACGAGUAGGCAUAUAGUAAUAGACAAAUCAAAGGAAACUCUUGGGGAGGUCAAGCUCAUUUUUAAAAUAUUAAUAAAAUAACAUGUUUUAUCAAAACUGUAGUGUACAAAAAGUAGUGGUCAGAGACUAAACUGUGAAACUGUGGUGUUGAGGUACCCAAACAGGCAUGAAAGAACUAUAAAUGAAUGCCACUAGGCAAACUGGACUGCUGGCAUAAUCUAGGCAAAAAAGAUCUAGACAUGGUGUGUACUAAUAAUAAAAGAUGCAAAGUUUCAUGCUAGGGUAAGUCAUUAAAGAUAUAACCUCUGUAGGGAGAUACAGCUAGAUAACACUACAGAGACAAAAUAUUAAAAAUAAAAUUAAAAAAUAAACAAUAUUAAAAAGCAUGGUGCAUUACGUAUAAAAUAAGAAGGGUGUCAUCCGCAACUGUUGAGUGGGGACAUUGCUCAGGCCGUAAACUCUCAUGUUGGACAAGCCUACUCCCAUUAGGGGCAAAGCCGCUUCACAGCCAGGCAAGGUCAUACACCUGAACCGGAAACCCUUCUGGCCCAAGGCCUGCAUGAGGGCCAACAUCAUUACACAGAACAGGAAACUGCUAGAGUCCAAGUUUAUCCCCUUCUGGAGGGGGACAGAGGAUUGAGAUGGUAGUCUCGGCUUGUUGUGGGUAAUCUUCUUCCCUUGUGGAUGACGCAAGGCGGUGAAGCAUCGUAUUGGCUCUAGGUCCACGUAGGUGUACAGUAGGUUGCCGAGGUGUUUUCUGAAGCAUUUCACCCCGAGGAGGUCCUUCCAUCUCUGGCUGCACGUGUCUCCAGUCUCCAACCUUUAGCUGGGACUUAUCUUCUGCGUUACUGUAUCGCUGACCAGAAUCUCUAAAAUAUCUAAUUGAGCCGCAACAGGGAGCAGGCUGUAGAGCCAUCGUGAGCCUACUGAGUUCACGUGAUGAACCCCACCGCUCCAAACAGGGGGAGUGUCUGGUUAGAUUGCUGCAUGUGGUUAGAUUGCCACUACACAAUGUGGGAGGUCGGCCGCCCCUCCUGACCAAUGCAGGCGCCAGGCCUCACCCAAUUUUCUGGCUUGUGCGGUGAGGGACACUUGGCCGAGCACUCCACUCAGCUCCACUGCUCACCGAAACAAGAUUUGCACCCGAGUUCUGCUGCAGUAUUCUCAUCAGGCAGGUAAAUUAGAAGUCACUAUGAUGGUCAGGCCCCGCCUGUCUGGUGUGAGACUUUUCAACACCACUUUUACCAUAUGGACUUUAUACACUAUGUUAAAUAUCUAGCUUUGGAACUCGCCAUCAUGCUCAAAAGGAGUUAGCAACAAAUUAAUCAUACUGUCAAAAACGUUUAAUCAAGGACAAGUGUUACCCUAACUUGAUGACAUGUAGAAGCAAGGUAUUGAUCACUUUUAUAUAUAUAUAUAUAUAUAUAUAUAUAUAUACAUACCCAAUACUUGAAAUGCUUGUUUAGCGGUACCUUCAAUAAACACACCCUGCAAAGUCCAUAUGAAAAAUGAUAGGUUUUUAACACAUUUUUAGCAUCAUUAGUGCAUUUGUUUAUGACUUUCUGCCUGUAAGUUAAUUGAAAGCCCUAUAAAGGACUUAGUUUAUUUCUUCUUAACCUCGCAAUAUGUGUCUAUCAAGCUUGACAUAGCAAGAUUAAAGAUAAACCUGUGGUUUAGGGCCGAAUGAUAAUGAUGAUUUUUUUUUUUCUGACUUAAAUGUUACUAGAAAAAAAUGUGAAACUUUGAUUGUCAUCACUCUCAUAUCUGAUGCACAAUGAUGCACAAUAAUGGACAAAAGUCAGAAAACUUAAUUCAUCAGUUACCACCAUUGGAUUGUAAUUUAAUAUGAACAGCACAGUAGAAGCCAGUUUUUGACUGCCAGCAGUGCCCCGUGUUUUGUGUCAAAUUGCUCUAACAAAUUGACAGAAAACAGGAGAAAGUGUGGGAAAGUGGGUCACCUCUAAAAAUUCCUUGUACAAUAACCACAACAAUAAGUAUGUAUUUUUUUUGCAUUCAGUUAAAAGCAGAGGAUACAUUUUGGUUUGACAAUAUUUCAACUGAGUGUACCACCUUGCUGAAACUAUUUUCUUUUACAAUGUAUCUACUAUGUUUAUUUUUAAGUUUAUAGUUUUUUUUUUAAUAUUUCAAGAUAUGUGGCAUAAUCUUUCUACCUUAAUUUGUAGCGGUAUGCUGUGCUUAGAGGUAUGUCAGGUUUACAAUGGUUUGGCUUAUUGUAAUUUAUAUUACUUACUUUGCCUUCACACCUCUAUACCAUCCUAUUGACUUCCUCUUCUUCUUCCUUUUUUUUUUUUACUUCUAAUUUGGUUCAUCAUUAUCGCAACUUUCCAGUGAAUUAAAUCCUUCUGUCUAAAAAUAAAUGAGCUGUGGUUUAAUGCAUGUGUUAAUGACAAAAAACAGACUGUAUUUACAAUGAGUUGGUUUUAUAUAGCUUGGUUGCUUCACCUAAGUGUUGCUUCUAAGUGUGUAGUUGGAAAUAUUCUGGAGAAUUUUACAGAAGCUUCAACUGUCUAAGAGUUGUGCUAAGAGCUUUCUUUUCUACUGUUACAGGUAAGAUUCAUCUGUAGGAAAAGGUUACUGAUUGCACAAGGUUUGAAUUCCUGUUGGUAAUUAUAAGGCAUUUGAUUUAAUUAGUCAGUUACUUGCUAUUGAUUGCUGUUUAAAUUAGCUAUUGUUUGCAAAUAAGCAGAGGCCUACCCAGGUGUUAAACAUUCAUAGUGGGUGGUGAUUUUCGGAGUUAUAUAAGGGUUGUUGUCAUUAGCUUGGCUAAUAUAGCUUGGUUGCUUCAUCUAAGUGUUGCUUCUAAGUGUGUAGUUGGAGAUAUUCUGGAGAGUGUUGCUUCUAAGUGUGUAGUUGGAGAUAUUCUGGAGAGUGUUGCUUCUAAGUGUGUAGUUGGAGAUAUUCUGGAGAUAACCUGGAGGUAAUCUGAGGUAUUCAGGAGGAUAAAUACAAAGUUAAGAUUUGUUUGAUUUAAAUUAUUCUCCUCAUUGGAAUGGCAGACUAAGUUCAGUGUAAUAGUUGCUAUGAGUUUGUUUCACGUUCCACUUUUUGGAGAUUUGGUUGUUGUCUAAUCUGUAGACAGUUCUCUAUCUUGCAGCAGGAGAUUGUAUUUUUGAAGUCUGAGAUUUGUAAAUUAUCUGGUGAACAAGCUCAGACUGGAACUGCUGCAAAGCCACUGCCGCAGAGACAUACUAGGAAUGGCAGAUGGAUUACUGUAGGAUCUGGUAGACUUAGAGUUGUGGAUAAAAGGCAUUUUGCACAGUCUGUUGCUCUACAUAAUUCAUUUUCUGCACUUUCAGAGUGUAAUGGUGUUAUGGAGAGAGGCACUGAGGCUAGUGGUGUUGUGGAGAGAGGCACUGAGGCUAGUGGUUUUGUGGAGAGAGGCACUGAGGCUAGUGGUGUUGUGGAGACCGGCUUGGAGACUAUGGUGAGGCCUAAUAGAAAGCAGUUGUUGUUGGGGGAUUCCAUUAUAAGAGGUGUGGAGAUGGACAGUGGUGGUCUUGUGAGGUGUCUUCCUGGAGCUAUUGCUCACAGAGACAGGAGACGUAUCUGUAAUAUUAUUAAGCAUAACACUCAGAACGUCAGGCGGAUGCGUAUUAGGGACUUUAAUUUGUGGCUUGGUGAAUGGUGUCGGGAGCAAGGAUUUGGCUUUAUUUCUCAUGGUACCUCUGUUUGGAAUGGAAAUAAGCUGUACAAAAAAGAUGGUUUUCAUCUUUCUCAAAAGGGAACAAAUGUUCUCAGUGAGCGGUUCAGGUUUCAGGUUUUUCUAGGAUGUAUUUAAACUAGGAGGGGGGGGGGGGCAAAAGGGUGAUGAAACAUCAAUCCAAUUGUCCCCCAAAACAAGGACAGAAGGUGCCUGUAGCAAGUGUGUUAAAAAAUGAUAAGCUUAGAGGCAUGUCUACAAAUGCUCGCAGUUUUAGUGAAAAAGAUCCAUGAACUUGUGGCAAUAAUGGCAACUGAUAGUGUAGAUUAGUCGCUGUUACUGAGACAUGGUAUAAUGAGAAAAAUGACUGGGACAUAGCAAUACCAGGGUACUCUUUAUAUAGAAAAGAUAGGAAGGCAAGAAAGGGGGAGGGGUGGCCCUGUAUGUGAAGGAUAGCAUAAAAUCUAGCCUAAUAAAAGUUAGUGAGACAAACAUAGAGUCCGUUUGGGUUACGUUAGAAUUUGGUAAUCACACAGUAACUUGUGUAGGUGUGAUUUAUAGGCCCCCAGGACAAAUUGAAGAGUUAGAUAAUCUACUAGUUGAGGAAAUAGCUAAAAUGACAAUGAAGGGGGAAGUUAUCAUCAUGGGUGACUUUAAUCUUCCUGAUGUAAAUUGGAAAACAAAAUUAGCUACUUGUGCCAGGAGCACACAUAUUCUUAACUCACUACUGGGAUUGUCUCUAAAACAAGUUGUUGAAGAGCCAACUCGUAAAGAGGCCAUACUAGAUUUAGUGUUAACAAAUGGAGAUUUGGUAUCAGAUAUUACUGUAGGUGAAAGUUUAGGAUCCAGUGAUCAUCAGUCAGUGUGGUUUAAUAUAAGAACAGUGACUGAGUCACACCACAUAAAAACAGAGUCAUUAUCAGACUGGAUCAAUUUAAAUGGAGUCCAAGAGAAAUGGGAUUAUUUAAAAGUUGCACUAUUGAAGGCAACAGAAAAUUGCAUUAGGCUUGUCAGUAAAAGCAAAAAAUUCAAGAAACCACUGUGGUACUCCGCAGAUGUGGCCAAAAUAGUUAAAAACAAAAAGUUAGCAUUUAGGAAUUAUAAAAAAACCCAGAGUGAGGAAGACAAAAUGAUCUAUAAGAUUAGGCAGAAAGAGGCUAAGCAAGUUAUAAGAGCUUCCAAAUCACACACGGAAGAGAAAAUAGCACAGUCAGUAAAAAAGGGGGAUAAAACAUUUUUUAGAUACAUAAAUGAGAAAAGAAAAGUAAAACAAGGAUUAGUUAGAUUAAAAACAAAAGAAGGAAGGUAUGUAGAAGAGGAUAAAGGUCUAGCUGACUGCCUCAAUCAAUAUUUUUGUUCUGUAUUUACAGAUGAAAAUGAAGGAAAAGGACCUCAGUUGAGAAAAAGGAUAAAUUAGUCAUUUAUUACAUGUGAGUUUACAGAGGAAGAGGUUCUAUUUCAACUGUCAAAAGUAAAGACAAAUAAGUCAAUGGGACCUGAUGGAAUACACCCAAAGCUAUUAAAAGAGCUUAGUGGUGUACUAGCAAAACCAUUAACAGAUUUAUUUAACCAAUCAUUGUUAACAGGAGUAGUCCCAGAAGAUUGGAAGUUAGCGAAUGUUGUGCCCAUUUACAAGAAAGGUAAUAGGGAGGAGUCGGGCAACUAUAGGCCAGUAAGCCUUACUUCAGUAGUGGGGAAAGUGAUGGAAACCAUGUUAAAGGAUAGGAUUGUUAAACAUCUAAAAACACAUGGAUUUCAAGAUCAGAGACAACAUGGAUUUACUUCAGGGAGAUCAUGCCAAACUAAUCUUAUUGAUUUUUUUGAUUGGGUAACUAAAAUUAUAGAUCAGGGUGGUGCAGUAGACAUUGCUUACCUAGAUUUCAGUAAGGCUUUUGACACUGUUGCACAUAGAAGGCUUAUCAAUAAACUGCAAUCUUUAAGUUUGGAUUCCAAUAUUGUUGAAUGGGUAAGGCAGUGGCUGAGUGACAGGCAACAGAGGGUUGUAGUUAAUGGAAUAUAUUCGAAGCUUGGACUUGUCACCAGUGGGGUACCUCAGGGAUCUGUACUUGGACCCAUUCUCUUUAAUAUUUUUAUUAGUGAUAUUGCAGAAGGUCUUGAUGGUAAGGUAUGUCUUUUUGCUGAUGAUACUAAGAUAUGUAACAGGGUUGAUGUUCUAGGAGGGAUAAGCCAAAUGACAAAUGAUUUAGGUAAACUAGAAAAAUGGUCAGAAUUGUGGCAACUGACAUUUAAUGUGGAUAAGUGCAAGAUAAUGCAUCUUGGACGUAAAAACCCAAGGGCAGAGUACAGAAUAUUUGAUAGAGUCCUAACCUCAACAAUUGAGGAAAGGGAUUUAGGGGUGAUUAUUUCUGAUGACUUAAAGGUAGGCAGACAAUGUAAUAGAGCAGCAGGAAAUGCUAGCAGAAUGCUUGGUUGUAUAGGGAGAGGUAUUAGCAGUAGAAAGAGGGAAGUGCUCAUGCCAUUGUACAGAACACUGGUGAGACCUCACUUGGAGUAUUGUACACAGUACUGGAGACCUUAUCUUCAGAAGGAUAUUGAUACCUUAGAGAGGGUUCAGAGAAGGGCUACUAAACUGGUUAAUGGAUUGCGGGAUAACACUUACCAGGAAAGGUUAAAGGAUCUUAACAUGUAUAGCUUGGAGGAAAGACGAGACAGGGGGGAUAUGAUAGAAACAUUUAAAUAUAUAAAGGGAAUCAACACAGUAAAGAAGGAGACUAUAUUUAAAAAGAAGAAAAACUACCACAACAAGAGGACAUAGUCUUAAAUUAGAGGGACAAAGGUUUAAAAAUAAUAUCAGGAAGUAUUACUUUACUGAGAGGGUAGUGGAUGCAUGAAAUAGCCUUCCAGCUGAAGUGGUAGAGGUUAACACAGUAAAGGGGUUUAAGCAUGCGUGGGAUAGGCAUAAGGCUAUCCUAACUAUAAGAUAAGGCCAGGGACUAAUGAAAGUAUUUAGAAAAUUGGGCAGACUAGAUGGGCCGAAUGGUUUUUAUCUGCCGUCACAUUCUAUGUUUCUAUGUUUCUUUGCUAUGAUUUGCUUCUUAAGAGGCAGUUAGGCACAUGAACCAACACAGGACAACGUAGUGGGUAAGUACAUUAAAACAUGAACCCUGCACAAGUGAACAUACACCCAAUAAGCUAAAAAGGGACAAUUGCUUGAUGCAAGGAGUAACAAUAUCUAAAUGUCUCUCAACACACCCAAUUUCAGCAGGAUAGUCCCUAUUUUAGGGAUUUUGUUCCCUGGUUUCUUGCAUCUGUGGAUAUAAGGGAAGUGUACUGGGACCCAACAGCAGCGGUCUCUGCAUGGUCCUUUUGAAGGAGCUGCCUUUACUGCAGCUGUCUUCAGUUCUUGUUGGUUUAUGGAUCUUUCUGCCUUCAGUUUUGUCUAUAGCAAGUAAAAUGCAUGCUUGAUCGGGUUGAGAUCAGGUGAUUGACUCGGCCAUUGCAGAAUAUUCCACUUCUUUGCCUUAAACUCCUGGGUUACAUUCGCAGUAUGUUUUGGGUCAUUGUCAAUCUGUAUAGCGAAGUGCCAUGCUUUAAUAGUCUGGAGUGUCCCUUUAAUGUUAUUCCUAACUCAACCCCAUUUGCUUUAUAUGUUGUUUGUUCCUUAUAAAAUAUAUGACUUUACAUUUAUCUGUAUUGAAUUUAAUCUGCCAAUUGCCUGUCCGAUUCCAAAAUGUGUCAAAAUCUCUCCAUUGAGGAGUUAUAUCCUCUUCAGACUGCAUUAUCUUAUCUACUUUUAUGGAAGAUAAAAAUACAAAAAAGGUAGCGCCUGUGAGGAAUAAAUAUAUAAAUAAAAUAAAUAAAUACAUAAAAUAACAUAACAAAAGUCCAGGUAACUUAACACAAGUCCAAGUAAGGUAGUUCAAAAUAGUAGGGAAGGUUAUUUAUGGAGCAGCAGAUUUAAUUGAUAGUAGUGGUGUCACGGAAUAAAACUUGGGAUCCAGUAGGACGUGUGGAGAAAAAAAAAAAAAAAAGGAACUCCAAUGGUAUGGUAUGUACAUACAAUGUGUUACAAAAGGUAUAUAAAUGAGAUACUACUCGCAAUACCCAGAGCUACAAUCCAACUCUUGUUUGAAAAGCGUGAAGUGGAAUAAUCCCCACUCAAGGAUAUAUGUAGUUCUCCAAGCUUCCAAUCUUGUGUAGCAGCAGAGUAAUCCAAAAAAUAAAAGGUAACCAAAUAUAGUGCUCACUGUAUCUUUAUGAGUCAAAGUAAAAUAUAUGAAAUGUACUUACAAAUUGCCGAGCAGACUCAUUGCUCGGUGUAUAAUGUGUGGGUGGUAUAAUCCCCACCUAGGGAUUAUUUAUACUUCUUAGAAAAAGCAAAAGAGAUGUCAGGCCAAAAUUUUUUAAAAACUAAAAAAAGAAUAUGGCAAAUGUGGUAUAUAGCCAAAAGAAUUCCUUUAUUAAAAUACUUUACUAAAUAGAAACAUAGAAACAUCGAAUGUGACGGCCCAUCUAGUCUGCCCAAUACUUAACUAAAUACUUAACACUUGGACUAGUGUGGAGACACAAUGUCAGUGCCGCACACUGUGCAGUACUGCCACAGGAAGCACCUGUAGCAGCCAUCUGAGGAAUGGCCACUGGAGGUAUCCCUAAACUGUAAUGUAAAUAGUGCAUUUUCUCUAGAAACAGUGUUUACUGCAAAAAGCCUCAAGGGAAUGAUUCUACUCACCAAAACAAGUAAAAUAAGUUGUAGUUUCUCUGGUAACUCCAGUGUCCCUAAGUGUUUGUCAAGUUCAUACAAAAUGUAAUUUUUAAUCUCAAUGAUACCAUAUUAUAGUGAUUAUUUACUAGGUUCUCCCUAACUUAAAUGUUUGAAAAUAGGUCAGCAUUAUUAGUUUUACAAAAUUCAGAUAAGCAUCUAUCCUAGUGGUGAUUCUACUAAUUGAAACACAAAAGUGUCUUUAUCAAAAACCUGUAACUCUUAACUGUAUUAUUAAUCCCUCUAACCCAGUCAAUAUCUGGAUGAUCAAAACAUAUCUAAAGAUUGAACAAAUUACCGAGCUGUGCAGUUUUAUUAAUUUGAGGUAACAGCUGCUCUUCCCCAUCAGUAAUAAUGUUUAGGAGUUGGUGACAUAUUACUAUUAAUGAACACCCUGUUUUUUUGUGUAAUGCAAAAUUCUACCCACAAGGCUUCCACAGCCUUAAUUGAAUCAUCACAUACCAUUUCAUUAACUCCUGGCAUCAACACAGGUUUUGAUAUAAAAAUAUACCCCUCCCACUUUUCUAUUUUUUUUCUAUCCUUUCUAAAUAAUGCAUAUCCAUUUAAAUUAACAGCCUAAAUAAGUAUUUAAUCCCACAAAGUCUCAGAGAAUAAUGUCCAGUCUGAGCAUAUUUCAGACAUGCUGUUAGAGAUGAUUUCUGAGGUGCCUAAAUUAAUCUCCAGUAUAGUGUGUGAACUGGACACACUAUCUAUAAUAGUUAUAUAACUAUUAUUACAAAAGUAUACUCUAUUAGGUAAAACACUAUCUAACAAAAGUGUUGCAAUCUUGGGUUAUAUCAUGCUUAAAAAGUAGCUUAGCCAUAACCGAGCUUGUCAUGUAUUGGUUGUGAGUGAAAUCUGUGUAGGUAGAUUUUAUUUUUGUGAUAAAUUAUGUGUGCAUCACAUCCAGGAGGCUGUGAAUUCAAUUCAUGCAUUAUAAUUUGUGUUCUGCUGUUUCUUUUUAUUUUACAAGUGUAUAAUGCUUUUACAAUGUAUAUUUAAAACCCAUAUACCUAUCCAUAUGUAUGUUAAUUUUUGUGAUUUAAAAAAAAAAUCAUAAAAAAAUAUAUUUUAUGCCCAUACAAGGAAUUCAACCCCUGCUGCUAGUGUGAAAAGCAAAAACACUUGACCACUAUACUAUAAAGAAACUCACUUAGUAAGAAAGCCCAGUUGCAAUACAGUACUGUGUGUCUGUGUUGAUAAUGCAUCAUCCAAUGCCAGCACUGUGUAUCUGCUCCAGAUAAUGUGCCCCCCUGUCCCAGAACUUUACAUGGCUGUUGAAGCAUUCGGCCAGACUUUCCCAUGUUUCAAGUCAGAUUCAAUAGGUGAAGUCUUCAGCAGAUGCCACUGCUAAUUGUGCAUAUUAUGUCAUUGGAAUGCAAUUCCUCACCUUGUUCAUGUCUUGGCUUCACAAUUGUAAAUGUUUUUUGCCAAAAUGGAAAUGUAAUGGUUAAAACCGAUUUAUUUUAGGCAAUUUAUUAUUGCUCCCUUUGGGAAUAGCAGCAUUGUGCAGACAAAAAAACAUUGUACAUUAAACCACAUUUCCUGGUAGCUUAUCUGAGGAGGCACACCAGGAGAUGGAAUAAUUUUCUGCCUACUUUUUAUAAAGUGCUUUCUGCAUGCAUGAGAUUAACAUUUAGAACAAUGACACUAGGUACACAUAAACUUCUUUUAACCAGGCAACAGAUAUUGCAUGUUUUGAGUUAGAAAUGGCCUCUAAACAGGAUGAAUCUAAAUUAAAAACACCAUGUGCUGCUUAACAUAUUGUGUGAGGUGUUUAUAUAUAAACUGUAUAUCUAGGGCAAAAUUCUGAAAGUGGGGCAGUAGUUAUGAUAACCAAUAGACUAUCUCUGCUCUUUGCUAUACUUUUAGAACUCUGCCCCAGAUUAGCUCUUUUUAAUGAGGCAUAUUUAUCAGAGGGAAGGUCCUAAUGGGAUAGAAAAUGUUUAUUAAUGUACCUGGGUCUAAUGCAUUUUCGCCAUAUUUUUCUAUCCCGAUUUAGAAACUGAUUUAGAAUGCUGUGUGGAUAUAUACACACAUUACACUUUGCUUUCCAUCUAAAACACAUGCAGUGAUUGCAUUUUAACAUGCACUCUGGGGAGUUGGCCUCAAAUAAAUAAUCUAAACACAAAAUCAUUAUUUUGCAAGCAAUUAAUCAAAAAAGACAUACAAUAUUUAAAGGCAGGCCCCCUCCCCCCUGUUUAAAAGGGAAUUACUUGGGAAAUACUUAUCAUUUCACAUUAAACACAUUGGUGUGAACCCAGAAUCAUUUAGAAAAAUGAGCCGGAAGGACUAAGAUGUGUGUGUGUGUGUGUUUGCACGCAGAUUAUAUAUUUAUAAGGUAUCAAAACACAUUGAGAGUUCUGUCGUCAAGUAUGUACAAUACAGUGUUAUACGUUCAGGACAUAGAUAAUACAAUUACACAUAUUAACAGUAAUAGAAGCAGGGAUUUGGUUCAAAAUAGAGACAGAAAUUAGCAGGUUUUUUUUUUGGGGGGGGGACUUUUUACUAGAUUAGAUUAUUUUUAUUAGUAUACCCCAAAUUUCCAAAGCUAUGUGUAUAUAUAAUUAGAUUAUAUUGUAUUUUUUUGAACUGUCAACUAUGACAACUGAAGUGCUUAUGGUGGUCUGGUGCUUAUAGCUUGUAGGGAAAGUUUGGGAGAUCAUACUGCUGGGGAAAAGUGAGAGUUUUCCAUAGUAGUAUAAAGCAGGCAAGAAAGGUGAAUGUUUGAUGUGUAAUCCCAGGUGUGUUUUAAUAUACUAAUAUAGAGUUCUUUUUUAAUUUUUUUAUUCUUUAUUUUGCAUUUUUGUUUAUUACAUACAAGGAACUAGAGCAUAGCAAUACAGGGAGUGCAGAAUUAUUAGGCAAGUUGUAUUUUUGAGGAUUAAUUUUAUUAUUGAACAACAACCAUGUUCUCAAUGAACCCAAAAAACUCAUUAAUAUCAAAGCUGAAUAUUUUUGGAAGUAGUUUUUAGUUUGUUUUUAGUUAUAGCUAUGUUAGGGGAUAUCUGUGUGUGCAGGUGACUAUUACUGUGCAUAAUUAUUAGGCAACUUAACAAAAAACAAAUAUAUACCCAUUUCAAUUAUUUAUUAUUACCAGUGAAACCAAUAUAACAUCUCAACAUUCACAAAUAUACAUUUCUGACAUUCAAAAACAAAACAAAAACAAAUCAGUGACCAAUAUAGCCACCUUUCUUUGCAAGGACACUCAAAAGCCUGCCAUCCAUGGAUUCUGUCAGUGUUUUGAUCUGUUCACCAUCAACAUUGCGUGCAGCAGCAACCACAGCCUCCCAGACACUGUUCAGAGAGGUGUACUAUUUUCCCUCCUUGUAAAUCUCACAUUUGAUGAUGGACCACAGGUUCUCAAUGGGGUUCAGAUCAGGUGAACAAGGAGGCCAUGUCAUUAGAUUUUCUUCUUUUAUACCCUUUCUUGCCAGCCACGCUGUGGAGUACUUGGACGCGUGUGAUGGAGCAUUGUCCUGCAUGAAAAUCAUGUUUUUCUUGAAGGAUGCAGACUUCUUCCUGUACCACUGCUUGAAGAAGGUGUCUUCCAGGAACUGGCAGUAGGACUGGGAGUUGAGCUUGACUCCAUCCUCAACCCGAAAAGGCCCCACAAGCUCAUCUUUGAUGAUACCAGCCCAAACCAGUACUCCACCUCCACCUUGCUGGCGUCUGAGUCGGACUGGAGCUCUCUGCCCUUUACCAAUCCAGCCACGGGCCCAUCCAUCUGGCCCAUCAAGACUCACUCUCAUUUCAUCAGUCCAUAAAACCUUAGAAAAAUCAGUCUUGAGAUAUUUCUUGGCCCAGUCUUGACGUUUCAGCUUGUGUGUCUUGUUCAGUGGUGGUCGUCUUUCAGCCUUUCUUACCUAGGCCAUGUCUGAGUAUUGCACACCUUGUGCUUUUGAGCACUCCAGUGAUGUUGCAGCUCUGAAAUAUGGACAAACUGGUGGCAAGUGGCAUCGUGGCAGCUGCACGCUUGACUUUUCUCAGUUCAUGGGCAGUUAUUUUGCGCCUUGGUUUUUCCACACGCUUCUUGCGACCCUGUUGACUAUUUUGAAUGAAACGCUUGAUUGUUCGAUGAUCACGCUUCAGAAGCUUUGCAAUUUUAAGAGUGCUGCAUCCCUCUGCAAGAUAUCUCACUAUUUUUUGACUUUUCUGAGCCUGUCAAGUCCUUCUUUUGACCCAUUUUGCCAAAGGAAAGGAAGUUGCCUAAUAAUUAUGCACACCUGAUAUAGGGUGUUGAUGUCAUUAGAUCACACCCCUUCUCAUUACAUAGAUGCACAUCACCUAAUAUGCUUAAUUGGUAGUAGGCUUUCGAGCCUAUACAGCUUGGAGUAAGACAACAUGAAUAAAGAGGAUGAUGUGGUCAAAAUACUAAUUUGCCUAAUAAUUCUGCACUCCCUGUACAGAAAAUAACGAUCACAAAAUAGGAAGGAUGAAGGCAAUACAUGCGUAGGACAGUGCAAUUUGCUUAGAACAAGGUAAUAGAUUUAAUGGUAUUCCUGAAUUCCGGAAUAGUCAACGAAUAUAGAGUUCUAAAAAUAAGAUUAGCUUAUCUAUGAGUGGUGUGCUUUUAUUUGGAACACGUACUUAAUACACCUGUGGGUGGCCAGGGACUCUUAUCUUGUGGCAUAUAGGAACAUGGAAAGGGCCCACUUUUGCCCAUACAAAAGCAUUAAAUAAGCGAUUCACUCAGCUGCUGAAACUGUGCUUUGAAAAUAUACACCACUCCAUUUCACAACCUGCUCAUGCUGUAGGGAUGGUUGGUGCAUAAUUCCCAAAAUUCUAACACUGCCAGCAAAAACUGGGAUUUGGUUCCGAGCAGGCAACAUUUUUUUCCGAUCUUCUAGUGUCCAGGUUUUACUGAUGUGUGUGUGUGUGUGUGUGUGUGUGUGUGUGGAGUUCUUGUCUCUGCUUGCUGGUCUGUCACGGAAAUGGAAUUUAGCAAGGUCUUCUGCUGUUAUAUUACAUUAACUUAAAAGAUUCCCAUAUUGUGCAUUCCGACAUUUUACUAUUCUAAAAAGUUUGUAAUUGAGUGUUUGUGUUUAUUACUAUUCAAAGAGCUGCCGCUCACUUGAUGAUAACUAUUUAUUGUCCAUUCACUGUAACCAAUAGGGACCAAAGAGCAUAAUAAUCCAAGUGAGUUCAGUGGUUUCUCGGAUGCUGGGAUCACCACAUCUGGAGCCAAAAGCAUACCAAAGAUCAUUUGUCUUCCGUAUUGCAAUGUUUGGCUGAAUACCAACUAAAUCUAUUUACUACAAGCAUGUCAAACUCCAAGGCUAACAUGGGCCUAAUAAACAAGGUUCAAGUUUAUGUAUGCCGCAAAAAAAAAAAAAGAGUUUGACUUAGACCAACACAAACUAAAAUUACUUGUAGUAUUCUCAUACAAACAAUAUGUAAUCUUGGGUACAUACAGAUAAUUUUCUCAAAAGCUUCACUUCAAGUUACUUACUAUGCCCCUCCAAUCUUAUACACAGCCGUCCUCGGCCCGCCCACACACUAAUACACUGCCCCUAAUCUAAUACACUGCCCUCCUCCCUCCACUCUAAUUUAACACACUGCCUCCCCUCCUUCCCCCCCAAUUUAACACACUGUCCCCACUCACACCACUCUAAUUUAAUACACUGCAUACCCUCCCCCCAUUUCAAUAUACUGCACUCCACCUCCCCUCUCCCACCACUCUAAUACACUCCCCCACCUACCUCCCCCAAUUUAAUACACUGCCCCCUCUCCUGCCCCCCAUUUAUUACACUACACUACAGAAAGGUUCCACUAAGCCCCUCUUCCCCUAACUUAAGCUGUCUUCCAGUCUAGCCCUGCACGAUCUUCUCUGCUCAUGCAGGCCACAUGCUUCUCUGGCACUGCGAGCAGCAGGGAAGGGGGAGUAAAAGCCACUCUGCGCACUAUAGCGCAGUCGCCGCAUAUGACUCCAUACGCUUUAUGCAUAUAUACGGUGGCCAGCACGGCAGAAUGUUUUGCACUCUUGCGGACGUUGGAGCACGCUGCCCCAGGGGGCGGCCUACCGGGAUAUUUCCCGGUAUCCCGGUAGGCCAGUCCGGCCCUGGGCCACAAAGAUGCUCAUUGUGGGCCGCAUGUUUGACAUGCUUGCUUUACUAUGUAUCAAAAUGCAGCCUCAUAAUUUGCAUAUUGUGCGGCUUAGUGUAAACUGAAAUAAUAGAAGUAAUACAUUCAAUUCUCUUUUUAUUUAUGACUGUUCCAACCAUACAUCAUUGUAGAAAACUUGCAAUUUUUCAGGGUUGUUCACUAAAGUGACAAUUGUCAUGAAUUCAAAGGGAAUUUCAAAUGUAAGGCCUAAGUAACCAAACUGGAAAAAUUCUCUAACUCAUGUAUGCAUUCAGUUCAGGUACUUUGACCUUUUUCUGUAUCUGCUUCAUCUCAUUAAACUGGUUAUAGUGUCUGGAGUCCUCUGGUACCAUCAUUUCCUUCAGCAUUAAACAGUUUUUAAACUUUUAAUGUUUUAAUGCUAAACAAGAGUCCCCGGCAAUCCAUCCCCUCUGUGCUGCUUUGGCUAAUAAGGAAGUAUUAGCCUAAGCAGCAAUAGGCAGCUGUGAUUGGCUGAGAGUGUCAGCUGACUGCUUUUAACCUGUCAGAGUUCCAACUGACGGUAUGAAUGGGUAUGACAACAAGGAAGUGUGUAAUCUCUGCCUUAGCUACACAUACAGAAGGGGCCGGACUGUGGGUGACCAGGGACUCUUAUCUUGUGGCAUACUGCACGAACACUGAAUGGAGGGACAGUGCCAGGGCACUCCAGGCACUAUGACCAAUUCAAAGAGAUGAAAUGCUUAUAGUGACUACAGUGUCCCUUUAAUAUACCCACAAUUUAAAUAACUAGUAACAGUGGUGUACUAAGGGGAGUGCGGGUGGGGGGGCAGUUCGCCCAGGUGCCACUCACUAGGGGAGUGCCAUGACCAGGGCGGCCUUAGGAUGGUAUGCUGUGCAGCUGCAGGACUUCAAAACCAGCCGCAUUUAAGAAAAACAGAGGUGGAGCUAAUCUGAGACGGGGACGGAGCCAAACCAGCAGCGGGGCAGGGCUAAACACGGCCUCCACCCGCUGCUGUUACUGCUGCACAUCGAGGAGAAGCAGGAUGGACUCCCUUCUUCCCCAACUAACAGACUCCAGGGACUUAAGUUAAUCCACUCCUCCUCUGGCCCAUACAGUCAGUAAGUAAGAGAGAGUAUGUGUGUGUGUUGACUGUCUGUCUGUUACUGUGUGUGUGUCUGACUGCCUGCUGCCUGUGACUGUGUGUGUGCGGGUGCCAUUAACAUAGCAGGGGAUAAGAAAAUCUUAAUUAAACAGAACUUGCAAUAAAGAAAGCCUAAAUAGGGCUCUCUUUACAGGAAGUGUUUAUGGAAGGCUGUGCAAGUCACAUGCAGGGAGGUGUGACUAGGGUUCAUAAACAAAGGGAUUUAACUCCUAAAUGGCAGAGGAUUGAGCAGUGAGGCUGCAGAGGCAUUUUCUAUACACCAAAACUGCUUCAUUAAGCUAAAGUUGUUCAGUUGACUAUAGUGUCCCUAUGUAAACCCUAUGUCAUGCUAAAUAGAUUACCAGUAAAUUUCUACAGGCCACCAUUUCAGUAUCACUUUGUGUUCUAUAGCGAUCGCCCAACAUCUUUGAUUAAUGUAGAUAUUAAAAUUUAGGUACUGGGAUACCUGACAAUUACACCAACAAUUUUAUAACAUUGCAUUAACAUGCAAUUGGUCCCUCCUUUGCAUCUAUAACAGCUUUCACUUUAACGGGAAGGCUUUUUCUUUUUACCCCUCCCAAUGGUUAGGUCUAUUUUUGUUUAAUUUAUUACAUGUUUAGAUUUAAAAAAAAAAUAAUCUAUACUUCUUCUAUCAUUUUUAUUUGACCACGUCCAUGAUUCUGGCGAUGGCUUGAAAUUUAAAAAAAAUAAGUCUGACAAUUUGUAUUUACAUUUGUUUGGUCUGCAAAAAGGGGCCGGAUGAAUGGCCAUACCAAUCGAAUGCCAUGUUGUACAUAUGAAUCUGUUUUUUCAUGUUUAAGAUUCAAACCUUGCUGUAAGUAAAUUAUCAUAGAUUUUUUGGGGGAGUUUUUUGUUUUGGUGUAAUGCCGCUUGUAUGUGUGGUUUUCGUUAACUGCAAUACUGGAACAUUACUUAUGUAUUUUUAUCAAAUCUAUCCGUGACAACAAAAAAGAACACUCCAAGAACCAUAAACCCCACAACAUUACACAGUGGUUAUGGUAGCAGAUGUGCACUUGCCCCCUUCCUUAUUGUAAGGAGUUAAACCAUACAUGAACAGCUUCUUAUAAUGCAUCCGCCAGGUGCCAUUCCAUGCCUCCCCUACCAAGGCUGGAGAAACAUAAUUCAAUUAUUAAAUUAUGCAACCCCUUUCCUCUACAGGCGGUGUGGGUCCUAACUUCUUUUUUUGUUUUGUACUUUUUUUCUGAUGUCCUCACUCUGUAGAUAUGCAUUAUUUAAACUCAUAAUUUAACAUUACAUUUCAAUUAUAGAGAUCCCCCUUAAUUCAUCCUCCAGGUAAAUGGUUCUGAUAAUUUAGAGAGAUGCAUGUUGUGAAGGGCAGGAGUCUGCUUUCUGCUUUGCAUUGCAAUUACCCACACAAUUCUGCUGGCAAUCUGUACAGUUCAUUGUUAUAUUUUAUAUAUCUGCUCAAAUUAUUGUUGCAUGAGUAGAAAGUGAAAUUUUAUAUUUGUGCUUCAAUUGCAGGGUGUCUCAUGGGAGCUAUGAUAUUUCCACAGGAUUUUCUCCUGCCAGUACUUUAUAAACACUGACCUUUCUGCGCAGUUUAGGGUGUAAAGAUGAAAAGCAAAAGCAAUAUAGAGCAUAAUAAGUAAAAGAGUUAAUAAGACAAGGAGGUAGUGUGUGGUUAAAAAACACAUCCAGACCAAAUCCAUUGAGGAGGUCUUGGAGAGACCAUUGUUUGACUGGCAGUGCCAUUUCAUUGUUUCUUAUGCAACAACCCCCAUUUGCAAAUGUAUGUUAUCAUCCUAAAUGGUCAUAUACCAUACCAGCUCAGAUAACUUUAACUAUCACGUUUUCUAGUCCGUUCAGAGGAUAAAUAAUGAUGUGCAAUAAUUAUGUGCUACUCAAAUCUGGUAUAUUUAAUGUAAAGCCAAGCUAAAACAUUUUUUCUUAAUCAUACCUCCAAAGGAGGGACAGUCCCUAUUUUGUGCCUACAUCCACCUGUUUUGUAAGAGCUCAAUAUUCUUAGUGUGUAAUGGAUUUAUACUACAUUAAAUGUGUGUUUAGAAAUUGGUCUGUAUAUAUAAGACAAUAUGUUCUGGUUCAGUUUAGUCUGUAUGUAUGUAUUGCAUUUGUUGGAGGUACCAAUAAAGAUGUUUAAUUUGAUCGAUAAUUUACAUUUUUAUUCCUGUGAGUGGUUGUAUAGGCAGGGUCCCGGUGCACUGCUUUUGCUGCUCUUAAGAUGGCCUUGAAGUGAUACCUACACAACACGGACAAAUAUACUGGGACACACCUAAUUAUUUAAUUCAGGUGUUUCAAUCAGACGCAUUGACACAGGUGUAUACAAUCAAGCACCUAGCCAUGCAAUCUGCAUUUACAAACAUUUAUGAACAAAAUGGGUCAUUCUGAAGAGCUCAGUGAAUUCAAGCAUUGUACUGUGGUAGGAUGUCACCUUUGCAAAAAGUCAGUUUGUAAAAUUUCAUCCCUGGUACAUAUUCCCCGGUCACCUGGAAGUGGUAUAAUCGGACAGUAGAAGUGAUUGGGAAGAGCAGCAACUCAGCCAUAAAGUGGAAGACCACAUAGUUACAGAGCAGGGUAAUUGAAUGCUGAAAUGCACGGUGUGUAAAGGUCGAUGUAACAGAGCUUCCUGUACCCCGGUUGGGUACCUCCGCUGACGGAUGCUCCUAGUGCUCACCGAGGCCCCCCCCAAGCACUCCACCAGACACCAUCAGCACCGCAGUCCCCAUGUCCAGUGUUACAGCUUGGCUGGCAAUUUGCCGUCCUCCACCCACCCUGGACCCAAGACCAGGAUCCAGCUUCCAGUGGGUGAACCUCUCCUCCAAGAGAGUGUAACAGGAACAGCUCUUAAAAGAACUUAGUGAUUAUAAUCCCAGGGGAGUAUAGUGAUAUAGUAAUCCCCAGGGUAGAUGCAGGACAAGGCUCUAUGUUGAGGGUAAAACAGGAACUCAAUUUUAAUGGAGGCGCACUGGCCUUUUGUGCAGGUUUCACAACAAAGGUGACGCCCAGGUGGACCUUGUUGGGCACAGGGACACAAAGUGUACAAGCCAGUAAAAACAUUGUGACAAUGUAUGACACUCCCACAUACAGUACACAAUCUCUCCCCUCUGCCUGUGAUAUAAUUAAGGCAGAUAAUGUAUUAACGUAAUUACCCCAAGCAUAAAAACACAUAUUUUACAAAGUCUCAUAAGUACCCCAAAAUACAACUUAUCCCCAUAGUCACGUCCCCUGAUAGCCCUGAUCUGGGUGAACAACAUAUCAAAAAAUCACCCAGAUCAGAGCAGGGGUUCAGGAAAUUCCUGGAAGUCUCUUUGUGACCGACCGCUUUCAUGCCCAAAACAGUUCCAGUGAAUUAGGCUGUGCAGCCGGUCUAUUUUAAACAGUCGAAGUACCAUUUGAAUUACCGAACGGAAUGGUGAAUGACCAUAGUCAUUGUGUGUCCCUCGUUCGUGACUCACCGAAUUACUCCAGGGGGCCCAGCUGCCCUGUCGACCUCUGCUGAUGCUCAGGACCAGACUGAUGAGCCGGCAUAACUUUAGGACCAGUUCACAGCUGCAUGUGUCCAGGGUGUGCAGUUGCCUGGUGACUGGCAGAAAGGGGAGCUCACAGCAUAGUGUUCCCCCUCCUGCCAGUUAAUGCAUGUAGCGUGACCGAGCUGACAAGAAGUGCUCACUGAGUGCAAUGAGCACUUCCUGUCAGACCAGGUACUGUGGUCCAUUUGGCCACGCUACAUGGAGGUGAGCAGGUACAGGAGGGAAGGAGGAUGGGGGAAUGAGACACAUGGCAAAGUUGUGGGUGGGGAGACUGAGACACAUAGAGGCAUAGAGGCGUUAAUUGUGAAUGAGACACAUUGGGUGGUUGAAACAAAUGAAGGUGCCAUGGGGAGAUGGUUGGGACCCAUGGAGUGGCUGGGGGAUGAGACACAUAGAAGGGCUGGGAGGGGGGGUGUGAGAUGCAUGGAAGAGGCUGGGGGGAAAUGAGACACAUGGAGGAGCUGGGGUUGGAGAAUGUGGAGGUACUGGUGGGUGAUUGGGACCCAUGGAUGUGGUGGGGGUUUGAGACACAUGGAAGGCUGGGGGAAGGGGGGAUGAUAUCCAUAAGGUGGGCAGGGCAAUUUUCACACUGUGACCUGGGCAGUUUCUAGUUAUGUCUUUGCUCACGAAUGUUCUACUGGAUGAAUGGCCAAUAAUUCCCACAGAAACCCUCCCAAAUCUUGCAGAAAGCCUUUCCGAGUAGGUGGAAGCUGUUAUAGCUGUAAAGGAGGGACCAACUACAUAUUAAUGUUUAUGUAUUUAGAAUGCAAUAUCAUAAAAGUCCCUGUUUGUGUAAUGGUCAGGUGUUCCAAUACAUUUGUAAAUAUCCUUUCUGGAUGUGUCAGAUGAAAGUUUGCUUUAACAGCUAAAGGUCAAAUUUACCGGGACAGUUUGGUAUAUGUGUGGAAAGGAAGAUUUAGGCAGGAAUCAACAGGGCCGGUGAGAGACUAUUUUGUGCCCUAGGCAAAACCAGCUUUUUGUGUGUCUCUUUCUUCCCUUAACUCCUUUGUGGGUUUUAUUUUCCCCUACCCCAGCCCCUCUGUGUGUCUCUUCCUAUCAAGCCCUUAAGCAUGUCUCUUCGUCCACUCAGCACCUCUGUAUGUCUCUUUGCCCCUUAACCCCUUUAUGCAUCUUUUUUCCCCCUUUCCCAGAGCCUAUAUGUCUCUCUUCCCCCCAGUACCUUUGUGGAUCUCUUUCUCCCCCUGCCCCUCUGUGUCUCUUUGUCAUGCAGCCCUCUGUGUGUCUUUGCCCCCCAGGCCCCUGUCGUAGCCUGAGACCCCUGUGUGUCUUUGCCCCCCAGGUCCCUGUCGUAGCCUCAGACCUCUGUGUGUCUUUGUCCCCCGAGCCCCUCUGUGUGUCUCUAUGCCCCCCCAGCCUUUUAUUAUUUCAUGUGGGAAAUGGAAAGGGACAAUGAUUGUAAAUAGGGAUAGGGAGACUAAAGUGUUAGGAAUACAAACCUGUUUUCCUAACGCUUUAGUGUUCCUAACAGUGCUAUUGGGUGAUUGCAAUAAGAUGUUUGCAAUAUGGAAAAGUAUACUCUAUAGUCUAUAAGGUACAACUUUGAUGCUUUUGCUUUGUAAGGAUUAAACUAGAAGCAGCUAAGCCCAUUUAAUGAAAGGAACACUCUAGUGCCAGGAAUACAAAUACAAAGGUGGCCAGUCUUGCCACCUUUAUGAUCUCAGCUAAUCCAACGUUUCACCUAGGAAAGAAUCGGGAGACUAUUGCGCAUGUGCGCAGCUGCGCAAAUCUGCAUCUCCUCAUAGAUAUGCAUUUAAUCAAUGCAUCUCUCUGGGAAGAGUUCAUUGUACCCAUGCAAAACAUGGAAACGCUGAAUGUUGAUGCUGCACACUGUGUAACACUGGACUAGGAAGCUCCUCUAGCGGCCGACUGAGUGAUGUCCGCUCGAGGUGUCCCUAGGCAGCAAUGUAAACAUUACCUUUUCUCUGAAAAGGCAGUGUUUACAUUGAAAAGCCUGCAGGGACAUGUUAUAGACACCACUGCAUUAAGCUGUAGUGGUUCUGGUGACUAUAGUGUCCCUUCAAGUACCUAGUUUCUCAACUGUGCAUAUGGGAUAACUCCAGAGUGUGUCCAGUUUAAAAUGCAGAAUUAACCAUUCUUUUAAUAAUGCUCUAUGUACAUGGUUGGAACCUUGACCUCUCUUUUAUUAUUUAUGUGAUGAAAUGGAUUGGAUACUAUGAUUGCUCAUAGUAAAUCAGAUCAGUAGUCAAUUAAAUUGUUCCAAAGUUUGAUUACACUCUGAAACUUGCAAUUUGAAUUCUACAGAAGUUCUAACAUUUUAUAGUGGGAGCAUAUAUAAUGAAAAAAAAUCCCAUGCAGUCUGCAAAUCAUCCGCCUAACUGUUCUUCUGAGAUGUAUUUUAAAGCUAAUAUACUUUUUUGGUUGAUGAAAGACCAAGCCUUUAAAACAUGUUAGAAGUAAUUUGGUCAGAGAACAGACAAUGGCCUUGAUCUUAAUAUUUUAGCAUAAGCUUUUCAAAUAAUCACAAUAUGUUAGAAUUUUUUUCCAAAUGAUUUAUCUAUAGAAGUCACUAUUAAUAUAUAGAAGAAUUUUUGUAGAUACAUUAUUUAUUUGAUUUUAUUUUUUUCUAACAGACUGUGAUCAUUUGAAAGGCUUAUCCAAAAAUAUUAAAUCAAGGCCAAUGUCUUUAAAAAUCCAAAUCUUAUAGUGAAGUCCGUUCUCCUGUAGCAGAUAUUAAGACUGUUUCUCAAGUACUCUAUUAAAUGCAUAUUAAUGUUUAUUACGGUUUAUUUUUUAAUACAUGUUGAAAUAAAUACGUGAAAACUACUCUUAAAUAUGAAUUUUUGAUCAAUUAUCUUCUGCAGUCCUGUUGUUUUCCAUUAAGAUUAUAUACACUAUGAGUUCAAUGUUUAUUGUAUAGAUUGCAUUUGUGUUUUUCUAUCAUCAUUAAGGUGCUUAAUUUUUCAUGCAGUCCCUGAAUUAUUAAAAAGGAUUGCGGAAUUAGUGAGACGAUUUUUGUAAAAUGUAAAAACACUGUUGAAUUCCUAAUAUUCUGGGUAAGAUAUCCGUAGUUUUUCCUACAAUAGAACUAAAAUAAAUAAAUAUAUUUAAAAAAAAUUAUUUUCUUUCCAAAAUCUAAUGAUCCAGUAAGCUAAUAAAUAAAUAACAACAAUCAUGGUGUGGACAAUUGCAUGCGUUUUUUUGUCCUAUUGUGAAAUCUUUGUGGUCAUUUUACAUUCUUCUUCUUAAAUUGACAUGGCCGUGCUAAACUUAUUGUCUCUAGAUAAUUGAAACUGAAGUGUAUAAAACCAAAUUAAGUGGGGGAGGUCACUGAAACCUAUAACAGGGGAAAAGUAACCAGUGAAUCCUAAUUGAAAAUAGAUUGAAAAUGUAAUUGCUAACCUGGCCAAAGCACCGGGGAUGCUGUCUGAGAGCAAGACAGGAAUUGCCAAGGGGUUGAAAAGAAGUAAUAUUCCCUUUUUAUCAGCCUUGUGAUCUGGCAUGUCUGGAGACUAAGUGCAAUGUCAGGGGCUGUAUUACGGCAAGGAAUAUUGAUUAAGAAAAGAAAAAUUAUGCACUUUAUCUUGUUGGCUUUUAAGAAAAAAUAAUUGUAAAAUGUUAUAUUCAAAGAAUAUUUUUCAAGUGCUUUUACAUGUGCUAUGAAUCAAUAUGCAAUUCAUAAAGCUAUGAAAUUCCAGCGCAAUUGCAGAACGCUCCAUACACUUGUAUAAAGUGAAAACAUUUACAAUAUAUCACAUUUAAAAACAAUUAUGCACAAGUAAGGAAAUAUAACAAAAGUCACAUGAAAGAUAAAUAUCCAGACUCUAACUAGACAUUCAAUUAUUAUAUCUCAACCCCAGCGGUUUCACAGCUGUAGUAGAGUCAUGAAGGCAGUGGUCCCAAAAAGGGGGCAAUGGAGGUUAGAUGGUAUACAACAUCAUUGCCAAGGAGCUUUACGAUAGUCUUAGAAAACAAGAACAUAUUUUUUCCAAUGCAGGGACUGUGGUAGUCUAUACAAAAAUUGGGGCCGGCUACAUGGUAGUUCAUUUUGUCACAGUACCAGUGGUGUAUUCUGGUUUUGUACUGCUUUAGGCAUCACAAAACUAAGACACCCCCCCUUCCAAAUUUCUCUUCCUGACAGACACACGCCCUCACUGAUGCAUGCACUGACAUUCACUCACUUACUUAAAGAUACACAGUCAUCGUCACACAAACUGUUUAACCAACACACACUUUGACUGAAACAUACACAUUCACAGACAUACACACUCACUCAUUCACAGUUACACAUACACCCUCACUGACAGGACAUGCAUGCAUACUCACUGACAGACACACACACACUGGAACACACAUACACUCACUGACAGAUUCACACUGACAAACACACAUACACACUCACUGACAGACAUAUAUACACUCAGUGUCAGACACACACACACUGACACACACAUUCACUGACACACACACUGACACACACAUUCACUGACAGACACGCAUACACACACUGACGCAUACACACACUGACAAACACAUAUACACUCUCAGUGACACACACAUACUCUCACUAAUAGACAGACACACACUCUCUCACUAACACACACACACACACAUACACACUCUCUCACUAACACACACACUAACACUCACUAACAGACACACACUCUCACUAACAGACUCACACUCUCACUAAUAGACACACACUCUCACUAACAGACUCACACUCUCACUAACAGAGACACACACACACACACACUCUCACUAACAGACACACACUCACUAACAGACACAAUAACACACUCACAAUUUUUUGUUUGUUUGUUUUUUGGCUUACAUUUUGGUGAAUUUUUCCCUGUGGUCCAGUGGGGCUGGCUGCAGCUCUGCAGGUGGGCGGUCACAAGGUGAGCAGUUCAGGCGGGCGGUGAGGAAGUCUGAUCCUCUUGCUCAACUUCCUCGCGAGCCUCUCAGUGAUGCCAGAGCAGGAGUGAUGUCAUAUUCCGGCACUUGAUUGGAAAACCAUAGAAGUCUACAGAGGACAUUGGUGAAGAAGGUGCUGCGGUCAGACCCAUAUUCAGGAAGCAAUACAGAUUAAAGAACAGCACACACACAUAAAUAAUAGUUUAAAAUUUUACUAGGUUACAUAAAGUUGCCUAUCUUGGCAAACAAAUAUGGAGAUACAGUUACACCUUAUGGCCAUAUUGUAUUAGGCCCACCACUAUGUCACAGUACACCAAUAUCGGUGGUUCCUACACUCACUUUACCAUGGGAGAUUUACAUGCUAAUUGCAAUACUUACUGCCUCCAGAGACUCCUUAAUUGAUGUUUGUGUUGUCCCCUCCAAAGUGGCACUGGUGGUCAGGAAGCAAUCAUUCCUGUAUUCUUUGGUGAUCUGGUAGACAAGCUGAGUGGGGGAGGGGGGAUAAUUACUUGCAGGUCAACCUGGUGAAAAUGCAUGUCAGGAUGUCUGCCAUCAUACAGGCCAGGCCACUGAGAGCAGACCAUGCAGGAAGCAUGAGUGUAGCGCAAGUUUUACUAAAGAUGCGCUCGUGCUAUGUCCUUUGCGAACAGUUUCCUGGUGUCGCCAAAAGCGUGAAUAAAGUCGGAACCAGGCACGGACCGGCCAUCGGGCAAAUACCCAGUGGGCCGCAAUGGCCAUGGGCCGAGGCCGACAGCAGAGAUCACAGGAUCUCCCCUUUUGGCCCAUGAAGAGCAGGCACUAUCCGAGCCCCGGCCCUUCUGUGUGCCUUCAUGGGCCGGUGGGGAGAUCAAUGAUCUCCCUCACUGGCCCACGGGCACUGAUAUGCAGCCGCCGGUUGGGGAGGCAGGCAGGAGAGGACCCGGGGAGCUCUAGCCAGCAGCUCCGCCGGGUUCCUCUCGCGAGGUCGAAGCAUUGCCAUGGUUACCACGGCAACGCUCAGACCUCACGAGAAUGAACUCUAGCUCUUCAGGCUAGAGUUCACUCUCACUACUAGGACCACCAGGGACUGCAGCAUGGUCCCCCUCCAUGGCAGCACGGCUCCCCCCGCUCCCCCCCCCCACAGGCUAAAGGUAACAAGGGAGGGGGGAUAUAAUGUUGUUAUUUCUUUGUUUAGUUUUUUUCAAAUAAAAAAAAAUACAUAUUUAAAUAAACAUUCACACACACACAGCACACUCACACUAACAGCACUCUCACACAUAGCACACUCCCACUCAUAUACAGCACACACAAACACACACACAUACAUAUAUGUAUAAAAUCCUCAGUGAUUUAACAGACAAAGAAAAUUAGAAACAUAGAAUGUGACGGCAAAUAAGAACACCCUCAUACACACAGCACCCUCUUACACACACACUGCACCCCUCACACACACGCUGCAACCCUCACACACACAUGCUGCACCCUUCACACAUACACACAGCCCACCCAACACACUGCGCACCUCACACAUACAAUACGUCCAAACAUAUAUUCUACAGCACCCCUCACACUGCACCACUACACACAUUACGCUCCAGAUACACGCUAGAUCCCUUACCCUGUAUACACUCUGAAUCAUAUAUAUAUAUAUACACACACACAAUCUCCUAUACACACUCUGGGUCCUUUACACACUAGAUUUCCUACACAUACACACUGCACCACCUACACACGCUACAUUCCUGACAUACAAACUCUGGAUCCCCUAUGCACACACUACAUUCCUUGUAAGCAAAGACAGACAACAUUCUCUAAACACACACUCUCUACAACCCCUACACACACCAAGUCACCUACACACACACACACACUACAGCCCAUAGGCACACACUCAUAUCCCCUAUAUAAACUAUGCCCUCUAUACACACACUCCCUACACAUAUUACACCACAAACACAAAUGAAAUUGACCUAUUUACAUAAUACCACACAACAAUCAGCUUACUCUAUACACACAUGCAAUCCCAGAAGCAGACUCCAAACACAUGCACGAUACGCUUUCCUGGUCCUUUUGUCCUUUGGUAUCCCACUUAUGGAGACAACAGAGACAAGUUAAAAGCAAACACAGUGCAAGCAUGUUAUUAAAUUUGCUUGCGCUGUGCAGAGCUCUUCAUCGGGGCUCUGUGCAUUGAAUCAACAUGCUCACUUUGAGAGGGGGCUUGCUUGUUAUUAGUGAUGACAAAACACACCCUCUCUGGCCUCGCCCCAUUCUGAAGGGGCCGCUGUGAUUGAAAAAUGCCCGGGCCAAAUUUUUUUCCCAGUCCGGCCGUGUUCGGCACAGUAGUAUAGCACCUGAAAAUUGCAACUAUCCAACCAAAAUCGGAAAAGUUAGGGUUGUGAGUAGUUCAGCUUUGUUUGGUACAAUGAUAGUGAGCUUGAUACUUCUUACAGAUCCACUUCAUCAAAUUUUAAUCUGUGUCGUUUUGUAUCUUGUGACUGGAGUUAUAAAUACAGGUCUCUAAUUAAGUAAUGAUGAUAAAACAUAAUUUAUGCAUUGCUGUUUGAGUUCAAGGUAUUUAUGCAGUUGAAAGUUUAAUAUUUUUCGCAGUCCUUAAAAUAAAGUGUGGAAAAGCUGCCAUCCUGAGUGAAAUCAAUCUUAUUGAUGUUGUAUUGUUUGUUUGUAAUUCUUAUUGUUUCACAUCCAUUUUUAUGUUUACGCAGUUACAAGUAAGCACAGUCAGCGUUUUCACAGUUGUGCACUUUCAGGGCAAACAGCUCUGACAAAUGUCCAGUUUGUAAUUCAACCAAUUUUAGCAAAUCACACUCCCGAGGGGAUCUUCCCAUGGUUUUUCUUUACCACUGUUGGUUUAACAAUAAUGUGAUUUAAACUUUUUCCUUAAAGGGACACCACAAACACUAUGUCAUAAAAAGAGGCAAUGCAUCAACAGAAAACAAGAACAAAAGGCUUAAGUAGUGUAUGGAGCGUAGGGUGCCAUUGACUAAUUUUAUUUUAUAUUCUAUGAUAUCAUUAGGAAAAGAUUAAAUAGAAGUGUAUUUUAUACAAUGUGUUCUUGCUCACAUAAGGAGUUGCUUACAUCACUAUGACAUGUAAAAUAUCACUCUCAGCUGUAUAUUUUACAUGAAUAAAGAAUGAUGUAGGAAAAAUUUACAAGCUAAAGCAAUUGUUUUGUUAAAUGAUGAACUGUUAAAAAUAAAAAUAAUCAAAUCCAUGUUAAAAAUAUAAAAUAGAUCCCCUUAUUUUACAAUGUAUUUCUUAUUUAUGUUCUACUAUCUGUAGAGAGAUUUCACUGACUAAUCCACUUGCAAUCAAUUGUACUUGCAAUGUCAGAUACACAGUCUAUCUAAUUUGAAGCACACUCACCGACAGACAUACACACACAUACUGACUGACACACACACACUCUCUCUCUCUCGCAGACACACCUACACAUUAAUGCACUCUCUCACAAAUUAAUUUUAUUUUUUGAGGCCCAUCCAGCCUCCCUAACUCUCCCUGGGGUCCAGACUGGGGUUGUGCUAUGCUGUGGAGUGUUCCUCACUCCUCCCGUGCGCUGUUUAGUAUUCCCAGGCUAGAAUGAUGUCAUAUUCCGACUCCUGGUAUCACACAGAGAGUGCAAGGGAGAGAUGAGGAACUGCAAGUUAAGCACUCCCUCACUGCCGGUUGCAUGCCUCCUCUAUUCUUCCUGCCUUUCCAGAAUAUAUAGUAGGAGUAGGCACCCGGGCUGACACUAGUCAGCCACCAUGUACGCUCCCUUUGAGAGGGCUCCUCACAGGACCCCAGACUUUCAGGUGACUUGGCACAGUGCACCCAGUGCACCCACCCAGGAUCAGCCCUGCUCCUAUCUCCCUUUUCUAGCAACUGAUUAUCACAUUCACUUUUUGAAUAUUUAACUCACCCUGGCUUCUUUGGGGGGCAAUUGCCCUGUCGCUUCCCUUUGAUCUGCCAAUAUUUCAGACAUUCCUCUGGCUAUAGGCUUUAAAAAAGAAAUAAAUCCUAAAACCCUUUUCUUUAUGGAAACUUGACAACUUUCCAAGUCAUUGCUCAAACUGUCUGCUCUAACCCUUUUUUCCUCCCUUAUGUUGCUAUUUUCCUAUAACAUAUAAUUUUGUUCCAAUUAUAUCCGCCGAUCAGUCUUUCAAUUAAGAACACAUUUGAUUACAUUAUACCUCACUCCUUAUUUUAAGCAAGCUCUUCAUCACUUAUUCCUGUUUGUCUAAGUAAUGAACAGCACUACAUAUAUUUUUUGGGCCCAUCAUAAAUAAUAACAAUAAUAAUAACUUGUCUUUGGUAGUUCAGCUGUUCUUGGACUGCAGUCUCAAUCAUGGUCAGUCAGCCUGUCACGUUGUACAAUGGGUAAAGCUGUCCUCACAUGAGUUUUAAUUUUUCAGAUAGGAGGAGACCAUUUUGAUGAGUGAUGUUGAUUUAUUUUGAGGGCUCUGUACAUCGUGGAUGGAAUUGUCUGAAUUGAUGCUAUAAGCUGUCUUUCAUUGAGAUAAGCUAUCCUGCUUAUGUUUAAUUAGGUGCACUAUAUUGUGCAUUGCUACUUCCCUGGUAAAAUUAUAUCAAAAUAAAAUAAAAGUCUCUGUAUAAUUAUAUCAAUAUAUCUAACUAGCUUUGAGAGAGAUUCCAUAUUCUAGCAUUACUUGAUUUCAUCUGGAUAGAAAGGGUAAUUGUUUAUUUAUAAAAUGUUCUCAGGCUUUAUCCAAAGAUUGGAAUAUGAAAAUAUAUAGAAUUAUUUUUUUUUUUCUUCAUGAGUGCUCUUUUGAAACUGUGUGAUUUCAUCAAGCUCUGGUAAAUGUGAGAAUAAUCUCCUUAUUUGGCAGAAACAUUGAUGAGGCAGCAGCCUUAUUCAAUAUUUAAGAAAGCUGCAUUGCAGAGUUUGGAUGCUGGACAAGAGAGCUGGCUGGGAUUGCAUGACACAUGCUAAAGAAUCCCUCUGUUGGUUUGUGUUCCUGUGGUUAUUAUGUACGUUGUGUUUAGUGAAGUAUGUUGUGUUUAGACUAGAUUAUUUAGACUUUCUCUCGUCAUGUACAUCAGUGCCCCCCUCGGACCCCCCCGAGAGACAAUGCUCUCCCCUGCAGGGCCAGUGCUAUCCAAGUGCCGACCCUGCCAUAUGCCUUCACGGACCGGUGAGGGAGAUCAGAAAUCUCCCUCACCGGUCCGCAGGCACUUUGCUGGCAGGGGAGGGAGAGCCGACCCGGGAACUAAGCCUGCAGAAGGCUAGAGUUCACUCUCACCACUGGGAUCACCAGGUCCCUCCCUGGCAAAGGUAAGAAGGGAAAAUAAAGAUUAUUUUAAUCUGAAGAAAAAAACAACCCACAUAUAUAUAUUUUUCUUAAUCUGCCCCCCUGCCUGCCCCCCACAUAAUAACUUGCACAUUCACACACUGCCCCCCAUACACUGUACCCCACACAAACACACACUGUACCCCCCACAUCCACACUGUACCCUCCACACACUGUACUCUCCACACACUAUACCCAGUGGUGUAUCCUGGUUUUGUGCUGCUCUAGGCUUUUUUUGCCGCCCCCUGGAAAAUGCUGCCCAAUUCAAAUGCCUUGUUUGCCUCGCAGCUAAAACGUCCCUGACUGUACCCCUCACACACUCAUACAGUACCCCUCACACACUCAUACAGUACCCCUCACACACAAACUGUACCCCUCACACACAAACUGUACCCCUCACACACAAACUGUACCCCUCACACACAAACUGUACGCCUCACACACAAACUGUACCCCUCACACACAUACUGCACCCCUCACACACAAACUGUACCCCUCACACACACUGCACACCUAACAUACACAAACUGCGCCCCUCUCACACACACACACACAGUACCCCUCACACACACACUGCACCCUUCACACACAAACUUAACCUCUCACACACACUACACACCUAACAUACACAAACUGUGCCCCUUUCACACACACACACUGCACUCCUCAGACAUACACAAACUGUACCCCUCACACACACACAGCCCCCUUACACACACGCACACUGUACCCCUCACACACUGUAUCACUCACACACUGCACCACUCACACACACACACACACACCCUGCGCCUCUCCAUGCACCCCUCACACACAUACACAUUGCACCCCUCACACAAACACACACACUCUUCACUUCUCACACACACUUCACCUCUCACACGCACACUGCAUCCCUCACACACAUACUACUGCCCCUAUAUCCCGGCAGACUCCAUGUAAGUUGUCAAACUGUUCUAAAACGGUUUGACUGUUUAUUCUGGGAGGGCACCACAGCACUCCAGGCACCAUAACCACUACAUAGAGCUGUAGUGGUUAUUGUGCCUGGAUUGUUCCUUUAAAUAUCAAGAUAUAAUCUUAAUAAUAAAUAAGUGGAGUGAUAUUGGCAUACAAUAAUUUGCUUACCCCUUUUUAAAUCAAGUAUGGAGAUUCUGGUGUACUUGAAUACAUAAAAAAGAGGCAUAAAACACACAAAAAAAUGCAAGUGCAGAUGAUACUGGUAUACAGAUAAAGUGCAAAUGAAUAUAAGAGAGGGACUCAGAAUUUUCAGAGCCUGAGAAUUAAGGCUCUAUAUAUCCAUCGCCCAUCAAUGAUGUAGAUCGUCGGCCGGUCAAUUUCAGUCUCCAAUUGAGCCCCCCUCCCACAAGAGGUCAAAUACUCCAUUUUGGAGAAGGGAAAGGGAGGGGAAAAGAUAAGUGAUUAGUGUAACCCUUUAGUGGAAAAAAAAAUAAAUAGAAGUACACUUAUUCUUAUUGUAAUAUAUCAGUAUAUCAAACCGAUAUGGUAUAAACAAAAUAAUUUGGUCCAAUGAAGUAAGAAUCAGAAAUAAGAGUGGUAAUGAUGCAUAUAAUAAAAAUUCAAAAAGGCACUUAUGUAAUUUUAUAUAUUUUAAAAUAUAUAUAUUAAAAAUCAUCAAUUUAGGAAGUGGUAGAGUUCAAAAUCGGCGAUGAGACCACUUGGCUGUAGAGCAUUUAAUGUAAAGGGACAUUAUAGUCACCAGAACAACUACAGCUUAAUGCAGUUGUUCUGGUGAGUAUAAUCAUUGUAUUCAGAUAAAAGGCAGUGCUUACAUUUGCCACUAGUGGCCACUCCUCAGAUGGGCACUGGAGAUGCUUCCUGGCUCAGUGCUGCACAGUAGGCAGCAAUGCCGUUCUGCGUCUCCACGCUCUGCAUGGGGAUGCUGAAUUUUCCUCAUUCAAUGUAUCUCUAUGAGGAGGUGCUGAUUGGACAAAACAGUGUUUGGCCCCGCCCUUUGACGAUUUUAACCAAUCCAAUGAUUUCCCCACGGGAAAGCGUUGCAUUGGUUAAAAAGGCAAUUCUGAUGAUGUCACAAAGGGGGAGGGGCCAGUGCCGGCGGACCCGCGCAGCGCUGGAAAUAAGGUGAGUUUUAUAAACUUUUAAGGAGGCUAAGUGGGGUGGGGGGAGAAACCUAAAUGGUAGGUUUUGGCACUAUAGGGCCAGGAAUACAGGUUUGUGUACCUAACCCUAUAGUGUAUAUUUAAAUAUUCAUUCCAUUUGGGUCUUUCCCAAUUUGUUAGCCAGAUCUCCACCUCACCUCUCCACUUUAUCUGUAUACCAGUACCAUUUGCACUAGCUUUUUUGUGUUAUAUCCCCCUUUUUAUGUAUUCAAGUACACCAGAAUCUCCAUACUUGAUUUAAAAAGGGGUAAGCAAUUAUUGCAUGCCAAUAUCACUAAGCACUCCACCCAUUUGUUAUUAAGAUUAUAUAUUGGUAAUUGUCGGUUUGGUUUUAUGUUAAGGUGAGGGGGAAAGGUAUAUCUCACGGGUGUUUAGAGCAGCAGCUACUUUUUAGUCACACACUCCUUGUGAGUUUUCUUUUUGUUCCUUUAAAUAAUCUACAUAUGCCCCUCCGGAGAUUAGGUUCUGAAUCUGUCCCUGAUGGACAGAAUAAUAUAAUGUAAUAGGAUUUUAUUCAUUGUAGUCUAGUUUAUCUCAAUUUCAAAAAAAAUGUUGAGUAAAAUAUUGCUUCUUAUGUAUCAAAACUGGUUGAAGUAACACUCAGUAGUUAACAUUCAUUUUGGAUGUAUUUUAUAGAUGACUACUGAUGAUAAAUGUUGGUUUCCAGCAUGCACGAGUUAUAUAAUUGCCUCCUAAAUAGCGUUUAUGCGUAGUUUAAAAAAACAAAAAACACGAAUGUACUAAAUUUUAUGGUAAUGUACAGGUAUGAAGGAAACCUAGUUCUACAGACAGAGGUGUGCCCAAAAAAAUGCUAUUUAAAAAAAAACAAAAAAAAAAACUUGCACAAAACAAAUGUAAAAUAGAACACAAAGCUCAUGAGAAAUAAAAACAAAACAAAACCCUGAAUUAAAAACAAAUACAAAGGUCAUGAGCUCCCAUUAAUAUUAAAUAGUAUCUGAAUAAGAUAAUCAUACCUAGAGUGGGCAUGAAAAAACCUGUAUUGAGGAGCCUUUAAUACACAACUGCAAAAUGGAGGUCACAAACUCUGAAGUUUUAAAAUCUGUCUAUUAGAGCCAGACUUCACAUGAAGGGAUGUCUCCAUCCACUCGGAUAUUGAUGCAAAAGAUUGUGACUUUAUUAAAAAAGCAUGGAUACAUCAUGACUCCAACCCAUUUCGUGCCUUGACAGCCCUUCAUCAGAGAUAAAGACCCACAAACAUGUUGUUACGAACGCACCUUACUCCAAGUGUGUGCAUAACUUGGUUUUGGUGAUAAAAAGGUGAAAUGUGCUAUUUGCAUGAGAAUAAUGAUUAAAAUCCCCCAUAAUGCCACCCACUCUUUAUUAUAAUAUAAGUAAUACCAUAAUGCUUAGACAACCAAGACAAUUUAUAGAUGGGUUCCUUGGUCCCCCAAGCAGAUUAGACUAAAAAACACAAAAUAUGAUGUAGCACAAUAUCUAUCUGAUUUCAAAUAAACUGGUUUAAUCGGGUAAUGUGAGUCUCCACAAGACAAAGGCAGAAUUUAAUAAAGGAAUAUUUUUUUGAGCAAAACAAUUCUCACAGUACAUAGAAAAACACAUUAUUUACACCAACAACUGAUAAAAAUAAAAAGGAAAAAUUAACAGAAAGCAUAACUACUAACUUAUAUCUCACAUUAUCUUGAUAAAAUUGUGUACAUCUAAUACAUAAAAGGGAAACUAAGAACCGAUACAGUAUAGUGCAGAUGCAGUGGCGUAAAAAAUGGAGUGGCUGGGGGAGGGAAAUGAGACACAAGGAGGAGUUGGAGGAGGGAGAGAAUGAGACACAAGGAGUGGUUGGGGAGGGAGGGAAUGACACAGAGGGGCUGGUGGGGGAGGGAGGUAAUGAGACACACGGAGGGGCUGGUGGGGGAGGGAGGAAAUGAGACACACAAAGGGGCUGGAGAGGGAGGGAAUGAGACACAAAGAGGGGCUUGGGAGGGAAUAAGACACAUAGAGGGGCUGAGAGGUAUAGGGAAAAAGGCACAUGGAGGGGCUUGGGGGAGGGAAUGAGACACAUGGAGGGGCAGGGGGAAUGAGACAUAUUGGGGGGCCAGUGCAGUUUUUGCAAAGGGGCUCAGUGGUUUCUAGUUAUGCCUCUGUGCAGAUGGUAAUAAAAUUUGAGUAUUGGGUCUAGAUAAAUGGAUCAUUCACAUUUAAAGGAACCUAUAUGUAUUGGCUCCGUAAAGUUGGCUAGCAUGCUCUUAAAGCAGCAUUACACCACUCCUCCACUUUGAUAUUCUCACUUAGGUUAUAGAUUGUUGACUUAUACCACUUAAAGUUUGUUUAUUGAGAUGUGUGGAGAAAAGGGCAUCCCAUAUAAGGGUAUACAGCUGCUGUUUUUUUUUUUUUUAAUUAUAUUUACCCUAAAGCACUUUUGUAUCAACACUCUCCCUCCCAAAAGGAGGUCUUGUUUGUAACAGUGGUCUUUCUGGGGAGCACUGUUGGAUAAUCAAGCAGCACAGGAGAACAUUGCAUAACAUAAUAAGUCUGUAUUUGUUUACCUGGAAGUAUACAAGCCUGCUGAGGGGCUUCAGGGCUUUAUCUAUGCCGUCUGUUUAUUAGAUAAUUAUCAUUUUUUCACUUCAGUGUCUUUUCGCUAUGUAGCUUAUUGCUAGUUGGGUUAGACUUAGGUGCCCUUGAAGGCACGGGGGGUAUAUUGAUAGCAUUAGCACAGCUACUUGUCUCAGUAUCCACUUUACCAUAAUUGCGAUAGUUUCAGAUAGUCACUAUUUUACAUCACCGCAGGGAUGUUCAUAGACUUAGCGUGCUUUUACUCCCAUAUAGUUAAUUCCACAAUUUAUAUCGUUAUUCUUUACCUAUUAAUUUUAUUGGUAAAUAUAUGUCUGUGAAUUCCAUCCUGAUUAACCACAGACAGUCAUUCUAGCUGAUCACCGAAUAUACAUCGGUUCAAAAUGAUCUUCGUCUCUUAUCAGGGAUACAGCACGUUAUUUAGACCCUUUUUUAAUUCAUAACAUCGGAUCAAAACUAUCUUUGUGGGCACUUUUUUCGUUACCAUUUCUAUCAGGGACAUAGCAUGCUACUUAGAUCUUCUACUAUUAACAACAUUAGUGUAUUAUUAUUACUGCAGUAUUUUAAACGAUAUCUGAUUCUAUCACUACUUUUUGAAUGCUAAUCAUUUGACACGGAUACUAUAGAUAGCACAUAGCAUACAUCGGUUACCUAUAUGUGCAGGCUCCAUUUUUACAAAUGUAGAAUUAUGCCUUUACCAUUCUUUAUCACCCUCCUAGCAUUAUGACUACUUUCUAUUAAACGUCUUCCCUUAAUAGCACAGAUGUGUGCUAUAGUUUAUCAUUUCUACACAUUAUUUAAGACACUUGAGUUUACCUUAGUUUUUCACAUUGUAUCUUUUCUGAUUUUAACUUUUUUUGUAUCUACCAAUUGUUGUAUAGAUACAUUCCUUUGCUAUUAUUUGUUACUAUUCAAUAUAUAAUAAAAUCCUUUUUUGUUUUUUGACCUUUCGGUCUUUUUAUCUGUGCUUUUUUCCCCCCUCUUAUUUCAAUCAUUUAUUAUGAAGUUCAGGCACAUACUAUUACCUCUUUCUCCCAGUUGAUAGGUAUACUAUUUUCUAGUUUUUUAAGCCUGCUGACUGUCCAGUUUUUGUGACCAGUAGUUGUGAAACGUAACAUUUUAUGACCCUGACAUGGAAAAACAGACACUUUGGUCAAUUUGUUAUUAAACAAACAAACAUGAUUUUAUUUAGCCUUUACACAGCCUUUAAAAUGAUUUUACAGCUAUGAAAAUUUUUUUCAGAUCAUUACAUCUAUAAAUGAUUUCUGCACAGAUUGCAGACUCUCUUAGCAUUCCUGGGAGAAUUAUGGACAGUCUACACUGAAAAGAGAGCGCUGAGAUGCUGAUUUUAUGGCUUAAUGAUAUAAAAAAUGGAGGAACGUUAUGCCGCCUGAUGCAGUGCACUCACAUUCAGAAUACAUAGAGCUCAGUAGUGAGGAUAAAUACACACCAGAAAAUAAAUAUGGUUUAGUGUUUUAUUUGCUAAAGGAUUUUUUUAUUAUUUUUCAUUCUCAAACUGUAAAUCAAUUGCAAAUAAAAAUCUAAUGUAUUAACACCAUGGUAUUCAUAAUAACAUAGUAAUCUAAUAUUCGAUCUGUCAGAUUCAACAUUUAUUGUAUCCCUGCUCCUGCCUUUGUUCAUAAAGAAGAAUAUUUUUUUAAAUGUUGCCUUUUAUGACUCCAAGCCACAAUCCAGCUUCUCUUUAAGUCAACAUGCAUUUAUUAAUUUAUACUGGGGAAAAUCAAGACUCAUCAAUUACUGCUUCAUUUGUUAUUGUUUUAUCAUUGUUUGUGAUUGGCUUACCAAGAGGCACCAAAACCAUUGGUUCUGGUAUCCCAUGGAGAUAAAAGCUUAAUAAAACGAUUGAAUCAGCAUUCACAAGCUGAAAUUAAAAGGAACACUGUAGAUACAAUACAAACAUGUAUUCCUGACAAUAUAGUGUCCUUAUAUCUAGUAUUUGCAAUUAAAGGGAUAGGUAUCUAUAGGCACAAAAACAAUGUUAGUUUAAUGAAGCAGUUUUUGUGUGGGGGUGUGGGCGUGGUAUUUUGGCCUAAAAUUUUCACAUUUUCAUGGUCAAUUCCUCGCUGUUCCUGGUUUUGUAAAUAACCAGAUAUAGGUUCCAGAUUAUGAAUUACCAAAGAUUUUCCAUUAGUAGCCUACAAUAAAAAAAAUAAAAAAAAACAAUUCUGCAUCAUGGAGUGUAAUGACAUUCAUUUUACACCACCAUACAUAAUUUGGUUUACAAUUGCUACUGUUCAGUGAAAAAUGUUUUAAGAGUAACUCUUUUCAUUUCUCAGUUUUUCAGCGCUUGGCUAGCUCGAUUGAUUCUUUACUCCAAUUAUUUAUUUAAAUUAUUUAACAGUUCUUUUAUGGUGCUCUUAUCCAGAGCGCUUUACAAUUCAUGCAAAAUAACAUUGGUAAUUAUACAAACGGGAUAAAUAUUCAAACACACUUAAACAAAAGAAGAAGAGAACCCUGCCUGUGAACUUACAAUUAGAGGGCAAUUGUACAGUGAGAAAAAAGGAUUGUAGGAAGAAAGUUUGUGGGGAAUAACAUCUAAUACAAGCAUGUCAAACUCGGGGUCCACGGACCGCAUGCGGCCCACAAUAGACAUCUUUGCGGCCCGACGAGUAAGCACCUGCUCUCCCCACAUUGCAGGUGCCUACUCUGCUAAAAUUUACCCAGCCGGGAGGAGAGGUCGCUGGAGGAGUUCAGUCUUCUUGCUCCUCACUGCUCCCUCACGCACACCGUCUGUAGUGAUGCUGGGUGCCGGAAUAUGAUGUCAUAUUCCGGCACUCGGCAUUACUAAACUGCGCAUGUGAGGGAGCAGUGAGCAGCAGGAAGGAGAUCUCCAGAUAGAAGAUCCCCACUGCACCCCAGGGAAUGAUGUGAGUGUGUGCAAGAAUGUGUAAAUGUGUCUGUCAGUGUGUGUGUGUCUGUGUGUGUCAGUGUGUGUGUCAGUGAGCCUGUCUGUCAGUGAGUGUGUGUGUCGGUCAGUGUUGCAAUGGCUGUGGCUGGACAGUGGAGGACCUGGACGUGACGUCGACAUGCUCCACCUUCAUAGGGUUUCAAGAAGUAGCGGGAGGAUCCGCUUUGGCACAGGGUGUGGACAGCGCCGUAUGGGGUAUACCAGAGGCUCGACUAAGGAGUCCCAUACUGGCUGCGGCAAUGUGAGUGGAGUCUGCUUGUUGGCUAGAGGGGGAUGCUGGGAUUUAGUACAUGGGGGGGGGACUGGGAUAUAGUAAAGGGGUUGCUGUGGUUUAGCAGAGCGGGUGCUGGGAUGUUUUUUAUGCUGUACUUUUAAAAAUAAACCUACGUUUCUAUGAAAAUUUAAGUUUUGUGUUUUUUUGCGGCCCACAUAAACGUAAACCUUGUUUAUUUAGCCUGUGCUAGCCUUUGAUUUUAACAUGCUUGAUCUAAUACAUAUUUGCCACAGUUCAUAUUUUCUACCAAGAUUCUGGUGCCAGAUGGCAGCUUGGCUUGCAUAUGUUUCUGUUUAUUAUAUGAACAUUUUAAUGUGAAUUGCAGAUUACUUUUCAUUUACAAUAAACUGUUAUUUUAGGAAAGAAUAUGAUCCUCUGUUAAGGAACAUCAUAGCAAUGGGUCCAUAAUGAAAUACAGGUGUCUUUUGACUUAUAAUUGAAUUAGGUUAGAUUGAAAACGGAGAUUGCAAAAUAUAGGCCAGGAAUAAUUGGAUCAGUAAAACAAAUAUCCAGGCCUACAAUAUUCCAAACUUCUUAAUUUUGAAUUGAAUUAAGAACAUUUAAUUUUCAGUUCACCUCUGUGGAAUGUUUAAUUAUUAAAUUCCAUAGAAACAAAUCUGGCAUAUGUCCAAAAUCUGCCCCUCCUCGCUUUUUUGAAUAAACUCUGGUAUGUGAUAUGUUCCUACCCAUCAUGCCACACUUAAUAAUUAGGGAUUAUUCUAGCUUACAGUGAACGAAUAAUCUAAAUUUUAUUAAAGACAGGAGGCGAAUAUUUGCUUAUCUUUCUUUACUGAAAACUCCCAGCAGCAAAGAAAUAGUUAAUAAAGUUGUAAAAAAUUCAACCAAUCAUAACACAACAUAGAGCAAUAUAGUGCCAUCAGACUCCUCCCACUUCCUCUUUCUUAGGUGAUGCCGAACAGGAUAGAAGAAAUUAACUUGUAAACUUGAAACAUUCUGCGGUGUAAUCCGUAGCAAGUCAACCAUGUAAACGGGUAGAUGGAGAGAUUAACUCGAAGUUUUCACACUAGAAGAGAAGAAAAGAAACUUCGUGAAAGUAUGGUCUCUUGAGGAAGAGAAAUUACAAAUACGCAUCCUGACUGAAUUUAAGCCCAAAUGGUACAAUGUGGAACCGGAAUGUAAUACUACCAGAUCAAUGUGAAUUGUAUGCCUACCAGACAACUGUAAGGAAUGUAAAAGUUUGCCCUCGCUGUAUAGUAGGUGUAUGCGUGCAAAAUCAAUAUGCAAGGUAGUGUACAAUGUAGUAAUCUCAGAGUGAGAACUUACCUGUAGGGUGGGUUCCAGAAUGAACGAAGGGAGGGAAAAUAUUCGCCUCCUGUCUUUAAUAAAAUUUAGAUUAUUCGUUCACUGUAAGCUAGAAUAAUCCCUAAUUUUAUGGCAAGACAGGAGGCUUCAUAUUUGCUGUUUUAACGCUCCUGAAUAAAGGAACAAGCCGCAUGUGGUGUUGGUUUAAAAUAAAAAGUGCGAAAAGUAGAUUCUCUAGACCAAUCUGCGGAGGCUAAAAUAUCCGCCAGUGAGCCGCCUGCGCGGAAGGCAGAGGAUGCGGCCGCUCCUCUCACGGAGUGGGCUCCGAAGGAGCCAUCAAUCCCUGCCUGGGUAAGCAACCAUCUCACCCAGCGUGCAAUGGUGGGUGAGGAGACUGGUUUAUGAGGUUUAACGUAAGAGACAAACAGCGGUCCGGUAGGGGAACGCAAAGAGAUAGUGUUGUCAAUGUAACAACGGGUGCACAAGGCCACACAGAGUGACGGCCUAUCGGGAAAGUAUGGAUAAAAGACUGACGAAGAAUUCGUCUUAGUGCGUCUAAUGAUGGUAAAUCGGACACCGUCUGGGGCAAAGGUGACAGCGUGAAAGUCAAAAGCGUGAAUGUCUGAAACUCUGCGGAAGGACACCAGACACAGUAGCAAGGCCAAUUUCGCAGAGAGUUGGCGUAAGGACAAGGCCUCGUUAGGUGGCCAGGAAUCCAACAGUGUGAAAACCUGAGAGACAUCCCAGAACGUAGAGUGUUUGGCAGAAGGUGGCCUCGUCAAACGAAUGCCCCGUAAAAGUCUGCACACGGAAGGGUGUUUCCCAACCAAGAAAUUGUCAAUAGUGUCAUGGGCCGCCGAAAUGGCGGAACGAAAAAUAUUAAUCGAUCGGUAAGAUUUACCCUGAUCGAAGAGAGAUGAUAAGUAGUUUAAAAUGGAAGAGAGAGGUGUUGAAACGGGAUCGAGGUCCCUCUCCAGACACCAGCUAACCCAACUCCGCCAAGCGGAGAGGUAGGUCCGUCUGGUUCCUGGAGCCCACGAUUCCCAGAGGAGUGUUUGAGCUGUGCGUGAAAGACCUGUGACAUGCCAAGCUCCCCUGAAACUGUCCAAGCCACCAGCUGAAGAUGGCCCUGUAGGGCGAGAGGAUGGAAAUCGCCCAUUGGGUUCCUGAGGACUCGAAAGGAUCGAGGAAGGAGGAUGGGAUAGUCCACUGAUAGUUCCAAGAGGGUAGGGAACCAGGUCUGGGCCCUCCAUAGAGGGGUGAUUAAUACUACCCUGACCUCCUGCUGUUUGACCCGGUGAAGGGCCCGCUGAAUCAUUGAGAAGGGAGGGAAAGCAUAGGCUCCCUCCCGUGGCCAGGGUUGCAGAAAGGCGUCGACUGCCAGAGAUAGAGGGUCUGGCAGCCAGCUGAAGAAAUCGUCCGUCUGACGAUUCAGGCGAGAUGCAAAGAGGUCGAGUGUGAGAGGUCCCCGUAGGAGGUGGAUGUGAUGGAACAGGAGAGGGUCUAAUUGCCAGUCGCUGGCAUCCCUCCAAUGACGCGAAAACCAGUCCGCGACUAAGUUGUCGGACCCAGGGAGAUACUCCGCUCGGAUGGACAGAUUUCGGUCCAGACAGAACUGGUACAGGUCCUUGGUGAGGUCGGACAGAAGUUUGGAUUUGGAUCCCCCGAUUCGGUUGACAUACCGCACUGCGGAGACAUUGUCCAUCCGUAGUACCAGGGAGCAGUUGGACACGUCCUUGGCGAAGCUGCGGAUCGCGAAGGAUCCAGCAAUGAGCUCGAGACAAUUUAUGUGGAGAGCCUGUUCCGAUGGAGACCACAGACCUUCUGUGGAAAUUUGGGCACACGUAGCACCCCAACCCAAGAGGCUCGCAUCGGAUUCCAGAACAAAAUCUGGUUGAGAUCCGAAAAUCGCUUUUCCAUUCCAGGCUUCCAUGUUGCGAAGCCACCAAUGAAGUUCGAUGAUAACUUCGUCCGUCAGAGAAAUUAAUUGAUCGUAAGAGGCUGAGCGAUGCAAGUAGGUUGUUUUCAACCGCUGCAUCGCUCUGUAGUGUAAAGGCCCGGGGAAUAUAGCUUGAAUUGAUGCGGAUAGGAGACCCAGAAUGUGUGCAAGGUCGCGGAGCCGAGGCCGUUGCGAAGAAAGCAACUUUUGGAUUUCUUUCUUUAUGUUUUUUAUUUUGGGGUAAGGCAACUGCAAAGUUGCCUGGACUGAGUCUAUUUGAAAGCCCAGAAACUGGACUACCUGAGAUGGUUCCAGAUCCGAUUUCUGGAGGUUUAUGACAAAGCCAAGGUUUUGAAGGAGAGCAGAGGUCAUGUGCGUAUGUUUGCGAAGCAAAUGUUGGUCUUGGGCCAUGAUCAAAAUAUCGUCCAGAUAUAUGAUAGAACGUAUUCCCCGAGAGCGGAGUAGCGCCAUGACCGGCUUCAUUAACUUGGUGAAACACCAAGGGGCGGAACAAAGCCCGAAAGGAAGGCAGGUGAACUGCCAAAUUUCUCCCUGCCAGAGGAAUUGAAGGAACGCACGGUGACUGGGUGCGAUUGGGACCGUGAGGUAGGCAUCCUUGAGGUCGAACCUGGAGAACCAGUCUCCCACGCAGAGCAGGUCCCUGAGAAGAUGGAUACCUUCCAUCUUGAAAUGGCGAUAUGUGAUGAACCGAUUCAGUUCCUUGAGGUUGAUAAUAGGACGGUGAUCUCCCGUCUUUUUCCGUACCAGGAACAUGUUGCUGAUGAAAGUGUAAGGGGAAGGCGAGGGUUCGAUCGCCCCUUUGUCUAAUAGUUUGUGCAACUCUGAGUCUAAAGUCAUUUUGUCUGUUUGUGACAUCCCUAAGGGUGUUGGAGGGUGGCUCUGAAUGGGGUGUGUGAGAAAAUCUAUUUUGAAACCCCUGACUGUGUGGAGGAUCCAGUGAUCCUGAGAGAGUAAUUUCCACUGUUGGAAAAAAAGGGUUAAUCGGCCUGCAAUUGACACAUUUCUUAAAUAAGUAAGGUCCAUUACCUGAAGCAGUGCGUCCGCGCAGGGAUGCAGAGCCACGUCCUCGAAUAGAGCCUCUGGAACUGAAGAGUUGUCUGUGGUAGGGUCUUGUGGGUCCAGAGGACCAAUAAUCUGUGGGUCGGGGCCUAUAGCCUGUAAAGGCUGCUCUACUGGUAGCUCGGCCCCUGAAGCGACCAGCUCUCCCGGAAAAACGAUGGGUUUGGGAGCGGAAGACCCUGCGUAGUGAGGACUGGGCUUUAUUAAGCGUUGUGAAUACAGAGACAUGCUUAGAGAGGUCUCGCAUAAAGCUGUCACCAAAUAGAAGACCAUCUGCGUCUGGUCCCAAUUCCUUAGAGCUUAGGUCUAUUAAUUUAGCGUCAAUUUUAUAAAGUGCCGCUUUUCGUCUUUCUAUUGAAAUUGCCACGUUUGCAUUACCUAAUAGGCAAAGAGCUCUCUGAGCCCAUUCCCUGAUAACGUGUGGAUCGAAUUCACCACUAGUGAGUGCCUCAUCUGCCAAGAUAAAAAUCUGGAUUAUGGGACCUGAAAUGUCCAAAAGCUUGUCUUGGGCUGCUUUUAACCCUUGCUCUAUACCCUUACGAGGGUCUUUGCCAGAUUUAGUCAAAAAGGUGACCAGCAUGGGGUCAAAUUCAGGGGUAGAGGCAACUUUGUCAGGAAUUGUAGGUCUUGGGCAUUCAGCCCUCAAUUUAUUUCUGAGUUCUUUUUCAAGGGGCUUGCGAAGCCACAUCUUGCAGUAACUGGCAAUGUGAUCAGGAGGGGUCCACUCUGCAGACCGUGGGUGACGAAUCACCCUUGGAUCAAAAAGGGGAAGGCCUGAAGCAUCCAGGAGGGUGUCUGAGGCAGGCUCUUUAGAUGGGGGGGCACCCUUAGUAUCCUGAGCAUGAAAAGUUUCUUUAACAAACUCUGACGUUGAGGAAUCCUGGGGCACAUUCACCGUAGGAUCCUCAUCAGAGUAGGUGGUGUCAUAAUCGUUUAAGAUAUGACCAGCUAAUCGGGAGGUAGAGCCCUCAAGAGGGUCUGUCGGAUUCUGCAUAACAAAUGGUUGGGAAUGUUUGAGAAUUUUAGCAGGAGCUUUGCCUUUGCCCGCAGUAGCGCUAUUCCCUUUCCAGGGUCUUUUGCGCGGGGCAUUGUCUUGGUCUGAAAAAUGGGAAUCCUCGGAGUCAGAGGGCUGGUGUGUAGAGGGGUGAACCUCUGUAGUAGAUUGCUCAUGGUAAGCUGCCAGAGCUUUGGGAAUGGACUCCGCAAUGGUGGCAAAUAGCCAAUCCCGAAGUUCUGCAGAAAUGGCAGGGUCUUGGUGUUCCGACAUAAUGUUUGAAAUUUAUGGGAAAGACAAUGGCAGAUCAAAAAAAAAAAAAAAAAUUAUUAGGCAACUCAACUAGUAUAAUGGAGGGGUGGGGGUCACCCACACGAGGUAAGUAUCAGUGGGGGUCACCCACAAUUAUUAUUAUUAGGCACAAUCAAGAAAGGGGGUCACCCUUUAAUAAAUGGUGAACAGCGACAAAAACGAAUAUAUAGUAUAUAUAUUCAGGUAAGUAAGUUUAACGUGGUAGGGUUGCCCAACUAUAGUAGGACCCUGUCACAAUAGACAAAGCGAUAUCUGCCCACUUUUUUUUUUUUUUUUUAUAUACAGUAGUUAUGGUGGAAUUAAGCAGAGAGUAGUGGGGAUCACCCACAACAUAAGCAGGGUGGGGUCAACCACACAAAGUUUUAGUGGCAGUAGUUGUGGUGGGGGUCACCCACAGAUUGGUAGUAGUUGUAGUGGGGGUUACCCACAAAUGAUACAAAAGGGUGGUGUCAGCCACACAACAAUUUAAUAAUAGAGAUUACACAAUAACACAGAGGGGGGUCACCCAAUAAUCUAGCAGGCAGGGCUGUUAGUAAAAGAAUAACCUGCAAAGAAAAAGGAGAUAAGGAUCAGUGUUCUGAUCACAAUUUGCCUUGGUAAAUCUCUGAUAUAUGAGAUGAAGCAAAUAUUUAGCUUACCUUCCGAACAGUAAAAAGAGAAAGUGCCCACAGAUGAAAGCAAAACCGGUCCGCGGUGAAAAAACACGAGUGCCGCGAAAAGAAGAUGGCCGCCGCGAGUAAGAGGGGCGGUGCGGCUCAGAAGGCGGGAAACAGAAGGAAAGGGCGCGAAGGUUGUACCAGGAGACCAACGGUCUCCUGGGAAAUGGAGUCCGUCUCUCCCUGGUAUGCUCCUGACUGGAGGGGAGGAGGGGAAAGCCCGGCGGGCUGAUUCUAUGCGCGGCUGAAACUCUGCUUACACCGAAUUAAAGGUGUAAGCUACUUAAAAUAAGGAAGGUAUUAAAAAUGAAAAAAAGGGAAUGAGAAACCCCUGAAAAGAAAUAACAUUAAACAUAGGACAUAAAACAAAGAUUUUAAAAAGGGAAAUACCCUGAGGGAAGCUGGACACUGUUAUUGUGUGUCAUUUUGGAAAACAACAGAUAACAAUCAUCAAGUAAUUUAAGACAAUUUUAAAUUUAAGUAAUAAGGCUAGGCAAUGUAAUUAGAAUAGACUCACCUGGGAGGCAAGCAGCAAAGAAAGAGGAAGUGGGAGGAGUCUGAUGGCACUAUAUUGCUCUAUGUUGUGUUAUGAUUGGUUGAAUUUUUUACAACUUUAUUAACUAUUUCUUUGCUGCUGGGAGUUUUCAGUAAAGAAAGAUAAGCAAAUAUGAAGCCUCCUGUCUUGCCAUAAAAUUAUCUGCUUCCUGUACAGGCCUGUAAACCUUAGAAUGUUUGCCUUUGUGCAUCACUGGACUGUAUGGUGGCAGCAGCAGGAGGAGGAAAUUGUAGUCAGAUGUAUAUACAGUGAUCGCCUAACUAUAAUAACUCGUCAUGAGCCAUUUGGAAAGAUUCUCGGCCCAUGGUCAUUGCGGUCCACCAGACUUUUAUCCAAUUUUACCUUGAUGUCCUGACCAAGCCUUUUCUAUUCUACUUCUGAUCCUCAUCCUAUUUUGUUUUUGUGUGUUUGUAUUUUUAUUCAUUCAAGUUUAUCUGCAACAUUUUUCUAAAUACCACUGGGAGACCUAAUACCGGUCAUGUGGAUUUCAACAAAUAGUUUGUUCUCCUUCUCUUGUGAUCAUCGCAGUGGCCAAGCUUCAAAAGGGUGGUUUCGCUGUGCUAAUCUAAGGAGUGUAGGUGGGGCUAUAUGACGUCUUGUCAUAACUCUGCGUGAACUCCUCACGCGGCAGGCUGCAAGUAAGGGAGGUGGGGAGAUCGUGAGGCAGUGCAUUACUUAGAGGGGGGUGUCUGCCCUGGGUGACAGGCGUGGGGUGGGUUCACUGUUUGUGGUAUUGUAUGGCACCCGAGUAGGGGAUUUCAUUUUCCUCCACCCAGGUCUAGCAUGGAUACAGGCAGUGGAGGCAGAGCUAUAUUCUAUCUGAACCCGUUACCUAGUAACUGUGUUUCUUUGUGUGUGGGUGGCUGUCUGUCUGUGUAAGCCACUGCCUGUAACUGUGUGUGACUAGCUCUAACUCUCUUACUGUCUGCCUGUGAGGGUGUGUGACUGCCUGUAACUCUGUGACUGUUACUGGUUGUGUGACUGACUGUACCUGUGCAUGAAACUGGGUGCAUGGGACUAUGUGCCUUUGGCAGUGUACGUGUAUAAACACACACCUGCAUUCACACAUGGGCCUACAAGCAUUUUUUAGAUCUGAAUUUAAUACUCCUAACAUACAGCCAAUACACUGUCACACAUGUCACUUACUGCCAAUACACCCAUCACAAAUAUCACACACAAUCAAUACACACAUAUAUCACACACAGUCAAAAUACCAACUACAAAUAUCACACACCUCCAUCACACUUAUCACAAACAGACAAGAAACAGAUACACACAUUACAUCAUAUUAUUGUGAGAUUUAUUACAGUCGAGCCCUGUCUUACAAAAGGCACAUUAAUCUGUUUAGUUGGGAAGCUCUGUGAUUAAUAGGUACAUUACUGGGAGUUGUAUAGUUGUGAAGCUCUGUCACAUACUCACACACUGCACAUUACUGUGAGCUUUAUUGUUGUGGAGCCUUUAUCAAUUUAAUGAAUCCCUAAUCAAACAAUACACCCUUAUAUUCACACCAGGGGGUGUGGUGGUGUGACCAGGUAGGGGUUCUGUGAAGAUUUUUCACAGAGUGCCUAAGAGCGUAAGGCUGGACCUGAUAGUGACUCAUUAAAACUGUAACAUCUAGUGGGAAGUCUUCAAUCAAAUGACAGUAAUGGAAUUCUAAGUUUUAUAGCUGCAAUAGCUGCAUUUGCUUGUUAAAUAAACCAUAACAUUUGCUAAAAUAUCCAGUGGUAAUUGCUCCCCAUUGAGAAUUAUCGUUCAUCUGCUCUUAGAAGACAACUUUUAAAAAUUCUGAUGUGGCCACAUAUUAAUGUAGAAAGGAAAUGAAGCAUACCCGUUUAGAGUGGAACUCCGCAGUCACUUUUCAAGUUCGAAAAGUAAGAAAAAUUAUUAAACAAAUGUAAUAUUCAUAGAUCUUUAUUUUUUCAAAUAUUUUAACUAUAUGUUAUUACUGUCAAUGUAAGGGUUGUCCUUGAACUUCAAAAUAAGUAUAUCCAGGCUCAAAUAUUGCUCACAAGACUGAAAGACUGUCAAGCACUCAUAAUCUAUGAUAUAUUUUAUAAUUUUAAUGUAUCUUUAUUUUGAUGGUUCUCCCAUGCUUAAUGGAUUUUAGCACCACCAUGAAUGGGGAGGCAGUUUUCUGGCAGUAGGUCAUGUUUCUGCUCUUAGAAUCUAGUUAUCUCUUGUUAUCAUAUGUUAAAACAGUGUAUUGAAUAGAUAGAAAGUGCUCUGUGCUUCUGGCAUCUUAUCACAUUAUGUGAUAUGAGUUACCUAUGGGAAAUUAAAAUCUAUACAACUGAAGCCAAAUAGCCAGGUAGUAACUGCCAAUGGCUAAAUCCUGAUAAAUACAGAAUUAGUCAUUGUGACUGAGCUCCUGUACUCAGAGUACCUCCGCCCAAUCCGCUUCCUAGCCUGGGAGGGAGCCUGGAGCGCUUCAACCCCAGUGGCCGAGGCUUGAGCUUUUCCAUCCGACCAGGCUGCAGCCAUUCUUCAAGGCAAGUAUUGUCCCCCCUGCCUGUUCCGCUGCAGCCCUUCUUCCAGGCAGGUAUCGUCCCCCUCUGCCUAUUCUGCUGCAGCCCUUCUUACAGGCAGGUAUAAAACUCUGCCUGCAAUGUAAUUUGUAUUGUGACUCUCAGACCUAGCUCUCUUGAAUGAUCCCAGGGCUAGAGGGAUCGUACAGCCAGCCAACAGGUAUGACAACUCUGCGACUGGGAUCUCUAAAAAUCCACACAGGACAGUUCCAAAACGAACUAGCAUACAAUACCUUAUUUUACUUGGGUCGAGCCCAUACGUUUGUUACAUCAUCCUUGCUAUGACAAACUCAAUAAAAUACAAAUAACCAAAACAUGUCAGAAAACAUACAGGGAAUUAUAAUAUCCUAACAACAUAUUUCUAAAGGGGUGAGAGACAAUGUUUAACACAAAAUAUCUCUCCUGCCUACAGAAUUAGCAAUAUGCAAAUCUACCUGAAUAUGACAGUUGCAAGCCUUGCUAUCCAGGUAGUGCAUAAUGCUGUUGCUACCAACAGAGUGCGCUAUACAGGCUCCAUAGCCAAAUCCAUCUAGUUGGUAGCAAUCAUCAGCAGGAAAGGAGAGCAGACAAAACAUUUAACACUAAACACUAAAUAUUUUACACACAACCUGCACCUAUAAUGGGCACAGGGUGACUAAAACAUAAUAAUAGUCCAGGGACCUACAUAAAUAGUCUGUCUGAAGCUCCUGGUGAUGGUAUCACUAUCAUAGUCAUUCACUGGUAGAAGAUCACCACUAGUGGCACUUAGUCACACAUUGAUUUAUAUUUAUAAAAUAUUUUACCAGGAUGGAUACAUUGAGAUUUAUCUGGUUUUCAAGUAUGUCCUGGGUCCACAAAACAUUGCAUUGUUACAAUAGGAUACACUAUUACAAAAAAAUACAAUAUAUAAAUAUUUAUAUAUAAUAUAUAAACAAGUAAUAAAUAUAUACAACCAUGAUAGGUGCAUUCUGUGCUGCUGUAUAUUACCAUAGAUCACUAACAUGAUUUUAGAUUCAAUGAAGAUUUGACUGUGUCCCUGAGGUUAUUCCAUAAUUGUGAAGCUCUGUAGGAAAAUUAGGAUAGAGCCACUUUAUUUUUGUAUUGCGGUAUGCUAAAUAUUGUGCUAGUACUGGAUUGGAGGUUAUAGGAGGUGGGGACAGCUGGGGAGAGCAUUCUACUUAGGUAGGGUGGGAGCUUUCAAGAAAAGAUGAAGUGUGCGUCAGGAUUCCAGCGAUAGCCGGUUUAGCUCUUUCAACAUGUCACACUGGUGGUUAAAGUACAUUCUAGUACAAAGCAGCAGAAUGAAUUAUAUAACAUAUUAAGUUUAUAAAGGUGGGUUUGCGAUGCAGAUGCAUACACAAGAUAUGUCUCUAGAACCAAGGGAUCCACUGAAUCAUGUUGGAUAUAUUCACUAAACCGUGAGUUGGCCUUCAUUUAAAAAAAAAAAAGUAUGCUGUUAAAGUGAAUUCUAUCAAUUUCAGUUGCCAGGAGCCACUUCAGUGCUAUACUCUUGUCAAUGAGCUAGAAUACAAUACUGAGGUCUAUGGAGAACCUCAUGAAACCACUGCCAGGAUUGGACAAAAGUUAACGGAGCUGCUUCACCUUUGUCAAUUUUUGUUAACCUCAGGCUUCACCAUGAGACAAUGUAGUCCCUACUUUUCCCAUGGUAUUUUUGGAUUGCAUUGGAAUGUAAAUUGAUACAGAUUACAUCUUUAUGAAUAAUGAAUAGUGACAGACCCUCUUUUUAACUAGCAAGAUUUUCCAUUUAACUAAAUAGAUCCUGAUGGCCGUAUUGGUGCAAAUACCAUCAUCUGCUAGUUCACUGCAACCAAAUGGCUUUAUAAUCCUUACAUAAAGAGAAUUUAAUUGUUUUAGCCCAGACUGUGGAGGGUAUUAUUAGACUCCAGACUACCUGACAGUUGCUGAGGACUAAAUUAAGCAUGAAGAAUGUGUUUAGGAAAUUGGGAUACUUUGCUAAAAACAAUGAUUUUACAAAAUCACUGGAAGAGCAAUGUUUUGAAGUUCAAUGAGGAAGGUUCAUGUAAUUAGCAUUUUCGCCCAUAAAUGUAUUUUUUUAAUGUAAAUUACAGAACUUGCCAAUGCGCUUAAUAGUUUCUCUGUGAAGCCCGCUGGUAUUCUGGAUUUCAUCUCCGCAGGAUCUGAUAAUGGUGACCACUCCAUAAAGGGUUGAAUAAUACUGUAAAAAUUAACACUGGCCUAUUAAAUAUUUGUGUGUGUGUGUGUGUUUCUUUAUGGGAUAGGUGUUUUAAUAUUUUAGAAACCUGUAAACUUGUCCCUAGAGAUACACAGGCCCCUUUUACCCCCCAUAUGCAGUAAGAACAAACAAAAAACAACAAGGGUUGUAUACACCUCUGCUCACCUCUCUGCUUCCUGUGAGGUCUUGCAGUGGAUAAUUGGGGACCUAUUGCUUUCUUUUGGGGCUUCCGUGUCAUGUGACAGAGUUUAACUCGGUCAGUGCAGAGGAAACUCUUCCAGUGGUUGUUCAUAUGACAGCCACUAGAGGUGGGCUUAUUUGCAGUUUUUCAAAAAUGUUUUACAUUGCAGGUGUGAAAAGAAACCAUGCUAGCUUUAGCUUAGUGCACCAAAAAAAAGUCAAAAUUGUGAGUGUAACCUGUAAAUUAGAAAUAAAUAUUAGUUUUUUUCCUAUGCAGCAAAUGAACAGUCCUUCACACCAUUCUGAACAUUGAAGCAGGUACUAAAUAUCACAAUACAUUUUUCUUUUUAUUAAACUCUGGGUUAAUUGCACACACCAAGAUACCCUAAUAUUUAACAAAAGUCAUGAAUAUAGUUUCACUUAUGGGAAUUUGCUUGCAACUAUCCUGUACUCGGCAAUUAAACUCUGCAGUGCUGCUUGACUGCUUUGUUACUGGUAUGUUUAUUGUUGUAGCUUUGGAACUUAAUAUCUUCUCUUUUUUUGCUCUUCAUGUCUCUCUGUAUUGUCAACGGAGGAUUGCAGAUAUUGACAUGGUCUUUAAGCUUAGAGACUUGUAGCAGUCCUACCAGUGUUCAUUUAGAUUGCCCUCAAAUCUGACUAAAGCAUGACCGCUUAAUCUAAAAUUUGCAAAUCUCUACUUGAUUUUUCAAAUUUGCAAAUGUAUUAAAUAAUUCUACCAGCUUUAAUAAACCAGGAUUUGCUGGCAACUCAGGAAGGAAUUUUCAUUUUUAGGAUAAAAUGCACAAAUUGUGGAAAUAAUAAUAUAGCUAUUUUUUGCUCACUAUUUUGGCCUAUAUUUAAAAUUCCUUGGUCAGUUUCUGAGAUUUCCUUAUUUAGUAAAUUACUCACAAGUUCCACAUUAUGAGGUGCCAAAGAUUCCCCAUUAUUAGUUUAGUCCUACAAAAGUAGGCAUGGAACACAAUUCAUCUUAGACAGGCAUACCGUUGGUUUAAAUUUCUAUUAUUGUGGUUAAUAUUUGCCUUUCUCAGCGCUAGGUAGACUUGGGACAAGAACACGGAUUGAAAGAGUUGUGAAUACCUAUUUAUUGUUAGGGAUGUGCAUGGGCAAAAAAAUUUGGUUAUGGGGGCGGGGCCUGACCGCCAAGCCGAGCGGAAGCGGUUCACAUCAGCUCCUGACCAAUACUCACACUAAAGCCCAAAUUCACUGCUUUGUAGCCCCUUCAGGCUUAUAAUCUACAACCGGAGACUCCUGGGCAUCUCUAUAAGCAAUUGGCACCCUGAGAUCUGGCACUUGCUUGCGUCAACCGACGGACAACACUCGAGGCCUAACCUGGGGCCUAGCGGAGGAGGGGGCCGAUCCUCCAACCAGGCCUGGCCAGGCAUACCGAGAGUGCGACCAGAGCCCUGUAACCCUCCACCCCGUGGUCCGGUGGGGGUUAUCCCGAACCCCACCAAUAUAGCACUCACCUUUGACAAUUCCCUGGGCGACCUCUGCACAAGCUGCUCCCACGCGGUCAAACCAAAAUGGCAGAUGGCAUGGCUGCCCCAUUGAAGCUGGACUUACUCCUGGAGGCCUUUUGGCAAAAGGGAGAGGCAGUGCUGCGCAGCCUUGAGGCAAUAUUCAUCUCCUGCAACCCAGCGGUCCAUGACCCUUCCGAAAUGGAAUGGAGUCACACCCAGGCGCUGGACGAGACGGAGAGCCAGACGGACUGACUCAGGUGCAAAGCCUACCAACAGAGCUUCCCCAAGGACGCCCCUGCCAAAACAAUACAUCUACGGCACCCCCAAACCACGCGCUGCCCAAGCAUUCAUGAGAAGAGGGACCCUCCCUCUUACAUGUCAUGAUAUUUUCUGUUUAAUUCUUGCAAAAAAAAGAAAAAAUGAGGUCAUAACUUUUGCCUGAAUGUCAUGCUGCAAUGCUAUGACUUAUCUUGUGUACCUGUUUAUGUAUUUUGUGAUGAACCUGACCUCAAUAAGACACAGAUUUAAAAAAAAUAUAUAUAUAAAUUUGGUUCGGUUCGGAAAUUCGGGUAAGUAAAAAAAUUUGUCUGCUUUGGCAGUUUGGACCAAUGACAUUCGGUUCGGCACUUUGGAAUUGCCGAAUGUUGUCACUUCAGAACUCUGCACUUUGGAACUUCGGCACUUCGGACAUUCGUAAGCAUCCGAAUGUCCGACAUGUAUGAAAUUCGUACGAAUGUACAUUCGGAAAGAAACGAAUUGCACAUGUCUAUUGCUCAUUUCAUUGGACAGGGAAUAGUGAAACCGAAUUGGGCAAGCAUGCAUUAUAUUGCACAAAAGGAAUUAGCUUAUUGGUCAAGAUUCCUGUCAUCAUUCAUGUAAUUUUCCCUCCCUCUCUCUUGUUUUGCCACUUUCCAGAAAUCCGAACCCUUUCGGAGCUUCAUCACUUGGGGACUUCGGCACUUCGGACAUUCGUAAGCAUCUGAAUGUCCGAAUGGCAUCAAAUUUGUACAAAUGUUCAUUCCGAACUAAACGAAUUGCACAUGUCUAGUUUUUUGUUUAGUCACACACCUAAGUGAAGUAGGAUGUUUCUGCUGGGUUCUAUUUUAGGGGAUUUUUUAGAGGUCACCUACAAUAUUAUCCUGAUGACACUCCAAUACGAUUAGCAUUAUGACCUUAUCAUGACAAGCAUUAAGCUAUUAAUUGGGUGAUUAUGAUGAUGUACAAGUUACUGUUUAUUCCUAAAAUUGUUGGCAAAUCUUUAGUUACUGAUGCAUAACAAACUUUUUAUAUUUUCAAGAUUGUUGUAUCACAAAAUAUGUAUAUGUAAGUAAUUCACUAACUAUGAAUGGAGGUUGAUAACGAUUUUGGUCACGUGACUUGCCAAAUUUCACAAAAAAACGUACACUGUGCUUAUAGAUAUGAUUUAUACUGAACUUUAAAACCACUUACAGGUGAAGUGAAUAACAUUGAUUAAAUCAUUACAAUCUUGGGUAUUCAUGUGGAUGUUACUUUAAUGUACCGCCUACCUAGAGAUUAUUGCAGACCAGGAACACCUCUUCAUGACAAAGGUGUUUCCUGAAGACAGUGGUCUCUUUCAGCAGGAUAAUACACCCUGCCACAUUGCAUAAAUUGUUUAGGAAUGGUUUGAGGAACAUGACAAAGCAUUCAAGGUUAUUGCUUUGGCCUCCAAUUUCCUCAGAUUUCAAUCCGAUUGACCAUCUUUGUCAUGUGCUGGAAUAAUAAAUACAAUUUAUGGAGGCCCCACUUAAAACUUGCAGGACUUAAAGGAUCUGCUGCUGUCUUGGUGACAGAUACCACAGGACACAUUCAAAGCUCUUGUGACCCAGCACUGAGUAUGAAAAAGCCAAGAGCAAAGACCUCUAAAACCAAUUUAUAUCUUGACUUUGAUAAUGUGGAUUUAUAUCAUUUGUAAAGAUUCUACUAGCCUGUGUUAUUUGGUUAUUUAGACAGAGAUAUGUUUUCUUUGAUCAUGCUCAGCAGUAAUUAAAACAGGAAUUUCCUUUAAUGUUUUGCUCUUUUGUCAAGGUUUGAUUAUGUGUAUUGAAUAAUUUUCUCAUUACAAUGGCCAAAUAGUAUAGAUUCAUCUCACGUUAUGAUACAUUCUGAUCUAGGUUCAGGAUCAAAAGUUGUGAUCACAGUGAGACAAAAAAAGAGGAUUUUACAUAUAUGUAAACUCAAAUAUUGUAAGAGUAAUGGUCUGGAUUUAUUAUAGUUAUGCAAUAUACAUCUUACUCCAUUAUCAAAAACAAGGUUAAUACCUUCCUAUAUGUUGAAGACAGAAUGUUCCAAUUUAUCUAUAGAUACAAAUCUUUAAUGAUUUCUUUUUCUUCCGGCUAACCUUCAAAAACUAUCCACUGACUGCAUGGUAAAGAGGCCCAUCCAGUGUUCAUGUAACCCUUUACUCACUGAUUUUGUUGACUGCCAUUAAACCUGUAGCAAUAUUAUUGUAAUUCUGUAUAUAACAGAACACUGUUUGUGAGGAUGAUUGGGCUGAUAAUUGUGAGCAAUUAACCCAUUCACAGUGAAUCAUCCCUUCAGCUGAAUAUAUGCAAUGGUUAUCUUUCUUCCUGAUGUAUAGUAAACAUUUUCUGUUUUUUCAUAGUGAAUCAUAGACAAAUAUAGCUGGUAUUUACAAACCUAUUCUAGUGCUACUAUAGUCACAACUUGUCAGUGCAGAGUUCUUUAUUUAUAGGUUAAAACCUAUUGUGUUAUCCGUUUUUGAUUGUUGAGAUAUUUAGAGAAAAACACAAAGGUAUAUUCAUAUAGUAUUUUGGAAAAAUAUAAAAACAUCCUAUUCCUAUUUUUUUUUCCAAUGAAAUAGUGCAAGAAUGAUGAACGUGACAACAAUGUUAGUGGUUAAAGAAAUACCAAUCGAUUUUCUUUUUCCCAUAUACAGUAUGUAGUAUCACUUCUUUAGCAGCCUUGCGUUUGCAGUAUUCUAUAAAUUGUGGUUGAUUUGUGUAGACCAGUCACUAACAAGGAAGUACAGUAGCUUUACUGUUCCAUCUGCAGUGGUUAAGCUCAGUCUGAAAACUGGAGCGUGGAAAUUAGGCAUGCAAUGCAGGAUGUCAUAGCCAGAUAACACUUUGGGUCCAGUUGAGCCCCUAUCUGGGGCUGCGACUCUGAAGAGGCCCUCCUCGGCUGGCAUACAACUCUCAACAAGCACACCCAGACAAACUCAGCCCCCCCAUGCAGCUGUCACCCUCUUCCAUACACUCUUACACGCGCAGACACACACACACACACACACACAGAAACAAGGAUUCUUUGGGGGGUGGGUUAUUCUAGCACCCUGCCUAGGGCACUGGACAACUUUAAUCCAGAGCUCAGAAUGUACAAAUAUCUUAUCAGUGACUAUAACAUGGUCUGAUCCCAAGAGUUACUCUAGUUAUAUUCACCUAGACUGCUGCAGGAUUCUGCAUCCACAAUAAAAAGCCUAUCAUUUUGGUUUAUGUGGUCUAACAUUGUCCCCUGUCCUGCAACGAGACAUAGCUACAGGGAAGUUUGCGAAUUGUGCAGUACUAAGUCACGGUCUGGAUGGAGAGUGGGUGCAGGGUUCUCUCACUACAUCAAAACAUUUUUCAUAAUGCAAAAUUGUUCUAGUACUUAUAGUGACCCUUUGAUGCAUGACUUGCCAUAACUGCCGUUGAUAGAAAAGAAUGGUCAUCAAAGACUUAAACAAUGAAUCAAAAUAAACUCUGUGCAAUUCAGCAGUUGUUUCAGUUAUUGCUAGUGUUUUGCUGCAGUCUGAUGCCUGUAGGAUAUAAAGUACCUGCAGUUUAAGUGGUUUUCAUGAUUUUGGUGUUCCAGCUCUAAUGAAGCUGUACAAUACAGCCGAUAUUUGCCAAAAUAUUGUUAAUCUUAAAGGAUCUAAAAUAAGAACUGAUGUAUUGUUAGUGCUAAUUAGAAUUCCUUUUAGUAAGAUCAUUGAUUGCAAUGGGCACAGGGUGUGAAUAGUACACGUAUGUGUACUCGAGACUCUGUGUACUCCUAUGAUAAUUUCAGAAAGAACAGAGCCCUGAAUAGGUUUAAUGGUUGGGUUGGUUUCAUCUCAUAUUGCACUUGUUGCUGAUUUUAACUAUAUGGUUGCCAAAUUCUCAACUAUUGAUCAUUAAGAAACAAUGGUUUUUUAUUAUUGUUAAAGGGUUAUUCCAACCACCAUGACUACUUCUGAUUUUAAGAAUCUGUUUCUGCUUGUAACACUGCACUUACAGAGAAAUAUGCACUAUUGUGCCAGAGGCAGAGUACAUACCAAGCGCACAUGGCUUAGGCAGCCCAGAACUACCCCCUUCCCCCUCACAUUUCAGCCCUCUCAUCCUCCAUGCAAUCCCUGAUGUACUUGAGGUUUGUCUUUGUUUUAUUCAAAUGCCUUCGCUCCCUUGUUAACCCCCAUUUCCUCCCGUACCUCCUCCAUGCAUGCACUCUGAGACGGUGAGAAGGACUCUUCGAGAAGGAUUUGAUUGGACCACAGAGAGGGAAGGUGUGACAUCAGAUGGGGAAUGGAAACCAGUGUGGGAAGCUUUACCUGGUUACAGGGAUUUCUUUUUUAAGUCUAGGAAAGAACCAAGUAAAUAAUGUCCAAGAGGGCAUUAUAAGUUGAAAUUAUUUUUUUUACCACAAAGUGUUAAAGUAAUCCUUUUAAGAAAAUAAUAAUUCACUGUAAGCUUGGUUUCUAUGAAAGCAUUUUGUUCUUCUCCAAACUUCCCUGAAAAUCGUUUUUUUUUUCUUGAUCAGUGGCACAGUAUCUCUUCUGCUGUCAACAUUAGGGAAAACAGUUAUCAAGGCAAAGCAGGUGCUAUUCGGGGAAAAUUGAUAAACAUGCUAAGAAUUGUUAUAUUGGUUUCCAUAGUGAUAUCUACUUAUCACUUUACCCCAGAAAAUCUCUUGUUGUGCCUUGAUCUGUGUCUCCCUUCAUGUUAUGCCCUCCCUGUUACUCAGUGAAGGUGUUUCUUUAACACUGUUCUGCACCCCUCCACCCCCCAAAGAUGAACUACAUAUAAGAGAAAGUAGUGGUAAUGGUGCUUGGAGGCUGUAUGUGCAGCAUUGCAUUAGCCAUUAGUCAUUAGACCUCAUUAGUAUAAGGACUCUGGACAUGCUAACGACUAACGCACUAAUGGGCCUCACAUUAAAGCCACUGACAGGUAAGUGAAUAACAUUGAUUAUAUUAGUAUACUGGCAUUUGUUAGGGGAUGGGAUAUAUUAGACAGCAAGUGAACAUUUCUUGAAUGUCAUGAGUUGAAAGGAGGAAAAACAGGCACGUUAGAAGAUGAGUAACUUUGACAAGGGCCAAAACUAGGUAAGAGCAUCUCCAAAACAGCAAGUCUUGUGGGGUGUUCCCACUAUGCAGUGGUUAGUACUUAACAAAAGUGGUGCAAGGAAGGAUAACCAGUGAACCAGAGCUGUGGUCAUGCUUUGAAACGUAUUUGGAUACUAGUCUUUGUGUGGUGUUUUACUUGUUGACUGAUGUUUAGUAAUUUAAGCAGUGCAGGUCUAGCAACUACAAUAUGAUGUAACCUUUCUACUUGACUGGUAUGAACAAACUGCAAGACUUGAGGUCUGUUAUUUGCCAAAUCAGCAGUAUGGAACUGCACUCAAUCCCUGUUCAAUCCGAAUCUGGGUGCAACCAAACCAGGUCUAAGUACCAAUAAACCAGAUGCUUAAUAUAGAAAAGCUUGACAAAGCCAAUGUAGGUCGAAACAUUGUGAUUUGGCUGUGGGUUAAUAAAUUGCCUUUUGUUGAAUCUUGGAGUGCCUGGACUUCUCUUCAUUUUCUAUAUUGAGGUCUGUUAUUAAUGCAUCACUGUCUCUGUUUGGGGACUUGCCAAAUUCCCAAAGUCCCCCGAAGGUGACAUCGCCACACCGGGUUCAUUGAUCGGGCUAGGGUAAAGAUAGGAUUUACUUAACUGAACCUGUCCCACGUGGGUGCGAGUAUCUUAAUCCGGCAGGGUCCUCUUCAGAGCCGACGUCACUGCUGUACUAUUGUGCAUGCCUGUAAUGGCUGUCAGGAUUGACUCUUGGACUCCGCCCUGAGUCUAAGAAAGUCAGGCGGAGGAGAAACAAAGUAGUCCCUACUUUGUCUCUGUAUAUCUGUUUACUGGGCUGGAAUUUCAAUGAAAUCCAACACAGUCAAAAUAAGCAUUUUCUAAAUAUUAUAUCUUUAAGAAAUACUCAUUUUUCAGGGGGAAAGGUGACAGUGCCGCUUUAAAUAACCUCUUAAUUUUUUUUAAACUUUCUCUCUUUUUAAUAAUAAUUUGCAUCCAUCUUGGCUAUGGUUUUGAGAUGGAAAAAUUAGUUUGCAUUUAAUAGAUUGCAACAAAAACAAAGAAUAUGAACGGACAAAAGCUUAUUAACUCAGCAGCAUGCCCUUCAGUAAAUUCCCUCUCAGGUCUCAUUUAAUACAUUGUAUCUUUAUUGAUUUAACCUGCUUAUGUGCAGACAUGUAUUCUGGUAUAAUUUACAAGUAUUUGUCUAGAAGGUUAAAAUUUAUUUAACUGUGUACUUUUUUUUCUUUUCUUUUUUGUUUAAAUCCAGAAAUUCCAACUAUAUCUAGUAUUCUACUCAGGUUUGGAGGAUGGAGGAUUUGAAUGUAAAUCAUUUUUUUGCACCUGUGUUUUUGUCUUAUAUAACCUAUAUGAUUGUGUCUGUUGACUCUGAAGUGCCAGUAGGGCACGAAAUGCGUUGGCAGCAUCACUAAUUACAUAAGCUAAAGUUUUUUUCUUUCCAUUUAUCUUUGUUGAUCAAGGUGUUUCUCUUCAUAUUAAGCCCGGCUUCCAUCCUUUGUUAUCUUGAGUGAAUAAGCCCUCCAUUUGUUUCUUGGAAUUUAUACAGAAGCUUUCUGAACUUAUUUUCAAUAUAGCUGGCUACAUGUAGAAUUGGCACCUACUCAGUGGAUCCAUUAUUGCACUCAAUUCUUCAUCUUCAGCCAGAAAGUUUUCAAUGAAAUUCAAAUUUGAAGACUUUACAUCUGCUUCAGGUGGAAUCAUUGAAGAUGAUCCUUCACUAGAAUUAAUAGGUUUUGUUCCUCUAAAAGCCUUUUUUCUCUGUUGAUCUUCAUCAUAAGUUGAGGGUUCCUUGUGUUAACCAGUUUAAAAAUUGGUCAUAACUGUGAAAGUUGUAAUUUAUUGGUACAUGACUCAGUCUUUUCCAGUUGUUUGUAUAAUCUCAAAUGGAUAUUCUGGACUAUCCCAAAGACAUUACAAUAUAAUACACAAUAUAUAGAUCAGAUAUAAUCAAUACACAUGAAUCCAUUAUUAAAAUAUGCACUAAUGAUAUUCAAUGGAAAGAUCUAGGUUUCAGUCAAUACCUGGUAUUAACCGGCAGCAAUCAAAUGUAGUGAUCCCACAAUGACUUGGCAUCCUGGUGGAGGUCAAAACUGAUCAGAUAAGAAAGAAACUAUGAUGUUGACACUUUACGGUAAUGAUCGGGAAAGGGGAAAUCUAAUAGGUUGUGGGGGUCCUUAAUACAGAAGGGACAUUUAUUGGCUGUGCCAUUCACUGAAUACCAGUGAACUGCCCAACUGUAGUUGAAAAUAUCCACUUUCUAAACUUCAGGUACAAUCCAAAAAAUGAAUCGAGCAAUAAAGGUAUAAUCAGGUAAUGGUCUCCAUAUGAAAACAUGUACCUGAAAGUCAUGAAGAACUCAACCUUGAAAAAGGCUGCUUAAGGUCCAUAAUCCUCACAAAGCUGAGAUUCACAGCAUGGGGGAGAAACAGGGAGGCAGGGUUGUUGUCAGCAAAUUGUACAAGUUACACGUUACAUUAUAAACUGGACUCCAGCAGUCCCUCAAAGCAAACAUGGUGAAUGCGUAUUCGAGGUGUUCUUGUAAAUGUGUAACCUUAUCGUUUACUUGACAUUUUCUAAGAACCUUUCCAUUAGAUUUAUGAGCCUAUUGUCCUCAUCUGCACAUUUCAUUAGUUGUUGCCAUGAAAUCAAAUACUUGUAAGGCACUGUUAGUAAAAUAGCACAUACCAUAUUAAAUACUAGAAACCAAACAAAGUAGAUUUAUUGAUAACUUUGCAGUUUUUUCCCCCAGUAUUCUAUUUCCAUAUAAAUAAAGCUAAGCAGGGCAUUUUAUUAUUUCAUAUUGCUACCGGUUUGCAUAUAAUGUUUUUGCUGAGUUAUUCAUGAGUCCUAAUUUACUUGUCCUGGUUACUUUGUUAAAUGAAUAAAUCUCUCAGAAACUUCAAUUGUCGUGUCGUGUAGUUUUGCAAAAUGAUGCCAGUAGCAUUCAAUGUGUUACGUGUUAAAAUCACAAAUAAACAUCCUACUAAAUGUAUUUCUUGUAUCAAAAUGUUUAACAUUUUAUUAAGUAAACUUAAUUAUCAAUAUGCAAAAAUUGGUAGCGCAGUUCUGCAUCCAAACCAAUAAAUGCAUGCAUUUUGUUUAGUUAAAUCUUGGCACCAUAACCACUACAGCACACAGGUUGGCACCUACUUUUUUAAACUUCCAAUAUUGUUUCAGUGAUCAGGAACCUAUUUCUAAAUCAAAAUUAGCCCUUUUACAAUAUAUAUAUAUAUAUAUAUAUGUGUAUAUAUAUAUAUAUAUAUAUAUAUAAUUGUUUUUUUGUCCUCGUUUGCAUCGAAUUCAUUAGCUGAGAAGCUGUGAGCAAUUAAGUCUAUUCAGUGGGCUUUAUGCUGAAAUAGUUGUAUUAUCUUGGCCAGAAUUAAUUCAUACUAUUCACAUGUGCAGAUGUUAUUGGUCAUUGGCAAUUUUUUAUUUUUGGAUCUAUGAAGGGGUAGUAAAGAAACAUGCGGUUUAAAAUACAAAAAAUUAAUUCACAUAUCAAUGCAUAUUUCAUCAUACACAGACAUAUGAGCUGGCAUAUUUUAUUGUGUUAAAGUAAAUGCAUUUCAAUUUGACAUGAAGCUAUACUGUAUGUUUGAAGCUUAUUUAAUAAUGUUUGGUGUCUUUGUUUGUUCUGUUAGGUUCUUAAGAAUUAACCAUGACUGACACCGUGAUAGGAAAUUCCUCUAACCGCUGGGUGUGUCCAAAUGACAGACAAAUGGCAAUGAGAUCCAAGUAUGUUUAAUUUGAAUAUUCUCGUUCUAUAUUGUUUUAUUUAUUGAUCAUACCUAAUUUUAUUUUACUGCCUUAGCCCUAUUCUUCCUUUUUUUUGCUUCCAUUUCUUUUUCUAUUUUCUAAACGAUCUAUUCUAUUUCCUCAGAACAUUUUGUAGCUGAAAGAGAGCCUGUCUCUUUUAACAGUAGUGACUGUUCACUCCCCUCCCUUGGGCUUCUCAUAAAGAUUAAAUUGCUAGGAAAUUCUCUUGAAGAAUGUACUGGAAGUUCAUUGAACGUUCAACUAAGUCAAAAGAUGGACUACUUUGUCUUAUGGUAAAUCUCUGCAUCGACAAAAGCUAUGCAGCACAUGAAAUAUUAAAGCGGACCUGUCACUUUUUAGUAUUUCAUAAAGAUAUAAUCUUUAUGAAGUACUGAAUAAGACUGCUUUGGAAUAUCAUUGAAAUUCCAGCACAAUCCAGAGAUACCAAAAGACAAAGUAGAGACUACUUUCUCUUAUGGUAAAGCCAGAGGUUGAAAAAGAAAAGAGGAGCUCCUUUGUUCUCUGUCCAAUCUCAGCAGCCAUCACAGAUGACAGCUGUGGGAUUCAAGCUUUGUCUAUGGAGAAUCCCGCUGUCUUGUGUUGUACUGUUGCGGAUGCACGAUGUAGCUUCUGGCAACUGAAGCUCCAGGACCCAAAGAGGACCUGCAUCCAUAGGCGGGUGUGCCGGGUGUGCCAGGGCACUCCCUAAUCCCUGCGGCUCACGCUAUGUGCCUUCAUGGGAGGCAGAAGAGGACCCGGGAAGCUCUAGCCAGCCGCUCUGCCGGGUUCCUCUCGCUAGGUCGGAGCGGACUAGCAGGGAUGGCACCUACAAAAGGUAAGAUGGGAAGGGGUCUAUUUCCUAAACGGUCCCCCCAACUCCCACAGUCCCUCCAAACAAAUAUACACAAACAGCACCCUCACACACACAGCACCCACACACAGCACACACUAACAUCACCAUCACACAUACAUCCACACACAUACAUCACCCUUACACACACAGCACCCUUACACAUAGCACACACACACAGUACCCUUACACACAGCACACACACACUAACGGUGUAUGUGAGUGUGCUUUAGGGUGCACACCCUUAUGCAAUAGGCUGCGCACGCCUAUGCCUGCAUCGUGAAGAUUGCAGUGGCUGCAAGGGACAACUGUAGGUAAGUAAAAUUUACCUCCCUAGCCCCCCAUAGCAAAAAUAUGCAAAAUCCCCCAAAAUUGACAGAUCCACUUUAAUAAAUAAAACUCAUGACAUAAUAGAAGAUAUUCAUUGCCGUAAAGUCUUUGCAUAUUUAUUAAGGGUUACUAAGAACAUAUAAAUAAAUAAAACUUUAAUCAUAACAUUAAUACAGAAUACCUUACCAAGCCAUUUGGCUAAUAGCCAACCUCCAAAAAACUUGGUCAUAUAGGUCUAUUCUCCUUCAAAAAAAGAACAACCGUACCCCUAACAAGGCACCAGUAUAAAAACAAUUCUUAAUUUCUAAAAAAACAACUUUUUUAGAAGACAAAUCAGUAAAUAAUAAAGAAAUAACUAACUAAAUAAAUAAUAGACAUAAUAAUAAGGGAGGACAGUGAUUAUGAUUUUGUGUCACUAACUCUGUUUCCAAAAUCUCAGACGCUGUCAGGUGAAAUGCUCAAGACACCUCUUUAUAGAGCUCAGAUUUGUGCCAUUUUAGCUUCUCGCGCCAGCAUGUUUCAAUCAGCUGAAAUAACCCCUAGCCCAGUCAUGGCUAACCUUGACACCAUAAAUAGUUUUCUGGACUACAUUUCCCAUGAUGCUCAGCUUUUAGACUCUAAAAGCUAGCUGAGCAUCAUGGGAAAUGUAGUCCAGAAACAAUUUAUGGUGUCAAGGUUAGCCAACACUGCCCUAGUCCAAACAAAAUUGCCUAACCUUGCAGAGCUGCAUAAGAAGCUCAUUGAAGCUUAUAAUCCAUUGCAUUUCAUGACAAAUGCAAAGCAAGUUUGGUCACGUCUGUGAAUAAGGCAUUUUCUUGCUCAUUGCAAGGAAAUAUCUAUGGAGGCUCCCUGGAUAUCACAGAUUUCCCAUAGACAUCAGUGUUGCACUCUCACAGAUCCACAAGAGUACAGCUUCGACACGGGCUCAUGGCAGAUGGACUGCCAAGAGCUUGUGAAAAAAUAUGACAGCCUGGACCAUCGCUGCACCCCGGACCACCGCAUCCCAUCUUUCUCUAUCACAAAUUAAAUUAUUCUUCUAAAUUACCAAUAUCAAUUCCAUCCCUAUUUAGUUGACAUUCAUUGCCUGAGCAUGUCAGUCGAAUGCCAUUCAAACUUUAACAACAUUGAUGAUAUUGCUAAUAGUAUUAUAAGAUAAAUGGUCCAGCCACAGAUGAUUCUUAGUUUUUGCCAAACUGCUCAAAAAUAGAUUGACAGCUAAUCAGAGAAAUGCUGGCACCAUAACCACUACAGUGAUCUGCAGUGGUUAAUGGUGAUUUAAAAAGCCCAUUUAACCCCUUAAGGACGGCAGGCAUGCUAUGCCGUCACUGGGGACCCGUUGCACAUCCAAGCCAUCCUGGCCUCUUAUCUGCUCGCCAGCGGUCCCACGCCGGCAAUCAUGAUGGGGGUACUUACCUGGCAUCGCAGGGAGUCCCCCCUGCUGCUGAUCUGGCCCUCCUGGGCCAUGUGAAUGCGAGGUUAAAAACUGGUUAAAAAAGGUUAAGUACAGUUUAAAAUUAAAUAGUAAACAGUUUAAAAUUAAAUAGUAUAUACUUAGAUCAUAUAUAUAUAUAUAUAUAUAUAUAUAUAUAUAUAUAUAUAUAUAUAUACACUUCCACUAGUGGGUGUUUUAAUAUACAUAAUUAUAUAUAUAUUAUCAAAAUACACGUAGAAUGAUAUUAAUUAAAUAUAUAUAAUCUAAAAAAAAUAGAUAAAUACGUUAAAAAUGAAAAAUAAAAAUGAUAAAUAAUUUAAAAAUACAUAUACAGUAUGUGUAAUUUCAUUCUAACUGUAUUUUCAUAUAUAUAUAUAUAUAUAUAUAUAUAGAUAUCAAAAUACACUUAGAAAGAAAUAAUAUAUAUAUCUAUAUACCUAAAUAUAUGUCACAGUGAGAAGCACGCAAGCGCCUCUAGUGGCUGUCAAUGAGACAGCCACUAGAGGAAAUAGGGGAAGGCUUAACCCAUUCACAAACAUAGCAGUUUCUCUGAAACUGCUAUGUUUAUUAAAAAAUGGGUUAACCCUAGCUGGACCUGGCACACAGACCACUUCAUUAAGCUGAAGUGGUCUGGGUGCCUAGAGUGGUCCUUUAAGCAUGCGUGGGAUAGGCAUAAGGCUAUCCUAACUAUAAGAUAAGGCCAGGGACUAAUGAAAGUAUUUAGAAAAUUGGGCAGACUAGAUGGGCCGAAUGGUUCUUACCUGCCGUCACAUUCUAUGUUUCUAUGUAACCAAUCUGGUGAAUUUCAAUGUGAAAAAAAACUAAAAAAUAUAAAAUGCUAUAUUUGACCCUGUAAGUUCCCAAAACACCAUAAAACCUGUACAUAGGGGGUACUGUUUUAUACGUGAGACUUCGCUAAACACAAAUAUGUGUAUUUUAUUGCAGUAAAAGCAAACAGUAUUAUGACAUCCACAGUUAAAAUGUCAUGUAGAACUAAAAAAAUAACAAUUUCUUAAUUUCUCACAUUUCUUUUAUAUUUUAUUCAUAUUAAAUUAUGUUUCAUACCUAAAUAUUUGAUGUUAAAUGAAAGCCCUAUUUCUCCUGAAUAAAAUGAUAUAUAAUAUAUAAGUGUGGGUGCACUUAAUGUGAAAGAGUUGAAUUACGGUUGAAGAGACAUAUAGUCAAAUUCCAAGUUUUGUUUAUGUUUUAUUUUGAUCAAAAUGUGUACAUUUGGCUCAGUCCUUAAGGGGUUAAGGACCUGGAAACAUAUGAAUAUUUUUAUAUUCUGCUAAGCAAGAUCCAUCACUGUUUUUUUAAAAUUUAAUCUAUAGUCAUAUCUAAUUCUUUCAGUGAGGGUAUUAUGUGUUGGAACUUACAUUGUCAGCAAUCAAGAAACUAUCGUAUUACAGAAUUCUGUUAAACAUCUGCACUUUUUAAUAAAAUGUUUAUUUGGAAAAGUAUUCUCUGAACAACAGUUUGUUCGUUCAAUAAAAUUAAACCAAGUGAUUCUCCUGUACUGUAUAUGGUAAUUUGACACCAUCUGCAGUCUUUUAAAAUAAUAAAACACAGUAAUAAAAAGAUUAUGUGUUCAUUUCGAUGCUUUGCUUAUAUUCUCAAUAGUUCCUGCUUAAAUAUCUGUACAAUAUGUGAGGCUCUUAUUAUGCUACCUGUUCAGGCACUUACGGAAUAAAAUACAAUAACACAGCACUCAAAGCUCUAAAUUUCACAAAUAUGUUAGAAGGACCAACUCUGAAUCUCCAAACAAGAGUAUACUCUCAUAAACAUCUAGUGCCCUCAUAGUGUUGUAACUAUAUAUGGAUUGAAGUGUCAACAAUACCAUAGUCCCUUUGGUAUUGCCCCUGUAACUACAGAAGAUAUUUUAAAUUCUUUGCCUCAUUUGGUAACUGAUCUUUUCCAUGCACCUCUACAGAGUACAUUACCAAAACGGUGUGCUCCAGGGCUUGACUUUAUGUGCAGAAGUGAGGGAGAGUCAUAAAAGCAAUUGUAAAUUCAGUUUUAGUCCGCAUUGAUCUUGCAAAACACCAUUGUAAUGGAUGCCUCCAUUCCUGGGGCUCAUGGAGCAAUCAUGGCGCUAUUUGGAGAGGAUGUCUUGGACUGGGUCUGUGUGCAUAUAAGGGGGCCAGGCCAUCUGAGGGCUGUGUGAGCCUGGGCCCGUUACAUGCACACAGACCCGGUCAGGGAGAUCUUUUGAGCCCCCUCCUGGGUCUUUGCAGAGUUUGCGCAGCAGGAAGGGGAGGAUGCUCUCUGCCUUCACCUAAGCGAUGAGUUCCGGCUUUCUGAGCGUUGCCGUGGUAACCACAGCAACACUCGAUUCCACAUGGCGCUGGGACUGGCGGGAAGAGCCUUCACCCAGUAUAGGUGAAGGCAGAAAGCCUCUGCAGAACCACCAGACCACCAGGGAAUAUGCUGCCCCCUCCCUGGAUGCUGGUAGGACACGGGGGGGGGGGAUAUACUAAAUCAAAUAAAAAAAUAUAUUACAAAAUAAAUAUUAAAAAAAGAGAUGCCCCCUUUUUAGCCCAAACAGCCCCAAUCCUGCCCAGCAAACACGCUCUCACACACACAAUGCAUCCAUCCACCCACACACACACAAUGCAUCCCUACACACACACACACAGACACACACACACACAUACACAAUGCAUCCCUACAUACACACACACACACACAAUAUUCAUACACACACACACACAAUAUGCAUCCCUUACACAUGCAGAAACACACAACACGUCCUUUACACACACACAGAAACAGACACUGAUUACUGGGACAGAGGGAAUCAUACACAUGGGGGGGCUGGGACAGAGGCGCAUGGGGGGAUGACACGCAUAGAUGGGUUGGGGGGGGGAUAAGACGCUUGGGGGCCCAGGGCAAUUUUCACAACGGGGCACAGUGAUUUGUAGUUACGCUUUUUCUGCUUGACUCCUAAGUCUUAUUCUGUACUGGCAGCUAUAAACAUUUUCUUCCAUAACAAAUCGAGACCCUUCCUGGAAUGGCAUCAUUCAUAUGAACAGUGCCCCAAUGAUCUUGGGAACUUUGUGCCAUUCUGUAAACCUGACUCUGUGUAAAGGUGACAUGUUUCUUUAUUGGAUACCUUUAUAAUGCACCGUCCGCUACAAAAGACACAUAUCAUCUGAUCACAUGCUUAAGAUCGCCAUCAUUUCAUUUCUCUGAUCUCUUUUCUUACUAUUAUCCAUUAAUAUUUGGAAUUCAGGAAACUAUAAAUUGUGACAGCAACUUGGAACAGAAGCAACAAAAUGCAUUUUGUCUUUGCUAAUGUCUCUAGCAAUGGUCAUACUUUAUAAAAUAUGUGACCCUAGGGGAUUAUUAUCUGAAAGAGAAUCCAUCAUUUAUUUUUUUUAACAUACCCAUGACACAAGGUAGCAUCAUAAAGUUUUAUAUGAUAGCAAAUAUAAGUGUCCAUUUUAUGUGAAACCGGAGUAUAGGGGUUUUCUGCGUUCACAGGGAUGGUUUGUCUUUCUUUCACUUGUGAUAGCACAAUCUGACAUUUUUCAAAGUGAUUAAUGUUACUCUGAGAUAGGAGAGAAGCAAUGAGAUACACCAAUUCAAUUGUAGAGGGAAAGAAGUGCAAGAAUUGACGCGUUUCAAACCAUUUCCCCAGUGAGCAUUGAUACAUUUGAAAUUAGAGGAGAAAGACUGGUGUAAGAGAACUUUACAAAACCAUAAAUGAUAGUGAUGAUAAGUAUUUAAAAUAUUAAUGCAAUGCUUUCACUCACAAGAAUAAUUGGAAUGCAGGUAAAUCUAGGCAGUGGUAUUAUUUAUAUCUUACUACUCUCCCCUCCCAGACCAGGGAGAAAAAACAGACAAAUAAAUCACCUUAGCAUGAACAGUAGGUAAAAAAAAAAUAUACAUGUUUAUUAGAAAAAGCAACAUUAUUACUUAAAAGGCAACACAUUUCAAGUACAUUGACUCUCAUUAUGUAAGGACUUUCCAGAGGCAAAAUAUAAUGUUGAAAAGAUACACUAAUCAAUAAAAUUGCACAGCUGGAUUUAUUAUUAUUAUUAUUAUUGGUAUUUAUAUAGCGCCAACUAAUUCCGCGGCACUUUACAAAUUUAUGAACGGGGGAAAUUUACAGUAAAUGAGAUAAUUACACAAUGACACAGGAACAAUAGGUAGAUGAGGGACCUGCUCAAACGAGCUUACAGUCUAGAGGAUAUUGUAAUAUAUUAUACUAGACUAUAAGGGUUUGGAAAAGGCAAAAACCACAAUGCCCAUAAUUCUUGAUUUUAAUGAUAAAAGCAUCAAAAUUAAAAAAAUAUUAAAAGACAAAGCACUAGGGAAUUCUAAAGGAAGGCGAGAUACUGAAAAUAUUCUCCCAGAUAAACCGAACAUUAUUUUCAGAGGUGCUCCUAAUGUUAAAACAUAUUUCACAAAAAUGUUUACAAAGAAAACUAUCACCUAUGACAAUUCUUUUUUAAAUAAUAAAAAAAAAAGGUUUCUAUAAAUGCAGGGACCGUAUGUAAUGCAAAAGUACUAAUAACAACAACACAAGAAUAUAUGAAUUUAAGUCUAAUCAUUCAGAAAAAAAGUAAAAUAAAAAAAAGCCUCAUCACUUGCAAUUCUUAAAAAGUUAUUUACAUGUUGGAAUGCCCAUGUGGCUUACAAUACGUGAGCAUGACCACUAUACAUCUAAAAACUAGAGUUGCUGAACACUGCAGAAACCUCUCCAUGGGAUAACCCCCUUGAUUAUUUUAUCUUUUUAAUUAUGUGUCUGUGGCUUCAGUAUUCAUUAAUGCUUCAUCUGAUGCUCAUUUAUACACAAUAUUAUACUUGACAUACAUGUGGAUUUAUAUAUUUCCAUUUUGGGAAUUUUCAUAUAUAUAUUAUUUAUUGACAUCAUUUUGUUUUAUUUCAUAUCCUUUUUGGUUUUAUUUAUUUAUUUUUAAUAUUUUCCUAUUUUUAAAUAUUUUUUUUGCCUUAUGACAUGCCCCUCUACCCUGCCUCAUAUAGGCUCCGAUGCCAUUUUGUUGUAGCCAGACCAUCACUAUCCUCAUAGAGCCCUCAUUUUUAUAAAUUAACUAUGCUCCCCAUUUUCCCUUUACUUAGGCUAUCCAGCCACCACCUCUAUUCUUUAACUUUAUAACAUGGUGGCCGUGCCUGUCACAUAAAGCGAGCCGUGGCGCAAUUUUACUAUAGCCCCAUAGAGCCGGUUUUGGCUCUCCAUCACUCGUUUUAGAAAUUAUCUCUCUUCCAUCCGACUAGGGCUGUACUUCACCGUUUUUAUCUAUUGAUGCUGGGGUCACGCCGAUCACGUGACACAGACCACGACCCUAUAAUGGUACACCUUCUACAUAAUUUUUUUUAUCUCUCUUAAGCCACAGACCUUGUUUUUGACUUUUAAUAACUUGAAUGAGGGUUGAAUUCCCCCUCUUGUUACUUAUGAAUGUUUAUUAUUAACUUUGAAUUAUUUUCAUGCAAACUUUUUGGACUAUCACCUGGCUAUGAUGCCUUGUGACCCUUUUUUUCAAAUUUGUUCAAUGCUAUAUAUACAUUGAAGGUCCUUUAUUAUUAUUACUAUCAUUUUAUUAUUUAUAUAGUGCCAGCAAAUUCCAUAUAGCUGUACAAUGGGUGGACUAACAGAAAUGUAAUUACUCUUGUCUGUAACACUUUUAAAAAGCUUGUUUACUGAGUGAAACCUGCUCGUGUUUUAUGUUCUUCUAUUUUUAUUGUUUUUAUAGUUGUUUCUCAAUAAAAUUACUGCAUUUUUAAUACCUUUGAACCUUCCUAUUUUCACCCUAGUGUUUCAACAUCAUUUUCCUUGGUAUGGAUUAUACCAUCUAUGCCUUUUGGAUUGAGUAAAAACAUUUUUUUGCUUUAAGUCAGUGAGUACAUUUCUUGUUAUUUUAAUUUAUUUAAUAUGCUGUAGGCACUAUAUUUUAUGUUUUUGUUCUAUGUAUAUACAUCUAAGAGUGUGAAAUGCACAUAUAUCAAAGACUGGUGGAUUCCAUUCCAUGUUAUUCACUACGAGUCACCAGAAGGCUCCAAUAAAUGUGAGUGUGCACUUUGGACACAUUAACUUCCCACUAAAAUAUCCAAAAUACUAUACUAAAGUAGUGUAAUUGCUUGCUUUUUUUCCCUGUGUAAAUGGACCACCCUCCUUGGGACCAAGACACCACGUUCAUAUCCACAGGCAGGGAUUUUUUUAUUUUUUUUUCACAUACAUUACAAAAAAAACAAUUAGACAUUAGACGUUAAACAUUAGAAGGAAAAUGACAUGAGGUAUGUGUAAGAACAUUACAAUUCGAUCACUUUCAAUACAAAAAGGAAGGAGGAUUUUAAAUAUAUAUAGUAAUUCCUAAGAGCCUUUUUUAUAUUCUAUCAAGUCCCUUCCUUAUAUAUUUAUACUUUUGAUGAAAUUUCCUACCUACCUAUAUUAAUCUUAAAAAAACAAAAAACAAAAAAACCCCACAAAAACAUAUAUUCAUUCACAAAAAAAAAAAAACACACUGCCCUUUGCUGAGAGUUAGUCGCGUAUUACUCCUGGGAACCUAAAAAAAGAACACUUAACAAUCAUUCUUUCUACCAAUCAGGCUCCGUAAAACUAUGGCUUUCUUAGAAAUUUAUGCACAGGUUCCACUACCCCAUCUACAAUUCCCGGACGUAUAAACCUUAAUGUAUGUUAAGUCUCAUUUCUUCUUCCUAAUUUUACAAUCCAUUUCUGCCAUUGUUCAAUUCAUGGAUUAUAAUAAUUAUCUUGUCUCAGUAUCCCUAUUUCCAUUUUACAAUUAUUCAAAACCUGAUGUUUUAUCAUCUCCCAAGACGGGGAAUCUGAAGUUUUCCAAAAUCUUGCAAGAGUGGCUUUAGUUUCUACAAGGAUGUGGAUAAUUAUUUUUUUUUUAUCCUUUUGAAUUGUGGGCCAUCCAAUAUGUAAUAUCAUAGAACUACAAGUAAAAUCGAGAUCCACCUCUAUUUCUUCCCUGCAGAAUUUCGCUACCUUUUGCCAUAAUUGAGAUAUAAUCGGACAUGACCACCAUAUAUGAACAUAAUCUGCUCUAAAGGAAGCACAACGCCAGCAAGGAUAUUGCCUUCCUGGAUAUAUUGUUGCUAAUUUAGCUGGAACAUAGUGCCAUCUAUUGAUAACCUUAUAAUGACUUUCCGAUAGAUUUAAACAAUGUGAAGCUUUCAUUACUGCACUAUUGGCCUUAAGCCAUUCGUUUCUCAUAAUACUGAUUUGUAAGUCUUUUUCCCAGGCUUUUAAAGCUGGAAAUUCAGGGGAUGACUUAUAUUUGCUACAGAUUUUGGAACAUUUAGAGACUAAAUUUUUACUGUAUUUGAUAUUUAAUAGAUUUAUAAAAAUGUGUAAUUCCUCAGAGAUCUCCACUGUUCUAUUUAAAAAAAAAUAAAAAUUUUUUUAUUGUUUUUCAAGAGUAUAUACCAUCAUAGUAUGGGGGAAGAUCUCCACUGUUCUGUGUCUCAUUAAGAAAUAUUUUAUCCUUAAGUACGUAAAACUUUCUCUAUAAGAAAGGGAGAAGGCUUGUUUGAUCUCUUCAACAGGUCUAAUCUGUUGUUGUUGGAAUAACUGAUUUAUUCUAUUAAUGCCUUUAUCUAACCAUGGUUCAAGAUUGAGAUCCUCAAUGUUAAUGGACAAUACGUACAGGGGUAGAUCAAUGAUGAUUUUGUCUAUGAUUUUAAAUCUUUUUUUCCAGAUUCUCCAUUGGGCCAGUAAAUUGUCUAAAAUUAGACCCAUAUCAUCUCUCUCACACUUGUGUAUAUUCCAAAAUAGAGCCAUUAAAUCCGGAACUUCCACUUUUUAGCCUCAAUUUUUGCCCAUGAUUCUCCCCUAGAGCUCUCUUUCAUAGAGGAUAUAAUAUGUGCCAAUGAACAAGAUUCAUAUAUAUCUGUAAUGUUGGGAACUCCCAUCCCUCCUAAUUUAGGCUUUAGAUUCAGAAUUUUUUUGCUAACCCUAGGUUUUUUUCCAAGCCAUAUAUAUUUAUCUAAGGCUGAUUGAAUCAUCAUGAGCCAUGGUUUAGGCAUUUUCAAUGGUAACAUGCGGAAUACAUAGCUCCAUCUGGGGAUCAGGUAAGCCUUUACAACAUUGAUUCUGCCUAUCCAAGAUAUCUCUGCUGUUCUCAUAUCUUUCAGUUGUUUAUUAAUUUGCAUCAUUAAAGGCAUAACGUUAUAUUCUAGAAUCCUGACAGGAUUACUAGAGAUCUUUAUACCCAGAUAAACAAUAAAAAAUUUUGCCCAUUCAAAACUAUAUUUCGCUCUAAUGUAUGAUUUCUCCUCCUUAUUUAUAUUUUUGGCGAGAAUAGUUGUCUUGUCUACAUUUAACUUAAAAUUGGAAUACUGCCCAAAUUCAUGAACCACCCUUAACAGUUCAUCUGUUGAUGUUAUAGGAUCUGAUAUAGUGAUUAAGACAUCGUCUGCAUAAAGUAACGUUUUAUAUUCCUCUUGGCCUAUUGUAAUUCCCUUAAUUUUCUCAUUAUGUCUAAUAUCACAAAUCAGGGGUUCUAUAUAUAGCAAGUAUAACAAUGGGGACAAGGGACAACCCUGUCUUGUCCCGUUCCUUAUAUUAAACCACUCAGAUGCUUGCAUAAAUUUUUAUAUCAGAAUUGAAUAAAGAUAUGGGGUGAUAAUUCCCUAGAAAUUCCAUAGGUUUAUCUGGCUUUUGUAUGGGAAUUAUGUUGGCGUAUAGGAAUUCAUUGGGUAUAUCUUUUUCUCUGACUAUAUUAUUAAAAAGAUCUUUAAGGUGUAUUGCUAGGACGUCCUGGAAUUGCUGAUAAAAUAUAUUUGGAUAACCAUCCGGCCCCGGUGUUUUUUUUUUUUUUUUAAGGACUUAAUUGCACUUAUUAUUUCAGUUUCUGAGAAGGGUUCAUUAAUAGAAUUCAAGUGUUCCCUUGAUAAUUUUUUUAGAAUUUUAUUUUGAAAAUAUAUUUCUGGAUUAUAAGGAUAAUUGGGUAAGUUAUAACAUUUUUGAUAAAAGGAAUUAAAUGCUUUACCUAUAUUUUCAGGUGUUAAUUGGGUCCCAUCCUCUGUAAUAAUUUUUUUUAUUAAUUUAUUCAAUUUCUCACCUUUGACUUUGUUUGUGAGCAUUUUGUUUGCUCUAUUUCCUCUAUAAUACCAUUUUAUUCUUAAGUAUUCCAGUUUUUUUGAAGUUUGUAGAAGUAAGAUUUUAUUGAUUUUAUUUUUUAUUAUUGCUAUUUUCUCACUUAUCUCUAUAUUUGGAUUAUUUUUAUUGGAAUUUGUUAAUUUAUAAAGAGAUACAUAUAAUUCUGUUAGAGGAGCUUCUUUAUGUUUUUUCUUAAAUGAACCUAAUUUAAUAAAGUGUCCCCUCAACACUGCCUUAUAUGUACACCAAACUAUAGUGUCUGGUGUACCUUUAUUUUUAUUCUCAUCAAAGAUACGGUUUGUUAAAUCUUUUAUUGUAUUUAUAUCUUGAGCCUCCUUCAGGAGUGUUUCAUUAAGUCUCCAACUAUUCCUAAUUUUAAUAUCUGGUGAAAUAGUAAAAUCGAGUAUUAAUGGGCUAUGAUCUGACCAGGUUACUUCUUGAAUCAGAACCUUUUUGAUCCUAUAUGAAACCUCUGAGUAACCUAAAAAUAAGUCUAAUCUAGAAUAAGUACAGUGUGCUUUAGAAAAACAAGUAAAGUCUUUUUCUAGUGGAUGGUUAAUCCUCCAUAAAUCUAAUAAUCCAUACUUAUUUAUCAGAGUUGAAAACUGAAUUGAUGAUUUCUUUCCCCUUUUAUCUUGAAUGACCCCUGUUAAUGAAUUCCUAUCCAACGUUCCGUCCAAGAUACAGUUAAAAUCUCCUCCCAUAAUAAUCUUGCCCUUUCUGAUUUUUUCUAGUUUACUCAAAACCAUUUGUAUAAACUGAACAGAAUUAGUAUUAGGAGCAUAGAUAUUUACAAUAGUAAAUUCUUCAUCUUGUAUUUUACAUAUAGCUAGAAUAAAUCUUCAAUUUUUAUCUAUAUCCUGGCAUGUGACUUGAAUAUCUAGAUAAUCUGUUACUAAAAGAGCUACUACACAUUUCUUUUUAUCCUCCAAUGAGGAGCAGAGUUGAGUUUUAAAGUUUUUUGGGAUAAAGCAUUUUGUAUCUCGCCUUAGCCAAUGGGUUUCUUGUAGUAAUAUAACUUUUGCGCCUUCCUUUUUAAUAUAUUGAAACACCGUGGCUCUUUUAAUUGGGUUGUUUAGUCCCUGUGCAUUUAAUGUCAUAAACUUAACCAUAAACUAUCCGUCUGUGACUCGCGACUAUGACCCUCAGCAAAAAAGCAAAAACAUAAAUUAAAAAAAACCACAUACCACACUUACAUUCAUAUGACCUCAUGUGAUUCAAACAUGAGCAAUUCCACAUCCACACUAUUAAUACAAAAUUCCAUCUCCACUCCCACUUAGUGGAAGACAGAAAAUGCAUCCCAAAAUCCUGGGUUUGCAUCCAAAACUCACCCCAAAAAAUAUGGAGUUAGAUUGGGGGAGCGUGAGGGAAACCCUCCUCUAGAGUGUCGCAGGAAGUCUAUAUAAUCCUUAUAACAAAGAGAAGGAAAAAAAAAAAAAACACUUCUUUUCCCCCUCUAGCCUAGUCUAGAAUAUAGUCAUAUUACAUAGUAGCCACUUCCAUUUCUUGAAUAGCGUUUUGAAUUAAUAAAACAAUAUCAAAAGUCAGAUAUGUAACCAGGCUACAAUCUACUCCAUUCGAUUAAGCGAACUACACCGGAAAGAGUUUAUCCUUAUAGCUUAGAGAGCAGUGUCAACAGUUCAGAAUGUAGUAGCUUCAAGACCCUAAAUUACACCUUAAACGACUCUCUUUAUAUAACCACUUUAUAUUGAUAAAAUCAAACUAAGCAAUCUGUGCAUUUUUCAAACAAAUUAUGUGCAGAGAAUUAUACUUAAUUCCAUUAUCAUAAUUACAGCAAAAAGUGUAGAGAGAAAAAAACCCCCAAAAAACCACACAUUUAUAUAUACAUUAUCCUAUUCCCCACUAGCAGACAGUUUACAAUGUGAUUAUUUCAAUUUCUUAUAUACCAACUUUAUAUUAAUGAAAUCAAUCUAUACAUUCUAUGACUUUUUCAAACUAAUACCAUAUCAUGCAAACCAUUAUAAUUGUUUUAACUGUUGAAAUUGCACCAAGAAGUGUCAAAGAAGAAAAAAAAAAAAAAGACAAUUUACAAUGUGAUUAUUUUCAAUUUCUUAUAUACCAACUUUAUAUUAAUAUAGUGAGUCUUUGUAAUCUAUGGCUUUUUCCAAGCAAUAUCAUACUGACCAUAUAGUCACAGGCAGGGAUUUUACCGCCCAGGUGCAUCAAUAGGAGAUUAACAGCUCCACACACUGUAAGUGCAAUUCUUUCUUUUUUUCUGCAAUCAACAUUAAUCUACUACUCAAUGUCCCCUGGUUUCUUGUCCUCUUUCUUUUGUUUCAUAUUGACAUGGACCUGAGGAUAUCAAGACGCUGCCCACUUUCCCCCAUAAAAUAGUUACUCAUGACCAGAUAAGAGAGAAUCUGGAUGAGGUUGUUUAAGCUGCCUACCACACUACGUAACAAGCGCUAAUUACCUUUCCUUUCUCAGAGACACCCCAUUUGCAGCAUGUGAAGGAGACUUUAGUUAAAAUGUAAAAAAUAAAUAAAGAAUAAAAAAACUGACCUUGAAAACUUUAUUCAUAUUACAAUUCAGAUUAGAGAAUACAACUAGAAUACAACUUACAGGACCAAACAAACCAAAAAUUAAUUGUACCAAUAUUAUUUGUAUUCUUAUUUGUCACAAGCUUGUUAUAAUUAAACAUCUUAAAGGGUUACUGCAAGUAGUUGUAUGUGAGUCUUCUCUCGAGACUUGGCUGUCAGUGUGGCUAUAUUACAUUUUAAUUUUUCCAGACUUUUUUUUUCUAUAAGGACUUUUUUCCAUUUGAAAAAGUUGCGUCACAUUAUAAUAGAUUUUUUCAGGUAUUAGUUUUGUUGCCCCUCCUCACUAUUAGGGUGAUGGGGGUAGGUAGGGACAUUUAUGUUUAUAAGGGUUGGUUGGGGGAUUGGGGACCCCUAGCCACUUGGGUAGGACAUACUACUAUGUGGGGGGUGGGCCCUUUAGGGCCAUCACAAACCAACGAUAGGUGGGAGACUUCUGAUAAUCCCCGUAUUAUUACAUCCACCCACUGUCAAUGAGUGGAAGCCUGGGGGUUCUAUAUGUCCUUCCCCAAAUAUUAUAAUAACUCGACAUGCUGACCAAUGGUGGAGAUGGUGGGAGCAUAAGUAUGUCUGCCCCUCUUUUUUUAUCACGUAUCCCCAUUCACUGGCCAUGGUUAGGGAUGGGGGGACUGGAUAUUAAUCUAUUCACACUCCAUUUCCUCUUUAACAGUACAACCCCCAAUUCUCCAUGGUUCCCCUGUUAUUUCACAGGAUCCAUAGCCAUACUUUGUAUAGGACUCAGAUGCAACAGCACUGAUUUUACUCCGGACACCGAAUGCAUCUGGGCAAUUUCUGCAGAUUUACUCAGGGCAACUGAAUUCCAACAGUUUUUGGCUUGAAUAAAUAUGAGACUUUCCAUUGCGGUCAGUCAGAAUUCGAUCAUUUUCAUCAGUUUAGUGAAUAACACCAUUAGAUUUUCAAGGGAAAGGUUUUUUUCUUUCUUUUCUUAACAUUAAAGGGACAUGCAUCACUUAAAAAAAUUUUUUUUUAAACCAACAAGAAAAACUUAUAAUAAAUGCUUAUAAACGUAUUAUAAACUUGGUCAGAUUGUAUUACUGGACACGGUUCUCGGGUAAGGAAGUUUAUUCAGCCUACACCCCAUCCCUCUUAUCUAACCCACCUCACAAUGUUGAAUAGCAUGAUUCUCUAUCACAUGCUGUUACAAACUGCUAUUUGUAUCUGGCCCUUUAAAUGGCAAAUUGCCCUGCUUCCCUGGGUUGUGGAGAAGCCUAUUUGCCAGCCUCCUUCCUCAUGACUAUGGCCCCUGGGAGAUUGUGAGAACUUAUGCACUUUUAUUGUGUGUAUGGCCCUUUAAGACAGCCAGUGGGCAUAUUGGGGCUUAUGGACUCUUUAUGGGACUGGUGCUGGCCCUUUAACUACCUUUUUGGGACAUCAGGAAGAUUGGGACACUGCCCCUUUAAGACGGUGUCCCCAGACUUGUUUGGGACACUGCCCCUUUAAGACGGUGUCCCCAGACCUGGUUAAAACCCCUUGUGCCUGGCUAUUUCCCAUUUGGUUCAGUAAAUGGGGCUUACUGAACUAAGUACCACACAGGCAGACCACCCAGAAGUGGAAGUGUGCGGCUAAUUUACCUCCCAGAAGCUGCGGUUAACCGCAACUUAAUUGACAAUGCUGGGUGGCCUUUGUUCGUUUGCCGAACACGUGGCGGCGGCUAUCUUUGUUAAUGCGAACGAGUUCAGCGGUAUGUGUAGCCAAAUUCAUGGAACUAAAAUCGGCUACACAUUUCCGCGAACACCGCUGAGCUGUACCUUUUCCCCUACUGAUUUUACAGCUGCAGAGACUAAGUCCCAUUCGGCGAUGGGACUUAGUCAUUUUUUCAGCCUGAAAUAGACCGACCGCACAGCCCAAAUCUAUGAAUCUGUUUUGGGCAGGAAAAUGUGCUUGCGGUCGGUCAUGAAGGGACCUCCAGCUAACUUUUUAACCCCUGGAUGGAUUUGGCUGAUUUUUGGUUAUGUUUGCUGAUAAUAUGUAAUUUUUAUGAAGAUUGGAUGUGUAGUUUUAAAGUUAUAGUACAUGUAUAAAAACUGUAUUUUUCCUGCUUGUGAUAAUUAUGUUAAGCAUUGUGUGCCAUAAUUAGAUCACAGGCAGAGGGGAGGAUUUUUGUGGGUAAUUGCUGGGAGUGUUUUCUGUAAUGUACGUAUGUUAUUGGUUAUCCUGUAAAACCCUGUGGGUGGUCCUAUGUAGGGAAAACCUGCAUAAAAGAUGGCCCUUUGGUGCCAAGUAAAACAGAUCUUCUUGACCCUCAAUACGUAGCCUUGUCUCGUUAUUGGAGGGAACUGCUAUAUCACACUGGGGAUUGCUAUGCUCUGCAUAUUCCCCUGAGCUUUUAAUCACUUAGCUCUUUUAAGAGCUGUUCCUGUUACGCUCUCCUGGAGGAGAGGUCUUCCCCACACGGUCCUGGAGGACAGAAGCUGAUCCAGGGUGGAAGGAAGACGGCGAGACUCCAGUUAAGCUACGGCGGUUGUGGAGUCUGCGGUGGUUGUGGUGUCUGCUGUAGUGUUUGGAGUCCUCAGGAAGCGCUAGGAGCAUCCAUCAACGGAGGGUACUCGGUCGGAGUACUGGGAGCUCCGUUACACAUGCCUUAGGAUACUGUUGGUUCCUUGAGUGUACCUUAAAAUCUACUAAAUACAGAAUUCUGCAUAGUUUUAUUCAGUAAUUUAUUUGCUGAAGCUAUUCAAACAUAUCUCAUUCCUUUAUAAUCCUUUAAUAAUGUCGAGGUUUGUGGAAAAACAUGUCAUUAUUAGAACUUAAUGGUCAUAAAGCUAAAAUGCAUUACACAAAAACACUACUCAUUUUUUGUUGUUGGUAAGUUUAUACAUAUAAGUUUGGGAGAUGAGAGCAGGUAGUAUACCUUUCACAUGGAACUUAUAAUAUAAAUAUUUUCUAGUGUUCGCCGAGCAGGGUUGUGCAUACAGAGGUUUUAGUAGAUAAGAUGAUAAUCUUAGCAAUGUGUAAGAAUUAACAAAAAAAAAAAAAAAAAAGUAACUAAGUAUAAGAAUCCAGAAAUUUUGUGCAAUGGAACUAAUAUUGCACUCGCAUUCGUUUAAUCAUUUCAAACUGCAUGAAUCCUCUAUGAGAUGGCACAGUGCAUUUUAGCUAUCCUAGUCUCUAGGGACGGAGAGAAAAUGUAAUCAGCUAAACUCAUUACAAUGUUAAUAAAAAGGGAAGUGUAAAUCACUCCUUACAUUAGAAUCAGCAGGUGCUCUCAAAAAAGUCUCCAUUUCAUGACAUUACAGUAACAAAUUACAUUGAAAGGCAGUUGAUCUAUUCUGAAAACAGUAGGAUUUUCUUGAUGAAUAUGAUUGCUGGCUGGGCUAAAAGCUGAAUUCAUAGCUUAGAAAUAUGCAGGAUACUAUGGGGCUUGAGAUGUAUUGGGUAAUUUCUGCUGUCAAUUAUUGCUUGAAUAUCAAGAUUUUACAUAGCUAAAAUAUUUAUUUAAAAAAAAGAAAAUACUAAAUAGGUUUAUCAUUAAUGGUUGGUAGAUUUUAACCACAUGAGGAUGUUUCAUCCAUUAAAUAUGUAAUCAAAAUAGCCAAUAAAUUAUUGUAAUGCCACUUGCAUCUACUUCAUGCCAAUGCCUCUAAAAAAUGAAUUGGAAAAGAUAAACACUGUGUGAAAUCAAUACUAUAUGGUUAAAAUCACCACUAUGACCUUGUUUUAAUAGGCAUUCCAAAUGAUUCAAUAUUGUUAGGAAAACUUUUUUUUUUAUCUACAAAAAAUCCCAUAGACUUUAAUGGUGACUUGGUAGAUUUUAAUAUUAUUGGGUAAGCUUUUCAAAUGAUUUCAUAUUUUUAGAUACACUUUUCAAAUUAGAUUUUUUAAAAUAUUAAAAUAUAAAAAAUAAAUAUUGUAUAAAAAAAUAAACAUUACAAAAUGAAAAUAUUUGUCAUAAUGUUAAAUCAUUUUAAAAGUUUACCCUCAAAUAUUAAAUAAUAGGAAAAUUGUGUCCAACAAUAUUAAAUUGGGCCUCUAUAAGAUGCAGUUGUUACCUUAGUAUAAAUAACAUCAAUUUUAUGUAGAUGUAAAGUGGAAAAGACAAGUUAGCGACCAGAGGUGUUGCUAAGGUCAAAAAACACUAGCCCAUAAAGGCAGCCUACAUAAUAAGAUCUAGAGCUACAGGCUCCACAUACAGGCUUUAAGAUUCCCUCUUCCCACCACCCCCAUUAUCAAUACCUCUGAUAGCAUUUGCAAACUCUCAAUACAUGAAUUGUAUAUUUUAAUAUAUUUAAAGGGAACCUUUUAGAAUGUUACAUAGUUAAAUACACUGAUCAGCCAUAACAUUAAAACAACUGACCUUUGCAGUGAAUAAGAUUGAUUAUAUCAUUACAGUUACACCUGUUAAAGGGUGGGAUAUAUUAGGCAGCAUGUGAACAGUCCGUUCUUGCAUUUCAUGUGUAAGAAGCAGGAAAAAUUGGCAAGUGAAAAGAUAUGAAUAAUUUUGACAAGGGCCAAAUAGUGAUGGCUAGUCUACUGGGUCAGAGCAUCUACAAAAUGGAAAGUCUUGUGGGGAGUCCGUGGUUUGCAGUGGUUAGUAUCUACUAAAAGUGGUGCAAGGAAAAACAAUCAAUGAACCAGCAUCAGGAUCAUGGAUGCCCAGGACUCGGUGAAGCAUGUGGGAAGCGAAGGCUAACCAGUCUGGUCCGAUCACACAGAAGACCUACUUUAGCUCAAAUUGCUGAAAAACUUGCUGUCUUGCUGGCCAUGAUAGAAAAAUAUCAGAACACAGUGCAUUGCAGUUUGCUGUAUGUGGGGCAGGGUAUCAACCGAGUGGUCAGAGUGUCCAUGAUGACCCAUAUCCAUGGUCAAAAGUGCCUUCAAUAGGGACGUGAGUGUCACAACUGGACCAUGGAGGAAAGGAGGAAGGUUGUCUGUUCUGAUGAAUCAUGUUUUCUAUUAGAUCAGGUGGAUGACCCGGUACAUGUUUGUCAUUUACUUGGGGAAGAGAGGAAACAGGAUGCACUAUGGAAAGAAGGCAGGCCGGCAGAGGCAGGGUAAUUCUUUGGGCACUGUUCUACUGGGAAAUCCUGGGUCUUGGUAUUCAGGUGGAUGUUACUUUGACACACACCAACUACUUAGAGAUUGUUGCAAACCAUGUACACCCCUUCAUGGCACUAGUGUUUCGCUGAUGGCAGUGGCCUCUUUUAGUAGGAUAAUGCACUCUGUUGCACUGCAAAAAUUGUUCAAGAAUGGUUUGAGGAACAUGACAAAGAGUUCAAGGUGUUACCUUGACCUCCAAAUUCCACAGUUGUUUAGACAGCAUGAGAGGAAUCUUCAAAAUAUUAGACAGGUGGUUUUAAUUUUGUGGCCGAUCAGUGUAGUAACAUAGGCUGAAAGAGACAUACAUCCCUCAACUUCAGCCUUUCUCAGAUCUGUUUUUAUUGUUGAUCCAAAUCUAGGCAAAAACCCAGUUUAAAGCGCUUUUUAAUCAACAGAUUUAGAUUUGUUUACCUCUCAUCAGAACUAUAAUGUUCCAUUCCUUUCAUCAAUUUUGUAGACUACCUCUGCAUGCUCUCUAGUGCCAUAAUAUCCUUCUUUAGAGCAGGUGCCGUUUAGAGUGUUAGUUGCUUGGACAGUGGGUAGUGAGGUUGAUUGACUGGGGCUGGAAGGCAGGGGGUUAAUAGUGAGCAGUGAGGUUGGGGCUGUGUUAUGUCCCAAAGUGUGGGCUGGCACUUAAUUAGUGAAUGUAAUGCUGUGAGUGUCCACUCAAUAAAUUAUACACACAGACAUGAGGUCUCAAAUCUAGAGGCAGUGUAUUACUUACUGUAUACAAGGUAAGUCAACACAAAGCGUUCUUACUAAACACAUUAUAGAGCUUCCUUUGUCUCAGUGUCUUUCCAAGUUGGCUGAAAUCAGUUAACCACAAAAUGACUGCUGCUUCCAGAGGACCAGUAUACCCUCCUUCUCCCAGCAUGCACUGCAGCAGGAAAAAUGGGAAAGGCAUAAUGCCACUUCCAACCUGGAAAAACUCUGAGACAGACGGUGAGUCUGUCUAAACAUCACAUCUCCUCUCCUUCCCUUUAAAAAGAUAAAUAAUAUUAAUAAAAAAAAGACAAACAAAAAAUGAAAAAGUAAACAAACACAAGUAAGAGAAAACAAGGAACUAAAUACAUAUAGUGUAGCACGGCAAAUCAAUCCAACAGGGUUACAUCUUCAGAGCAUUUCGGUGUCUCCCUUAACACUUUAUGAGCUCCUUGUCUCUGUCUUUGCAUAUCAGAUGUAUUCCACAAGGUUUCAUUGCUUUGCCAAAAAUAAGUCUGAUGUCUGUGAUGAGUAGACUUUCAAAGUUGUACAGCACUGUUGAUCCUCAAUGUAUGUGGAGUAGUAAGGGUUUGUUCCAGAGGACAUAUCAAUUUCUAUAGCGUCAGGCACAUUUCUUGAUUCCUCAUGAAUAUGGUCACCAACAACAUCAUUGUUUGUAUUGAGACUUGAGGGAUCAAGCCAUACACCAUGCCAUAUGUCACUGGCAGAGUCUGGUAGGGAAACUCUGGUUUGUUGAAAUGAUUGUUUGAGUUGGUGAUCUUUGGUGAAAGUUUGUGUCUUCUCAUUUGUGAAAUGUGCCACCGAAUACAAGUGCCGUUAGUGAGGUGAACAUGGUAUGAUUUAUUUCCGAUCAUUCUGUCUAUGUUUCCAGGAAGUCAAUGAGGCCAUCCUCUGUAAUUCUGAAUCCAUACAGGAUCACCAAUGUUAAAAGAGAAUAGAGAAGGAUAUGUUGUUAAAUGUUUUUUUUUCUGGACAAAAAAAAAUCAACUGCAACUUUGCUUAUGCUAUCCAAACAAAGACAAAUCCGGGGUCACCCCAGUUGUAGAGUGUGGUGUGUUUCGGUAUGUGGUCAAGAAUUCCAGCAGCUUCUCUUCAGACAUUCCAGUCUGGUCCAUAGUAGUUAGUAGGUGUUAAUUAAAAGUCUGAUCAAACCGUUCUGCCAGCCCAUUUGAGGAUGGAUAAUAUGGAGCUGUUUUGAAGUGGAUGAUGUUCCAAUAGCUCCAGAAUGGGUUCCAAUAGCUCCUUGCUGUAAGUUUGUAAUUUGAGAUUUGUAGGUCUUCGUAAUAGUGACAGGCCUAAUGCCUUUAAAUCAGUCCAUGAAAUGACAGACACAGCUGCCCCUCUAUCAACAUGCAUGGAGAGGAGACAAGCAUUGAGUGUCACAUCCACUGUAAUAGAAGGGGUUCUCCUAUCCAAUCGAAAUAGUGCAAUUGACUUUUCAUCAGAGUUGACGUUUUUGUGGCCAGUAUCUACAUGAAAUGUCUGUUUAGCUCGAUAUUUUGUGGCAGUAAUAGAGGAGCAUGAUCUGUGACAAACACGUUUAACUUGUCCAGUCUUCCCACAAAGUAUAACAAAAUCUGCAUCGUUGAAUUUACAAGCAGGUGCUUUAUGAAUAGUGUCACCACAACAGUAGCAUGGGUUUAGGGUAACUUGGAAAAGGCUGUAUAGUAUGUUGAGUUACAGAAUUACUGAACAUGUCUUCUCCCUGGCUCGCAGGGUUUUCUUGGUGUGCUUUCAGCAGUGUUUCGUCUUUAGAAGCUACUUCCAUGACACUGGCAAAUUCAGUAGCUUUUUGUAGUGUCAAAUAAUGUACUGUGAGUAAGUGUUUCUGUAUGGCGAGGUCAUUGAGCCACAUAACAAACAUGUCGCAGAGAGCGGUCUGUAAGUAGUCUCCAAACUGAACCAUAGAAGUCAUCUUACGUAAGCUAAUCAGAUAAGUCUUUAUGUCUUCUCCUGUAAGCUGCCUCGUACUGUAGAAUUUAAAACGUUCUGCAAUUUCUAAGGGCUUGGGAUUGUAGUGCUCAUUUAACUUCCCAAUUACUUAGGCAUUAGAUCUCUGAGUGUGCCAUAAGCAGUUUGACCUAAUGCUGUGAGGAAAACUGAAGCUUGUUUAUCUGUAGCAAUACUAUUUGCUUCCAUGUACUGCUCCGGCCUCUCCACCCAUGAACUCCAUAAUUCAGUAGCAGGUUCAAAAGGCCGAAUAGAGCCUAUUAAUGCCAUGUGUGUUUCAAUCCACAAUCCACAAGUCGCCAUUGUUAUGUCUCGAAGAGUGGGCUGGCACUUAAUUAGUAAAUGUAAUGCUGCGAGUGUCUACUCAAUAAAUUAUACACACAGGCAUGAGGUCUCAAAUCUAGAGGCAGUGUAUUACUUACUGCAUACAGGGCUGGUCAACACAAAGCUUUCUUACUAAACACAAUAUACCUACACCAUUGUCUCAGUGUCUUUCCAAGUUGUCUGAAUUCAGUUAACCAACAAGAUGGCUGCUGCUUCCAGAUGACCAGUGCAUCUUCCUUCUCCCAGCAUGCACUGCAGCAGGAAAAGAGGGAGGGGCAUAACGCCACUGAAAUUAAAGGAAACAAAAGUAAAAGAGUAACAAAACCUGUAUUACACAGGUUAGCUCUAUCCCUGCAUCCAUGCAGCCUGUGCAGUGAGCAUUCCUUACACUACAGAAGACAUGCCUCUAUUUCAGAGACUGUGAAUCAGGAACAUGCUUAAAUGUUAGAAGGGGGUGGCAAAGGAGGCUGGGUUACACUGCUGAAAUAAGCAAAAUGUUUUAUAGCACUGCAGGAAAACUACACAGAAUUGAAAGAAAAGAAACUAACCACAGGUAUUUGAUCUAAUUAGCUUUAAUUUAAGCUUAACUUAUUUAGCUGCCUGGAGUGUCCCUUUACGUACUCGUGGGUGAAUAUCAUCAGGCCCUCGGGUUUUGUUUACACUAACUUUCUUUAGUUGUAGCACCAUGUCUUAAGUCAUCCAAACACAAUUUUACUGCAGGUCAUUUUUUCAGCAAUCAUUUGCAUAUAUGUUGCCAUUGGUUCCUCCUCAAUAUAUACUGAGUAAAAAUAGUUUUUUAUAAUGUCUGCCUUUUUCCUGGUCUAACACACACCCAUUUUACAGGGAGUGCAGAAUUAUUAGGCAAGUUGUAUUUUUGAGGAUUAAUUUUAUUAUUGAACAACAACCAUGUUCUCAAUGAACCCAAAAAACUCAUUAAUAUCAAAGCUGAAUAUUUUUGGAAGUAGUUUUUAGUUUGUUUUUAGUUAUAGCUAUGUUAGGGGGAUAUCUGUGUUUGCAGGUGACUAUUACUGUGCAUAAUUAUUAGGCAACUUAACAAAAAACAAAUAUAUACCCAUUUCAAUUAUUUAUUAUUACCAGUGAAACCAAUAUAACAUCUCAACAUUCACAAAUCUACAUUUCUGACAUUCAAAAACAAAACAAAAACAAAUCAGUGACCAAUAUAGCCACCUUUCUUUGCAAGGACACUCAAAAGCCUGCCAUCCAUGGAUUCUGUCAGUGUUUUGAUCUGUUCACCAUCAACAUUGCGUGCAGCAGCAACCACAGCCUCCCAGACACUGUUCAGAGAGGUGUACUGUUUUCCCUCCUUGUAAAUCUCACAUUUGAUGAUGGACCACAGGUUCUCAAUGGGGUUCAGAUCAGGUGAACAAGGAGGCCAUGUCAUUAGAUUUUCUUCUUUUAUACCCUUUCUUGCCAGCCACGCUGUGGAGUACUUGGACGCGUGUGAUGGAGCAUUGUCCUGCAUGAAAAUCAUGUUUUUCUUGAAGGAUGCAGACUUCUUCCUGUACCACUGCUUGAAGAAGGUGUCUUCCAGGAACUGGCAGUAGGACUGGGAGUUGAGCUUGACUCCAUCCUCAACCCGAAAAGGCCCCACAAGCUCAUCUUUGAUGAUACCAGCCCAAACCAGUACUCCACCUCCACCUUGCUGGCGUCUGAGUCGGACUGGAGCUCUCUGCCCUUUACCAAUCCAGCCACGGGCCCAUCCAUCUGGCCCAUCAAGACUCACUCUCAUUUCAUCAGUCCAUAAAACCUUAGAAAAAUCAGUCUUGAGAUAUUUCUUGGCCCAGUCUUGCGUUUCAGCUUGUGUGUCUUGUUCAGUGGUGGUCGUCUUUCAGCCUUUCUUACCUUGGCCAUGUCUCUGAGUAUUGCACACCUUGUGCUUUUGGGCACUCAGUGAUGUUGCAGCUCUGAAAUAUGGCCAAACUGGUGGCAAGUGGCAUCGUGGCAGCUGCACGCUUGACUUUUCUCAGUUCAUGGGCAGUUAUUUUGCGCCUUGGUUUUUCCACACGCUUCUUGCGACCCUGUUGACUAUUUUGAAUGAAACGCUUGAUUGUUCGAUGAUCACGCUUCAGAAGCUUUGCAAUUUUAAGAGUGCUGCAUCCCUCUGCAAGAUAUCUCACUAUUUUUGACUUUUCUGAGCCUGUCAAGUCCUUCUUUUGACCCAUUUUGCCAAAGGAAAGGAAGUUGCCUAAUAAUUAUGCACACCUGAUAUAGGGUGUUGAUGUCAUUAGACCACACCCCUUCUCAUUACAGAGAUGCACAUCACCUAAUAUGCUUAAUUGGUAGUAGGCUUUCGAGCCUAUACAGCUUGGAGUAAGACAACAUGCAUAAAGAGGAUGAUGUGGUCAAAAUACUCAUUUGCCUAAUAAUUCUGCACUCCCUGUAGUAUACCUACACUUUCAUUUUCCAUUUGUAUUUUCCAAAUGUAUGUACUUACAAUUUUUUUUGAGGUCUGAGUUUUUUUUUUAAGGUUGGUUUUGGUCUCUUUGGCUAUCACUUUUUCGUUUUCUAGUUUAGUCCAUCUUAUUGCCUUUUUCCGUGCAUUAUUGGCUUCUUUAUAUUUUAUAUAGGAUACUUCUGAUUUGUGUGAUCUAAAUACUUUAAAUUCCCUGGUAGAGUUGAGUUAGAAAAUAUGCAUUUUUCUUGAUGCAUAAUUGAUUUGCAAAAUGAUAAAUGCGAAGAGGUGGUUGGUAUGAGUGAUGCAUGCAGACUAUUAAUACAGGGGUGAAAAUAUAUAUAUAUAUAUAUAUAUAUAUAUAUAUAUAUAUAUAUAUAUAUAUAUCCUUAAAUAUCUGCUAGCUAUUAGUAUUAAUAAUGCUUAAAGGGAUACUCCAGGCACCCAGACCACUUCUGCCCAUUGGGGUGGUCUGGGUGCCAACUCCCACUACCUUUAACCCUGCAAGUGUAAUUAUUGCAGUUGUCAUAAACUGCAAUAUUUACCUUGCAGGGUUAAGUCCUCCUCUACUGGCUGUCUAUCAGACAGCCACUAGAGGGACUUCCGUGUUCUUAGAACAUGAAAAGUGUGUUAUACGACACUGGACGUCCUCAUGCUAUGUGAGGACCUCCAGCGUUGCCGAUUGCCCCAUAGGAAAGCAUUGAAUAAUGCUUUCCUAUGGGGAGGUCUAAUGCACGUGCGUGGCCAUUGCCGCGCAUGCGCAUUAGGUCUCCCCCGCCGGCUCACGUGAGUAGGCGGAUACUGAUCAGUGCGAGGGACAUCGGCGCUGGACUCUGGUAAGUCACUGAAGGGGAUUUAACCCUUCAGCAACUUGGGAUGGGGAUGGGAGGGAGAGGGAGAGGGGCACUCCAGGGUCCUGCAGUGCCAGGAAACCUAAAGUCUGCUUUCUAACAACAAAUUCAGAAAUUAACCUUGAGUGGGCAGUACCAUUAAGUGAUAUUCCUGGAAGACACCCCCUUAACCACUGCCACCCUCAUCUAAGGUGGUAGCAAUGUGAUUUAUUUUGCCCCAAGUAAUCCUUUAGAGUUUUUACAUUGGUCCCACUUGUAUAUUUUUAUUGUCUGCCUUUCCCCCACCAUUCUAGGGAUGGCAGAUUCACCUAUAUUGUUUGCUGACGUCUGACUUCAAACCUGUGUUAUGUGGUAGAGAGUUUAAAAUUGUACUGAAACAGUGAGACAGACACAUACAUAAAAUAAUUCAAAAAUUAAAUUAAGAAUGGACUUCUGUUUUUAACAGAUUGCAACUUUUGAUUAUAUCACACUUUUUAGAGUGUAUCUUUAAACCUUUUCUGCUUACGUGGAAAUAAGGAUGCAGAUUUAUUCAAGUCUACAUUUCAUCAGUAAAGUCUUUAUAGGAAAUCAAGUUACACUUUUCUUUAUUGAUUAGUUGUGAAACAGAUGGUCUAUCACUGCACGAGCUGGAUAUCUGACACAGACUGGCUCCCCUAUCUUUCAUAUGUAAACAGCUCUAGCAUAUGGUAUUUAGUUGUAAUCAGGCCUGCACUGACCAUCGGGCAAACCGGCCAAAUGCCUGGUGGGCCAUGAUGGCUUUCGACUAACACCUACAAGGGUGAUAAAAGCAUCUCCCCUGCUGUCCUAUCCAGGGCCAGUGCUGGCCUUGAUUUAUAUAUGCAGGCCUUGAUUAGCAGAAUAAGAGAGGAGAACGAGGUCCAGGAGGCUCUAACCUGCACCUCCGCCAUGAUGCUGAGUAUUGCUUCCUUGGAAUUUCUCCCUUGGAAUUCCUUCCGACUAUUCCAAAUUUGCUUCUCCGUGUUGACUGAAUUUUUGUUGCAUAAAUCAUGACACAUUGAAAUAUGGCAUGUGUUGUUCAACUGAGGUUGUAUUUACCUAAUUUUAAGACCUGCUAAGGAACAGGUAAUUGUUCUUAUGUCCCGUUAUAUAAAACCAUAAAAUUCAAAGAGGGUGUACUUUCUUUUUUCCAUGAGUAUGUAUUUUUUAUAUCAUUUUUUUUAUAAGUUUUACAAAAAAAAAAAAACAGAGAGAGCACUAAACUCUAGAGGGUGCAUGUCUACAGGGUUGGAUUGGGAAAAAAAUCAGCACAGGCAUUUGAAGCAGCCCACAAUGAGGGACAUGGUUUAGAGAUGGGGCAUGUCAUAAUGAAUAACAAGCACGCCCCCUCAAAUAUAGUAUGUUUGUAUGAUGGCCUUCCAGGUAGAGUCUAGCUUAAUUGCUCUCGUAAAAUUCCAUGUAUUUUAUGCAAUGCAAGCACACUUAAUGGCAUGCUUGCACUAUAUUUGCUGAUGAAUUAUCUCUAGCGUUAGUGGUACAGUUAUGUAGUCUGCAGUAAAGUUGCAGUGUACAGAAGAGCACCACAACAUGACACUAUUGCUACAAAAUAGAAAGUUUGAAUGGACACUCCUGACCACUAAAUCACUUUAUCUUGCUGGAAUGUUUUAUGUGCGAAGAGUGUUUACUCUGUAAAAUGAGGGGAAUAAAUAGCAGAUUUCAAUAGAAACUGGUACUUUUAUACAUUAACAUUAGUAUACCUCCUUGGUUGUCUAUCAGAUAACCGGUCAUAUUACUUUCUGGUUGUUUUGUUCAGUGGAGCCAAACUCAAGAGUCUUGCACAGAUCACCUACAUUGCAAAGACUUCUCAUUGAGCUUCAUUGGUAGUCUGUGAUUAGACUACUACAAGUCUGGGCUGGAGAAUGUCAACGCUUUCCGUUUCAGCUUUAAAACUACAGGGACCUAGCACCCAAACCACUGCAUUAAGAUCAAGUGGUCAGGGUGCCUAUAGAGUCCUUUUAAAUGAUAAUGUAAUGUAGGACAGUGGUUUAUGUCUGCAUGAUUGUAGUGUGUAAGGGUUGUGUAGAGGUUAGGGGAGGUUCACAUGUAUAUCCUAGUACUUGGAUAUACAUGUAAACGUGCUCUCUGACAAAUGCAAGGUGAGUAAGUCCCACUAAUAUCUGGGAUAUGCAUGAUUCAGGUUAAAUUAACUUAUUACAGGCCCCAGACUACAGAGAGGUGCUCCAUGGGUUAUUACCCAUUCUAUAUGAGUAUAAACACAUGGAUGACACAUGUUCCUAAACCACUGUGUGUGUGUGUGUGUGUGUGUAUCUCUAUACAGAUCAUUUUAUAUCAAUUAAGACAAAACUGGGGCAAAGUACUAAAUCAGGACAUAUUACUGUAAAGAGAUGGAAUAUUUCUGCAAAUUGUAGCAGAAAAUUAAAAAUAUAAAACAUGAUUUAUUUGCAAUAUAUAGGCUGUGGAAUUUAGGAAUUGCUUUAUUUUACUUUUUUGACUAUUUUAUUGAACUGCAAUAGAUCAAAGUGAAAUAUGAUUAUUAAUUGAGAAUAACAAUUAAAUUCAGGUUAACAUUUAGUGUUUCAUUAAGCUAAUGGCUUCAUGAAAGUGUUACUGGCUUGAUGAUUAACUUACUAUGUUAAACGUAAUAUCUUUUUUUUGCAUUUUUUCCUCUCUGUCUCUAGAAGUCUUUUAAUUAAUGCUGCUGAUUACAUCAUUUGAAUCUGUUUGUAAUUAAAGUAUACCUGUCAAUAGUACUUUUACUUAUAAUCUAAUGAAAGAGCAUAACAAUUCAUUUAUUCAUAAUGUUAGCAGAAAUGCUAGCAAAUCUAGAGUUUUGAAAAGAAAAUGUUUAACAAUCACAAUCUAUUAUACAUGUAGAGAUCUCUGUUCUACACUAGAUAUAUUGUAGUUGCUGUGAUUAUUCCAGGUAUCUGCUUCUUCCUAUAGAGUAUAAAAAACAUAGUGACCAUAAAUUCACACUCCAAUGUUAACCUCUUAUGUAAUUUCAAAUUUUUAUAAACAUUCUGAUUGUGGUCUUGUAUUGUAAUAUAUAUAUAUUGUCACUAAAAUUUAAUAAACAUUAAACAUGUAAAUCGAAAUGUAGUGACACAAUUUUGAGAUCAUUCUGGCUAUGAAGCCCUUAUGUUUCCAAACAUAUACAGGGGCAUGAUGUAUUUGUUGCAGUAUUGCAUUUUGAUAUUUAUAUUUUGACCAUCAAAAAAUAAAAAUAUCAAAACAUCAACCAAAAUGGUAAAUCAAAACAGUCACCAAAAAUACAACAAAAAUUGCAUUUCAGAGCACCUUACCUUGUAUUUUUAAUAUGAAAUAAUCAGUAAAAGCAAUUAGCAUGUUUCAGAUAUAAGCAUUAGGCAAUUUACAACCUGCUAUUUGAUUAACAAAUUACUACCAGAGUACAGAAAAAAUAGUAUUUUUAAUUCUUUUAGUAUUUUUAAGUUUUUGUUAAUUUAGUCGAUUAUGAAACUGUCAAACCUGUUUCAUGUAAACAAACACUCCAUUUGCAUUUUGUAUGGUUCAUGGUUUGUAUGGUUCACGUUAAAGUCCUUCUAUCACAACUUGAUUCAUAGUUUAGUGAAAAUUCUGUGCUUUGUGGAAGAUAACCAUUUAGGUACAAAGAUUCAGUGGUAUUCAAUGUUACCGACUGUCUAACGUUUUGCACAUCUAUUAAUAAAGUGACCGGUUUCUGCUAUAUUUCUGAUGUUUUCUUUUCUCCUAUUUCCCCCUCUGCUUUCCAACAGUGAAAAGGGAC
RNAcentral lists this long non-coding RNA (103499 nucleotides) under Pelobates cultripes (western spadefoot toad). The record is from RNAcentral. Lineage: Eukaryota; Metazoa; Chordata; Amphibia; Anura; Pelobatidae.